ACCAAACAAAUUAAUCCAAGUUCAUCUUCCUUAUUCAAAUAUUAGCAGUAAUCUUUGAAUCAUCCUUGAAGUGUAGUGUGUGAGAUAGCCAUGCUUAUGCAAUUUCAAGUUUUUAUUUUUAAAAUCAUCAUAUGCAAACUAGCGACCUUCUCACUGGAUAUGCACUCAAUCACACAUGUGUUUAGUUUUAAUGUGUUUUGCUCAAAGAAUCAAAUGUGAAAUUUCUACCAUAAGCUUGCAUAAAGAUCACUUCUCCACAGUCAUAAUUGCAAAACUUAAAUCAAGAGGACUUUUAUUGGAUGUAAUGAGGCUUAGGGAUAGGGUUAUUGAAAUGAAAGAAUAGGAAAACACAAGUUCCAAGCUACAUUGCAAGCAAUUCUUUUGUCUAGAUUUAUAAGAACUCAAGCUCUCCAACGAUUCUUCUGAAACCUCCAAUCACACCCUUAAACUGAAACUUUAAAAACAUUUUUUUUUCUUUUCUUCGUAUACAAUCUUUCUUUUUCUUUUUCUUUUUCUUUUCUCUUUUUUUUUUUUUUUUUUAAUACAAACAUGAAAUACCCCCACACUUAUUCUUUUGCCCAACACCCUCAAAGUACUUCACAAACAUUUCUCAUAAGACAAUCUCACAUUGCUCACUAGCUUGCUUGGAAAGGGUAAGGAAAAAUGUUUCAGGUAUAAGGGUAGACAUAUCUGGUGAUAAGAAAUAAAAGGCUCAACAUACACGGCUCAAAUUGGCAAUCUAAUGAUAUCAUUUUUUUCUUUGGGAUACAUGGUUAUUUGGGCCAUGGUGGUAAACCUAAUGCCUCUAUCAUUUCCAAGUUCAUGCAAUCAAUGACAACAUUUCUAAAGAUCGUUACGCAAGUUCUAGAGAUGUAUCUCACAUAAGUUCCUCACACAUGAAAGAAUAGGAGUGUAUGAAAAAUGCACACACUUUCAAUCGGCUCAAAAACUCACAUAGGAUGUAUAUGGUCACUAAAUUCACAUAUGAAGCUUUAAGUCAUACUUUAGUUUCACAUUAACAAGGCUAUGUGCAUUUGGUUUUUCAAAGAUGGUCAAAUAUGUACAAAACUAACAAGAGAAUUAGGAAUUUCACAAAACACAUGUUAACUAAGUUCUUGAUAAUCAUGGUUCAAAUUUGAUUCAAUUAUAUCAUUGGGUCGGGAAACUAACAAAAAUCUAAUUCAAAACAAUAAGGAAAAUAAGACAAUAUUUUUUUUUUAUUUUUAAAUUUUCCGAUUUUUUUUUUAAAGAAAACAAAAAAACAACAACACAAAAACAAAUGAAAUUCUAGAGAUUUCUACCCCCACACUUAAACUUGACAUUGUCCCCAAUGUCAGAAAACACUAUAACACAAAUAAAAAUAAAACAAAAUAAAUAAAUAAUAAGAAACAAAAUAAAGCAAUUGGACUGAAAACUUCCCUAAUUUGCAGUAAAAUCAAGCGAUGACCCCGAAGCUAAAAUUCUGCAAUCAACUUCAAGGGUGGAAAUAACCAAAAGUUCCUGCAAAGAAAAGAAAUAAUUCAGUUAAGUAACGCAAGAAAAUAAAAUAAUAAUAAAAAAUAAAUAAAAAAAAAAUUGCAAACGAAAAAUUGAAAAUCACGAUAAAAGACAAUGAAAAGAACUAAUAAGUAAUCAUUGGUCGUGUUUGUUGACUUUCCACAGCUUUCCUCUUGAACAGGGUGACACUUAGCUUUUUACUUGCAAGUGAUGAUUUGAUGAUAUUGUACGGCGAAGCUUUGCUCUUUGGUGAUGUUGCAGUUCCUUAUUUGUUCUCCAAGCAGAUGUGGCAGCUUCUCUAGUUCCUCAGCUCGGACUCCUUCCGCUGGGAUGAUUGUGCACGCUGCAUUCUUCUCUGCUUGUUUCUUCUGUACGUUGUCUCCACAUGCUGUUGGUAUCAUUUUCGCUUGCCUUAUCUGUUCUUCAGGUAGAUGUGGCAGCUUCUUUGGAAGUACAUCAGCAGUGGAAGACGAGUACUCGAGAGCAAUUUCUCCAUGUCCUGCAGGUUAGAACAAAGACAAGGAAAAGGACAUGGAGAAUGCAUGAUAUGAGAUACUCUUGCUUUCAACCAUUAUGAUAUGAAAUACUUUUGCUCUGGAUGGGUUGUUUGCAGGGGUAUCCCAGGGAAUGAGGAACACGGAGUAACUUAGGAGGAUUCUUUGAGAAUGCAUUUUCGGAGAUGAAGAAGUGUUAAGAGGGUGUGUCUUUGCUGUGAAAGGCGAAGGUAGAUACUUAUAGGACUUGUCUUCACAACCGGAACUAUUCUCUCACGUAUUGUCGGCAACCGGUGGAUGAAUGAAUAGUACAAAUUACGCGCUUUCUGACAAAGCUGCCCGUAAUUUUCGCAAAGCAGAUUCCUCAUUGAUAUCUGGAAUCGGCGCUUCGAGCUCUGAGCAUCGUCGAUUGUAGAGGUAGCAUGUGACACGUGCGGAUAAAUCUGGAAAAGAAGAUUUGCCCGUGGGUUGAAGCCCAGCUUUUGAGAAAGCUAGCGUGUCUUUGACUGUUGAAUUUCCCUCUUCGAUUUCUGAAUUGGUGCUUCGACAAACUGCCCGAGAAUUUCGCAAAGCAAUUUGCGUGUGACAAGUGACGACACGUCAGGACAAAUUGAUCUUUUGAAAUCCGGGGUUCGGCUCGUGGUUUCUGAGCAAGCCCAGCCUUUAAGAAAUGAAACGCCUCUUUUGAGAAAAGAAUCCGGCUUUUGAGAAAGGAGCCCCGACUCUUCGAUUUGCGAGAGGACGCCUCUUUGUUUGAUUUCUGAGGAGCGCUUCUUUGAUUUCUGAGGAGCGCUUCUUUUUAUAGAGGCGUAUUUUGUUCCACAACACACUUGAGCUCCCUCCUGUAAACACUCCCUCCUGUAAACUUCCAAAAUCUUAAUCAGUCCGACUCUCUUCUUUCUUCACCACCUUCAGAAAAUGUCUGGCCCUUCCGAUCGUCGUUUUGACUUGAACAUUGGUGAAGAGGCAGCUCCGCCUUCACCAGACAACAUAUGGCGCCCAUCAUUCAUAUCCCCUACCGGUCCCCUUACCGUGGGGGAUUCGGUGAUGAAAAAUGACAUGACCGCUGCGGUGGUGGCCCGAAACCUUGUCACCCCCAGAGAUAACAGACUGCUCGCUAGACGAUCUGAUGAAUUGGCGGUUAAGGAGUCUCUGGCUCUUAGCGUGCAGUGUGCCGGUUCCGUGUCCAACAUGGCCCAACGCCUAUUUGCCCGAACCCGUCAUGUUGAAUCGUUGGUGGCUGAAAUACAGAGUCUCAAAUAGGAGAUUAAAGGACUCAAGCAUGAAAAUAAACAAUUGCACAAGCUCGCACACAGCUAUGCCACCAGCAUGAAGAGGAAGAUUGACCAGAUGCAGGACACCGAUGGUCAAAUUUUACUUGAUCAUCGGAGGUUUGUGGGUUUGUUCCAACAACAUCUGCCUUCGUCUUCUGGAGCGGCACCGCGUAGUGAAACUCCAACUGAUCAACCUCUGCCGCCUCCUCCUUCUGUGGCCCCGCCGACUGCUGAAGCCCCGCCUACUACUGAAGCACCACCCGACCAAUGAAUACUAUUAGUUUACAUCAUUGUAAAAUAUUUGUACUUUUUUUUUUUUUCAUUAAUUUUAAAUUUUAUCUUUUUUUAUUUUUAUUUUAUUUUUAUUUUUAUUUUUGUAAAUUAAUGUAAAGAGACUUUGGUUAACCUUCCCCCACACUUAAACUAAAUAACACAAACUCACAGAAAUCAACCAAAUAACACAACUAACUAAACAAAACAAACGAUACCCUACUUACAACUAUACUACAACUGUCAAAAAGAGGGUUUAAUUUGUGUGUCAAGUAAUUCUCGCAUCAAAUUUUGGCGCCAUUGCCGGGGAUUAGGAGGGAUUGCUAAUCUAUUCUAAAUUAAUUUAAAAAUAUUAAAUAAGACUCAAGGACACAAAACUAGGCGAAAAACUCUAAUAACUCGAAACACACUUAAAAUGACUCAAAAUAAUGAAAACAAUUAAAUUAAACACUAGGAACUGAAAUGGACGGAAAUUAAAUUAAAAGACUAACAAUAAAGAAAACUAACUAAAUAAUAUAAUUUAAUAAUGGAUGGGUGUUUGGUUUUGAUGAAAAGUAAAUUAAACUUAAUUAAAUUACAGAAUUGACAAAAACAUAAAAUUAAGGUAAAAUGAUAAAUGACGGACUAGCUAGAGGGUUCUUCUCCACACAUGUUAUACUUGCAUACAAAAUGAUUUCCAGUUGCUUUUCAAUAAGCUAUGAAUACUCAACGCCCCAAAUUAACCGUGAAUUGCACUAAUUAACCCUCAGUUUUUCCACAAGUUAUUGGGUUGGAUGAUUGCAUACGACAACCCAAAACAUUCCCUACAAGUUCCCUACAUGAGUUGCAUAAUAGAGAUACAAGCAAGAAUCAUUAAGUUUUAUGAAAAACAUAAGCAUUGACGGGACACUCGUUACUAUGAUUUGCAUGAAACUUAUGCCAAGAAUUUACUUAACGUGAUUGUGACUAGCAACCUUUACUACUUGUGAAUAUAAGUUCAUAACGAUUAGGUGAAAUUCACUUAUAUUCUAGCAUCAAAUUCAUGCAUGUAAAUUAAGCGUGCACUCUCAACCAACAUACACAAAUCAGUUUUUAUACGAACGGAUAAGUAAAUUGAAUUCACAACUUAUGAAAUCACAACCGAAGGUAAUCAAUUCAUAUUACAAAUAUAUUCAUGGCUUUGAAUUAACCUCUAGCCAAAAUAGAUUUAUUUACACAUUAUUAAAACAGAAAUAAAACAUAAGUUGGAAGGAUUUAACCGAGAGAGGAGAGGCUUUCAGUUUUCUGUUCUGUCCACGUGCUGCCAAGUGGCAGAUUUGUUUCUUCACGUUUUUGCACCGCAGGAUUCCUUCUCCACUUGCUUUCUGUCCGAGGCUUCUAGCUGCCAAGAGGCAGCGUCUUUUUCUCUGCACUCUGGUUUUUCCCUGCCGCAAGGCAGCUUGAUGCCGCUUCCUCUUUCAAACUGCCAAAGCAGCUCCUCCUUUCUGCUGACGCCUUUGUUCUUUUUUCAAGCUGCCAAAGCAGCGUUUGUCUCACCCCCCCGAACCCCCCUGUUUCUCUCCUCCAGCUUAUCUUUUAUCAAGCUGCAAAGUGGAGCUCUUUUCUUCUUUUCCACCUACCACGAUUCAAGUGGUUCUAUUCUUUUUGUUUCUUAUUUGUUUCACCAACCCACCAAAGCAGCCUUCCACUAGCUGCAAAUGCAGCUGUUAUUCCCACUUUUCUUGGUUUUUCUUGGCCACGUUCCCACCAGCUGCUCCUCUUAAUUUAUUCUCCACCUACCACAACAAAAUAUAUAACAAAAUACAAAAUAUAUGUCAGAAAAUAUCGGUCCAUGAUUUUUUUUGUUUAUUAUUUAAAACUCAUUUGUGCUAUUUUUAUUUUCUUUGCAUAACAAAUCCUAUAAACACAAAAAUAACGUAAAUAACUCAAAAAUAUGAGGAACUAACUAAGAAAAGACGAGUGAAUUUGAAGUAAAAAUAUAUAUAAAUAUGAUCCGAUCAGUGCGGCACGGAGAAGACGAAGAAAUCAACGAAAUAUGGUCCUUUGCAUGGGCAAUAUGUAGAAGAUUGCUAGAGGAGGGGGAACAAAUAUCCUCUAAGCUCUCGCUCUCUUGUAGGGUAGAAUAAAUCGUUCUCCAAAGUUGAUUUAAUAACCCACUUAAGGUGGACUUAAAUAGGCUUUGAGAGAAAUUUAUUUCCCUUUCCUAAAAGGAUCUAAUUUCAUAUUAAAGAGGGAAUCUACAUCAAAAUAUGAAGCAGUUCUAAAGCAAGAAGAUCUCUACACCUGUUGCCCUUUCUUACGAGUAGCCCAGCAAGUGUGGGGGCAUUUGUGGAGCAAAAAAUAAUCACAAAGCGACACGUGGAUUUUUGGGUGAAGAUGACAAAUUUACCCUUGAGGCAUACCGGGUCUCCUACACGCGAGCAGUGGAGAAUCAUCCAUCAACCAAAUCAGGAGUACCCAAAAUAGGUAACAAGUUCAAAUUUGUCUCAUCAAUCCUCAUUCCAUAACCUCCAAAAACCUCCCAAAACAUUUCUUUUAUUAUGAUAAUUAACCAAUUAAUAUAUUUAUACAUAAUUAAUAUAUUAAUUGCUAAUUGAAUCACUAAAUAACUCCUAAAUUCAACCUAAAUCAGGAACCCUAUCCCUAUAAAUAGGCUCCCAUUCUCACCAAAAACCUAAGUCCUCACUCUUGCUAAAAUUCUCCAAAGCUCUCAAAUACUUUUCUCUCAAAAUUCUAAUUUUGGCAUUGGAGGUUCUUCGGUCAAAGCUCCCUCAUUCAUCGUGGGCGCGUGAGGCUCUUGGCCUUGACCUAAGGUGUUAUUUAUUUUAUAGGUGCAAUUUUGUCCAAGAUCAAGGAGGAAGAAAUUUGCAUCCACAUAGCAUUUUUACUAUACCAAGGUCAUUUUCGGUGUGAGCAUUUGAUUACACUAUUAAUGUAGUAUAUUACAAUUGAACCUUAUUGCAUUACAAUUUAGACAACCCCUUUUGAUAAAAUUAAAAUAUAUAUUUAGAUUUUAAUAAUAUAAUAAUACAAGCCUAAAACGUUUGAAUGAAAUGAACAGAAAUGCUCGUACAAGUUUAGAAACACCUCUAAAAAUGAAAAGGGAGUUUAGAAACACCUUAUUGCCUAAAUCGUUGGUGGCAGUUUUUUAAUGAAAGAUUUUAUGUAAUCCGUCUCUCAUUCGUCUGUAACAUAAAAAGGAUAGCGUACUGUAUCUAUCUUUUCUUUUGCUUGAAAUUGCCUGAGGGAGGGACAACAACAUCAACAUCUCUCCACACUCCAAGGAACAGCCUAACAAAGUAACUCGAGUUAUAUAAUAUUAAUUACUUGCAAGUGGCUCUUUACUACAAUGGUAAAAAUAUGUUGAGUUCUUACAUGACGGCGUUAAUUUGAAUCCCAUUGGUGACUUAUCUAACAUAUAAUCUAACAAAAUCUAUCGUAAAAAUGUGAAGGUUCAAAAGUAGAAGUUUUUUUUUGGUAGGAAACUCCAGCUGAAUCAUCACUCUACUGCAUGCAUGGUUAAGCUACACGAGGGUUUGAAUCCAAAACAUUGUGAAUUCAAGAAGACUUUUUCAACAGGGAUAAUCCACUAAUUAAAAAUUAAGAGUGAACUACUUAAAAUGACAGAUUUGAUAGACAUCUAUGUAACAUGGCGCACUGGUGUGGAAGUCAAACUUGUGGUCAAGUGGAGGCUAAAAUGUCUCUAUGAGUCUUCCCAGCACCCGGAAAUGGUGGAUAAUCGUGACUUGCCACCAGUUGUUCCCUUUUUUUAUGAAAAAAAAAAAAUGUAACAUGGGUCAUAUCUUUGCGAGAGAAUAUAUAAGUAACAUCUCUAACAUAAAAAAAAAAAAAAUUAAUAAAUAUGAAAAGUAAAAUAGUGUUGAAUAACUAUUUCGAAGUGGUUAGAGUGUGUUCUUAUUUAUUUACACUAAACAUUUAUUGCAUUAUUUGUACACAUAAAACAUACAUGCCCGAAGUUCUUAACAAGUUCGGUCUAGAGCUUCCUGGAAUAAUGCGAGAUCAUCCUAGCAAAUUACUAGGAAUUGAUGUGAUUGAGAAGCCAAUUACGGGAUUGAUCACCCUUAUGUGAGGAUCUGAAAUGUUGUUCAACAUCGGAAAGUUGAGAAUAUUGCAUGCGAUUAUAAGAAGUUGCCAAUUAGUUAGUUCUUGAGCGAAAACUCAACUUCCUUCGUCUAAAGCUUCGAUUACUUGGAAGUUGAAGGAUGUCAGUCACCGAUCACUGGCCAAUCCAAAAAGGGAAAAUGAAUAGAAAGAGAGAGAGUUGUGAAACAGCAGUUUACAGCUACGGUGCUGGAGUGGAGCCCGAAAGAAUGAACAUGCAUCUUGUUAUUUUGGGAACAUUCCACAAUCUUAUCCCCUCACAAGGCCGUUCUCUCUCCAACAUCAAACACCUGUGCGUGCAGCCAUCACUAACCUCUCACUAGUCGACAGUCUGUGCUUUCUGAUGGUCAUUUGAUUGGACGCAGGUUAAUUGGUAGACCAAAGUGGUUUUGGCGUUUUGACUUUAAAAUCAUGUGUUUUGUUCUUUCUUGUCUUCUACCAUAAAAGUUGUCUAAAUAAUGCACAACAGACAGCUAAAUAUGUGCAUGCAGAGAUGUGGAAACUUUCUUUUCAGUUAGCAAAAUAUAAGGGAACUGCUGCGGCUGCUGCUGCUGCUGCAGAUAUCCCAAUCAAGGAAGAAGAAAGAAACCAUUUAGGUGAAGGCAUCGUUCCCAUGAUUUAGAAUGAUAUUUCAUGUCAUUUGACCACUGAAUACAUUCAAGAGAGUGAUAAUCUUGUGUUUUAUGUUGACCAAUGACCAAAUAAUUACAAGGAGUCCUAAUUGAAGAUGGAUUCCUAGACAAAUGAAGUUUCCUACUCAAGCAAGGUUUCCUAUGUGAAGAAGAAGAGUAAAGUCAAAGAAUCAGCUCAAGAGAAGGAUCUUAUCCAAAACCUCAUCCAUAACCUUAUCUUAGCUUAUCUUAUCCAAACAAACCUUAUCCUAUCUUAUCUUAUCCUAAUCCUAAACUAUCCACAUUCCAGCCACUUAGGAGGGUUUCUAACUAGAUUAGGAUGCUUAAAAUGGGAUUUCUAGAAGACCUAAUCUGAUCCUACAAAGGUGGCGCCUAGGAACCUUUCUAGAAGCCUAAAAAUCUGCCUUGUAUUUCUUUCUAGAACCCUAGCUUUGUGCCGCACCCUAUACCUAUUUCCUUUGGGAUUUUGGUUUCUAGAAGCCUUAUCUUUUCACACUCUUUGUGCCGCACAUUAUCUCCCAUUCCUUUUGGGUUUUUGACUUGUUUUCCUUAUAGGAUUGUAUGUUAUUAUCCUAUGCAGAUUAGGCCUUUAAAACCUUGUCCUUGGCUAUCUAGGAGUGGGAUUUUCAGCCUAUAAAUACCACAUAAUGCCGCACCCUUUCACUCACCAUCCUCUACCAUAUUUUCACUACAUCAUUCACCCAAACAUCCCUCAUUGUGCCGUGAGUUUGCAAGGAAGAGAAGGAAGAACUCUUGGAGCCGUGCAUGCCAUUCAAGGAGCUUGGAUUGUGGAGCGAUUCUAGGUGUUUUCUAUCUUUGUUUUAAUGUUUAAAUUUAUUUAUCUUUGUUUAUUUGCGAACAUGAGGAACUAAUUUCUUUAUAGUUAGAGGGGAAUUCAAAGCCAUGAUCAUAUGUUUUACAUGACUUGAUUUCUUCCAAUUAUGAUUUCAUGAAUCGUGAAUGUGGUUUACUUAUCUAUUUGAUUGAUAACAUGUUUAUGUAUGUUGAUUGAGGGUCGACACUUAGUUUGCAUGCAUGAAUUUGAUGCUAGAGUAUAAGGGAAUUUCACCUAAUCGUCAUUAACUUAUAUUCAUAAGUAGUAAAAGUCGCUAGUCACGAUUGUGUUAAGUAAAUCCUAGGCAAGAGUAACAUGCGUAUCCCAUAGUUAUGAAUGCCUCGUCAAUGCUUAUGAUUUCCAUUGAACUUAAUGAUCUUUGAUAUGUGUCUCUAUCAUGUGUAUUCCAUAGUUAGGGUCCUUGAUAAGAAUAAUUUGGUUGUAAUACGUAUCCCAUUCAAUUCAAUGAAUCUAGGGAAAUCUGAGAAUUAAUUGGUGCAAUCUAGUUAAUUUGGGGCAUUGUCAUUCAUGGUUUGUUGAAAGAGUAAUUGGAAAUCGAGUCGUAUGCAUAUGUUUCAUGUGUGGAGAAGGAACCUUUUAACUAGCCUUUCACCAUCUUAAUUUACCUAAAAUCGUUUUUGUCAAGUUAGUUUACAAAGUUUUGUUUUGUUUUAAAAUUCGUCCAAAAUCAAUCCCCCUUUACUUGGUUGAGUCAUAGUAGUUAGAAAUCACUUUAGUUUGUGUUUUUAAGUGUCUUAGGUCAAGUGAAAACCAAUUUUCGUCCAAGUUUGUGUCUAGUGUUCAAAACUGCCCAGAUUGUGGUUUUAAGGCAAUUUUGAGUGUUUCUGGGCUGUUUUGAGUCUUUUGGUUUGUUUUGGUGUUUUAAAGUUUAGUUUUGCAUUCUUUGAGUCUAGUUUAGUGUUUUAAACUUGUUUUUACGUAUUUGAGUCAGUUUUCAAGUGAUUUUGCAAUCCCUCCUAAUCCCCAGUUUAGAACGAUCCAUACUUACAUACUUUGCUACAAUUGAUAAAAAGAGGGUUAAUUUGUGUGUCAACAUAAUUUUCACAUCAAUUAAGAUCCCUCUGAGUAAAAAGAUACUGAAGACUCUUAUGAUCUGUGAAGAUCUUACAUUUCUCACCAUAAAGAUAAUGUCUCCAAAUCUUCAAAGCAAAGAUGAUAGCUACUAACUCCAGAUCAUGAGUAGGGUAAUUCAUCUCGUGAGGCUUCAAUUGUUGUGAAGCAUAAGCAAUCACCCUACCAUGUUGCAUCAACACACAACCUAGGCCAUUUAAGGAAGCAUCACUGCAGACCUCAAAAUUACCUCUAUCAUCUGGGAGUGCCAAAACAGGUGCAUGAGUGAGAUAAUACUUCAACUGCUGAAAACUUUGCUCAUAAUUAUCAUCCCACUCAAACUUAACUUCUUUUCUAGUCAACCUUGUUAAUGGCAAAGCAAUGACUGAAAAAUCCUUAACAAACCGUCUAUAAUAGCCUGCUAGGCCAAGAAAACUCCGUACCUCAGUAGCAGUUCGAGGUUGCUCCCAAUUCUCCAUAGCUGCCAAAGUAAGAUGUCGAACAUGCUCUGCUUUAGACUUAGAGUAACCAAAAUGUCAUCAAUAAAGACAAUGACAAACCUGUCUAUAUAUGGCUGGAAUACUCGAUUCAUCAAAUCCAUGAAAGUUGAUGGUGAAUUCGUUAAUCCGAAUGGCAUCACAAGAAACUCAUAAUGACCAUAACGAGUUCUGAAAGCAGUCUUAGGGACAUCCUCACUGCUGAUCUUCAAUUGGUAAUAACCAGACCUCAAAUCAAUCUUAGAAAACAAACAGGCACCUCGAAGUUGAUCAAACAAAUCAUCUAUAUGCGGCAAUGGAUAACGAUUUUUAAUUGUUACCCGCUUCAAUUGCCUAUAAUCAAUACAUAGCCUCAAAGUCCCGUCUUUCUUCCUUACAAACAAAACUGGAGCUCCCUAGGGUGAAGUAUUAGGCUGAAUAAACCUUUAUCGAUUAAUUCCUGUAACUAGACUUUCAAUUCCCUCAAUUCAGCAGGAGCCAUUCUAUAUAGAGUCAAAGAUAUAGGAUCCGUACUUGGAAGCAAAUCAAUAGUGAACUCCACAUCUUGGUUUGGCGGCAAUCCAGGUAAAUCAUCGGGGAAUGCAUCAGGAAAAUGUCUGACUACUCGAACAUCAUCCACACUACUAAAAGCAACAUCAUUCAACACUACAUGAGCUAAAUAUCCCUGGCAACCUUUCGAUAACAACCUUUUCGCCCUUACAGCAUAAAUAAUGCCACGCCUCACCCCACUACGUUCACCCACAAAACUAACUUCAGGUAAUCCUGGACAAUGAAAAGUAACUGUCUUCCCAAAGUAAUCUAUAUUGGCACGAUUAUAAUGCAACCAAUUUGUGCCUAAAAUCCCAUCAAAAUAAACAAUAUCUAACGAGAUAAGAUUAGCUAGCAUAACCACAUCUUCUACCAUCACUGGACAUCCUGGAUAUACUCGAUCAACAUAACAUCUCUUCCCUCUAGGCAUAGCAAACUCUAAGUCAUACCCUAGAGGUGUAGGAUGAGGUUGCGUCACUUGAGCAAAUGCAUGAGAAAUAACAAAAUGCGUAGCACCACAAUCAAUUAAAACUCUAGCAAAGUGACCAAGAAUGUUUAACGUACCCAUAAUCAAGUAUGGAUGAUUCAAUCAGUUGUUUUGACACACCCCGACCUAAAUCAGGAUAUGAUGGCCGUCACGUGAGGGUGACGUAGCCAUGUGCACAGUGCGGAAGCAAUAGAGAUAUAAGGAAUUACGAAUAAACAAAAACCAAAUCAAUUAGAGUAUUAGAUAAGAUAAGGUGCCAGUACAAGAUUAAGUAUGAAGUACACAACCAGAGCAUACAUAGCCUAAGUGCAAUCAAGCAGGACAAGUACUAAUUAUACAACAUCCAAGGGUGAUCCUACAUUUAAGUAUGAACCCCCGUCGAAAUCCUUGUGAUCCACCAAAGCAAUUCUACCUAAAACCUGGAUAGGUGCAAAACAGAGAGUGUGAAUGGGCAAAAACAAAGCUUUUCAAAAUCAUUUCAUUUCUCAAAAGUUCUAACCCCUCGCAGUAAAACCUAUAUAAUUUCCCAGAAAAUAAUAAUAAUAAUAAGCCACAUCAAAAAUCAUACUCAAGAUGAAAAUCCAUAGAAGUAUACCAUGCCAAAGUAUCUCAAUGCAAUGCUAUAAGUAAUCCAAGCAAAAUAUAUUAAUGUCAAAUAUCGCAUCAGCCAAACUCCUUUAACUCAAUCUGCACGGCUCAGUAUAUAGCUCAUAACCAAUCUCAAUCAUAUCAAAUCAAAUCCUGCACACGAGUCAGAACCACCUAAAGUGGUAUGUAAGACAAGACUAGGUCUAAAAUAAAUAUGCUCUAGUGCUAUGAUCACGUGAAGGUUGUGCGAAUAAUUACGGGUCACCUACGAGUCGGAACCACCUAAAAUGGUCAGUACGAUAAGCCUGUGCACCUAACUUGGAUCCAAGGUGAGCAUAUGGUGCGGGAGGUCAACAUCACGUGAAGGACUGUGCCCUAACUCUGGGCGGGAGAACUAACACUGUGAAGGAUGAUUUUGUGAAAACAUGUUCAUUUGAAUAACAUCUAUAGCAUGCAUUUAACAAUUAAAAGGCGGAAUCAUGCUUGCAUGCAUUCAAAAACAAAACAUUACCCAUGAAAUUCAAAGCCUAGUAGAUUGGUGAACCAAGACUCAACUCAAAUCAAAGUGAGUUGAGAAAUGUAUACCUUUGUAGAUUCCUCUUUGCAUAAGCAAAGGCUAAUCACCCAAGGAGAGGGCCUUCAUUCCUUGCUUCUUAGAUCCAUGGAUUUGGAUGGAAGAAUAUGGUUCUCCAAGUUCCCAAAAUUGAGAACCUCUAAGUGUCCACACCAAGGUAAGAUUGAUGAAGAAAUGAGUGACCUUGGAGUAGUGGGAUUGCUAGAUACACCCUCCAAGGGGGCCGGCCUCCUAGAGAGAAAAGGAGAGACAUGUUCUUUCCAAUUUUCUCCAAAAGAACCCUUAAUGAAUUUUAGGCUAUAAAGUUCUUUAUAUAGUCACUUCUUUAAAUGACGUAAGAACCAAAAACCCUAAUUCAACACACAUGGCCGGCCACAUAAGGGAUUUGGGCUUUUGGGCCUUUGUGAAUCUUUAUUCAUUAAAUUGUCAUACAACUUAAGUCAAUGGGCUUGACGUUCGAAGCCCAUUGGGCCUUAAGGUCCAAAACUAUCCCGAGGUCUUUAACGAACUUAUUCGUUUGAUUAAUUAACAUAUUAAUUAAUCCUUGCCAUAAAUAAUUAAACCAUUUAAUUAUUCUUACUCAUCUCCAUUGUUUCUUCAAUCUCCACCUUACACGGUGUACGAUCCAUUAGGUUCCUUUUAGCGAGGUAGUGGGCGAUUAAAACUCUUUCAAAUCGAUUGUGAAUUGAAACUUACUUUCAAUUCUCUCUUUAGUGUUUAUACACGUUUAGGGCUUCCACAAACCAAGAGUGACACCUAGCAACAUAUCAUGGUUACCCAAGCUAAUCAGAAGAGGUAGAGAACCUAUUCAGUUUAGGAUUACAAAUGCAAUACGGUCUUUCUCUAAUACAAUACUCUUGACCACAUUGUUUGGUUUGAUAGUUUUUUCAUGUCUACUAUCCAAUGUGAUUCGUGUGCUUAUGAUUACCUUGAAUGUGAUUUGGAACGACUUCCUAAAUCUCAUUCAUACUUUGGCCAGAGAUUCUUAAUCAUAUCAUAGAGUAUUCUCCCUCAAACAGUUUGAAGGUUAGAGAUCCCUUGUUGCGCAUUCACUUGCCUCCAUGGCUAAGUGGCUUAAUCCUAACUAUGCCGUGGACACCCGCGGAUGGGGUGACUUUGACAUAAUCAAAGAUCAAGGACUUAACCACAAGACAAACGUGAUGCCUCAGGUCAAAGGACUACUUUGCAUUAUCCCAACCAUGAGUUCUCAUGUGACAUGAAUAUGAGAACUUUUUGUUGAUCGUGUUCAGUGAACUCAUUCUCUAUUGAGCACCUACGUACUUGUCUUGAUGUCACACACACCAAUGACUCGAGACUAGUCACUCUCCCUGAGAGAAGACACAUCACGUACUGAUCUUAACAGACUGUCAAUGCCCAAUUGGCAAUCCUAUGAUCAGGAACGUUUAGGAUGUGUCUACAAAAGAAUGGUCUCAUGAAUCUAACUUCUUUAGAUCACAUUCUCCUAAUCACAUAUUCCUUGGACUUAUCGUUUAAGCAUAUAACAUUUAUAUGAGACGGCUCAAACAAUAAUCUUUGCCCUUGAUAUUAAACUAGAUUAGUUUAACAUGUGAAAUGUCCGUAAAGUAUCAUCAUAUGAUUGGUUUUAGGGCACAUUUCCAACAAUCUCCCACUUGCACUAGAGCCAAUCAGCUUAGUCAUCAGUGAUGAUACCUCUUCUGUAGUCAUUUCAUAAAUGGCUGAAUAGUAGGCCUAGACAAUGGAUAUCUAUAUGUUAUCCAUAGAAGCAACCUUGAGAAUAACGACGUCACCAUUAUACAUGAUUCUCAAUCAUGUGGUUCAGUCUCUCAUUUGAGUUCGGACCUUGAUGAGACCUUGAUUCCCUGGCUUGAGCUAUCGCCCCAUUAGUGUCAUAGUGUCAGUACACUAGAUACACUUUCUGGUUGGAACCGAAUAGAGAGUUCAUAAAUGAACUUUCCCAUCCAAACAACAUUGUUGUAAGCUUCUAUAUGGCAAUAUAUUUUGCAUUCAUAAUGGAACACACUAAAGUCAUUACUUUAAUGUUUCCAUCCAAAUAUCUCUUUAGUCAUAAUAAAGAGAUAUCCGUUUAUCUCUUCAUUCAUAAUGAAGAAACAUCCAAUGAUGGAUUAGAUUCAUAAUCUAAUACAUUUACGCUUCCAUUACGUUACUCUAAUUCUUCCUCAAUCUUUGACGAAUUUAUCCUUUAGUAUUUCUCAAAUACUUAAGGACUUACUUGACAGUUGCCAUGGUUCUGAUCCUGGGCUUGCACUGAUAUCGUCUUGUACCGUUCUAGGUACAACUCAUAUCAAUGUUUUUCAUACAAUAUGAAAUACAUAAAUCCCCUUUAUGCAUACGCAUAAAGGAUUCUAUUUACGCAUUAUUUCUUUCGGAGUCAAAGAGUACGUUCUCUUUGAGAAGAGCAACUUCUUAGUCUCACUAGAGUUAUCCUUCUAAUUGAAGUUUAUCAUCAUAUGAGAAAUUUUCUAGCAUCUAUUGUCUAUUAUUAGGGAUUGAUAUAAUCCAAUUAUAUCAUGAAAUAUAUCAUUAUAGAUUUCCAUCCCAUGUAUAUAGACUAUAUCUCCCAUAUACAUUCUAUCUUCAUAUAAUGUUUUAAAGUCAUAACUUUAACGAAGAAGAAUUCUUUUCAUUUCCAAAAUUAAUAUAUCAUAUAUAUUAAAUUUUAGGAACAUGAUUAACUCCCAUAUACAUUCUAUCGUUAUAGAAUGUUUAAAGUCAUAACUUUAACGAAGAAGAAUUCUUUUCAUUUCCAAAAUUAAUAUAUCAUAUAUAUUUAAAUUUUAGGAACAUGAUUAACUCCCACUAAUCUUUUGUAAACCUAGUAAACAAAAAAAAUUCAUUUACAUCUUUAUGAGAAAUCAAACGAUUUGAUCAUUUUCUCAUAAGAUGCUCAUAGCUCCCACUAGCUUGCUUAGAUUCAUCAUGGACGGAUCUCUACCACUUACAUGUCUUGUGAUUCAUAGUUUUAGACAUAUAUUAUCAAGACUAUCUUAAUAAUGGUUUCGGAAACCCAUAUUAUGUCCAAACAUUGAAUCACCAUUUAGUUGUAGCUAGCUAUCUUCGAAUUAAUUGAAACCAAGACUACGUCAAAAAUGGUUUCUUCAAAGUCAACCAUCCUUUUUGAUUGUAGUUACCUUAAGCUACCAAUUAGCUUAUGAAGGUUUCAUUAUUUCGGGUCAAAUGGUACUUUACCAUUUCCUUGAGUAUAUAUCGUAUAUACACUCAAUGUAGUCAUAAGGAUUUUCAUUCUUAUUUCUUUCGAAUUAAGAGGUGCAACUCUAUGACAUAGUCAUAAAGUUCAAACCAUUCAACUGAGACGGUUUAUAAAUCCUUCUCGACUACCUUGGAGCUUUUGGUAUAGGAACUAGGUUGUUUAUAUUUGUUGAUUACUUUCUUGUCUCUCAAAGAACCCAUUCUUUGAGUUCUAUCUCUCGUUCAUUUGCUCUUAGGCAAAUCACAUUGUAGGAUUACAAUGAACUACCCAACAAAACAACAUUUGUUAGUUGGUUUAUAGAAGCGAUAUCCAAAAGUUAAUUUAAGGAUAUCCCACAAGAUUGUUAUCAAACAAAUAUUGCUUAUUAGCACACAACCCCAAAUCUUAACAUGCUUGAGAUUUGUCUUUCUUUCCAACUACAUCUUAUGGAGUCAUGAAAAAUUUGGAAGAUCUUCUAAUUGACAAUCAUAUUGUUUUUAGAAGUAUAUAUCCUAUAUAUGGGUAAUAGAUAACAUCCAACGAACUAAAUCUUAUUUAAGUUCGUUCUUCUCCUUAAUGGAGAAAUUUAUUAUCUUAUGAUGCUUCUUUCCUUGAUAUCUUUCAAGGAGACUCAUCUAAAGUGUUUCUUUUCCUUGGAUCAAAUCUAAGUAGGUAAAUACUUUAGAUGUCUUACUCAUCAACUUACAUUACUUGAAUUCUUUGAAACAUUUUGCAAAGUAUUCGGAUUUGUGUUUAUUCAAAAUAAACUAUAGUCCAACCGAGAGUGAUCUUCGGUGAAUGUCAUAUAACAUAAGUAGUAUUAUGUUGUGGACAAGUGCCAUUAACAUCUAAGUGAAUUAACCUCAACAACUUUGUGAUUCUUUCUUCUUUCCAAAAGAAUAAAGAUUCGAACAUUUCACCUCUAUACAAUUUUAACAAGAAGGUAUUGGAUCCGGAUCUAACGAUCCAAAGCAUCCAUCUAUGACCAACUCGUAAUUUAUGAUUUAGAGGUAUCACAAUUUAGUUGAGAUUAGUCACUACCAUGCAACCUUUUGGGUUUUAAGCAUCAUUGUAUUCUAAACAGUUAACACUACCAUAUCAUCUCUACUAUACAGACAAUCCAUUAGAUUACUAUAAUCCAAUCAUUGAUUAAUAAAGAACAAUGUUUUGUCAAACAAAACAUUCAUCCAUCUCUACUAUAGUGACGGAAUUAAAUUCCUUAAAAUUGGAAUGUAAAGACAAUCUUUGGUUUUUCCAAUUUCUUUGGUAGUUCAUAUGAGGAAGUAAGUACUAUCUGCUUUCGCAGAGAUUUAUAUUUUAUUCACGUUCCGAAUGUGAAGCACCUUUUUUCUUCUCUCAUAUAUCUUCUACUUCUUAUUAGUCACACUUUUACAACGAUUGUAAAACAUAGUUGCUAAUACGGAAUCAAGCAUUCAAGUAGAAGAACCAACUGUUUUGAACUAUUCAAGAACAAUUUACAACACCUUCGAAAGCUGUGUUCUUGAUACUUGCAAGACAUUUCUUGCAUAUACCCCUUCCAAUGUCCAUCCUUUCAUAAAGAAAGUUUGUUCCCUUGGAGUUAAUUUUAUCUUCUUCAUUUGACUUCUCCUUUGACUACAAUAGUCAUGGUCCCUAAACUCCCACUAUCUCUCUUGAAACUUAUUUCAAUUGUGUUAUACACAUCAAACAUUUUGGAGAGCAUGUGGUUAUUGUUCACUACAUAGUUUACAAUAAACUUAGUGAACCAUUAGGAUAGGGACACAUAGGUGAAGUCCUUGCCUAGUUUCCGUCUCGUUAAGUGGUUUAUCACUUCAACACUCAAUGAUUCAAAAUCAUCAUAAGUCCAUGUUAAUGGACUAUUUUUGUCAACCAACCAUUAUGUUCUAAACAUAAUUACAAACUUUCAAGAGUUGUACAAGGCAACUCUUAUUUCUUCAUACAACAAAUUGUAAGUGAAGAAUCAUGGCACAUUAAGUGUCCAUGCCUUUGUGCUUUCUUCUCAAGUUCCUUGUUCAUGUAACAAAGAAACAAGCACUAAGUGUUUGCAUUGACUAAGAGUUGUUCAAAGCAACUCCUAUUUCUUCAUACAACAAAUUGUAAUUGAAGAAUUAUGACAUUAAAAGUGUUAUCCUCUUUAUGAUAGACCUUUUCUAACAUAUUCUUCUAAUGAUACAUUAUCAAUAGGAAGAUUGUGAGGAUGAGACUACUUAGGUACAUUUACAAGCCAUUAAAGACAAUCUAUGGUUUUGUAGUACCAAGUACGGAAACUAAAGCUUUUGGCUUUUAUUUGUUAAGUGUUGGAUAGCGUUUGCAAAUAUAUUGGUAAACAAAUACAUAACGAAUAUAAAUUGAUUGAUUUUAAGCCAUUUGAUUCGGGUCUUUAAAUCAAAUAGCACCACCCACUAUUUUUGGCAAAUUCCAUAUCCCUCAUUGGAAUUCGAGAGUUUUGGAUGAAACUCUUAGUAGGGUAUGGGAGACUCACUACUACCAAGCCCACCUCACAAUGAUAUGAUGUUGGCUAGCAUUAAUAAUAAUGAGAGAGUACGCUUACUCAUUUGCAUCUCUUGCAAGUACCCAUCUUAUUUGGCCUCUAGAGAAUGUCACCUCACAAUGAUAUGAUGUUGGCUCCAUUGCACUUAGUUAAGUCAUUCCCACCAUGCUUAGUUUGUGAAGGGGUUCAAGAAUAGCCUCACAAUGAUAUGAUGUUGGCCAUCCUCGUUGCCUACACUCACCUCAUCAAGUAUGUAUAUAGACUCCUCCUGAGUAUAAGCAUGCACUUUGCACUCCCCCAUGAUAGGGUGAAGGCGGUGUACAAGUCAUAAACGAUUGGAGCCUACCACGGUGGAAGGCCACGAAAGAGUGUUCAAAGCACUCUCACGCUUGUCAACUUAAUAAUGGUUUGGUUAAGGGUUUUAGGUCUCAUCACAUAUAAACAUUCAUUUUAAUCUAUAUUAAAAUAAUUUUGGUCCUAUUACAACUAUUGGUCCAUUUGAUUGUUUUAGUUGUAUAUAAUACUCCCACUAUGCUUAUAAAACGGUUUUUAAAGCAAGAGUAUAUAGUUGCCUUAGGGCCUUAGGAUGAUUAUGAACCUUUUAAUUAGAUCCAACAUGAGCCUUGUGUUGAAGCUCGGUCUAGGGAUGGUGAUUGAUUUUAGUUACGCGUUUAAUCACAUUAAGGCGUGUUGUCUUAGGGGCGUUGGACCCAACUACUUCAUUUUCAUGCAUAUCAAAUAAAGCAAGAAAGAAGUACUUCAAAGUAAAGGUGAGCUUAUGCUCAUUACAACAUUUGCAUAAAUCAAAUUACUUUAAAGUAAAGAAGAGCUUAAGCUCUUUUACAACAUUUGAUCAACUCAAAUUACAACCAAAAUCUAAUCUAUACAUUCCCAUGGUUCAAACAAAUUUGAAACGGCCUAUCACAUAGCUCAAUUAUAUUAGGCUUAGGUUCAUAAUCACCCUUUAAUUAAUUAACACUUUAACUAAUUAAAUUGAAUGCAACAUUUUCAUUUGGUUUUUGUAUCCAUAAAAUUGAUUUAAAUGGAGCUAAAUGAAAUGAAAAUCCAAUUCUCAUUUAAAGAGACAAAACAAUUUUGUUCUCUACCUAAUUUGGACCAAUAUGCAAUUACCACAACCUUUGGGCUAUAUUGCAAAAACACAAACUUUUGGGGUCACUUUGUAAAAACACAAAAGUCCACAACUUCAUGUAAUUACAAGUAGAACCCAAAAUUUAAACAAUGCAAAAACUUCAUUAAAGGAACAAAACAAUUUGUCCUUUAGCGUUUUUGGACCUAAACGUAAAAACAUAAACUUUUGGGCCAAAGUGCAAAUACACAAAAGUAUCAAAACUUUAUGUAAUUGCAUAAAAGCCCUAAAAGUACCCUACAUGUAGGGUGGCCGGUUUUGGAGAGGGAAAGGAGUGAUGUGUGUGUUGAUUUGUGAGUUUUGACAUAAAGCAAGCAAGUGGUGCAAGUGGUGUGUGUGAAAAGGAAUUAAUCAUUUCACACCCACCAUUAUUUCUACCACCAUUUAAACAAAUAUCUAACACAUAAAUCAUUUGAAAAAACAUAAAACAUAAACUUUAUGAAAUAAAUCAAAACUUUGAAUCAAAACACAAAACUUUUUGUUCUUGGCAAAAAUGUCAAGAACAAUGAAGAACAUUCAUGAAAAACCCAAAAAAUUUCCAUGAACAUUUUUACUCCAAAAACAUCCCAAAACCAUUCAAACUUUAGGGAAAUAACAUAUAACCAAACUAGGGUACAUAGGGGUUCCAAAAGUCACUUGAAAACACUUUUAACAAGUCAAACAAGAACCCAAAAAUCCACCCUUUGGAUUUGGCCGAAUUUUCCCAAAAACAUGGCACCAAAUUUUAGCUCCAAUAUUCAUGCUCAUAUGAACUACAUCUUCAACAUUUGAGAUGGCAAAUUUUCUAACAAAAUUUACAUUCAAAGAAACAAGAAUAAAUCUUGUAACAUAUUACAACUUUUAAAUCACAAACUAUGAACCACAAAACCCAAAAGGAUUCACCAACUACUAGACCUAGGCUCUGAUACCACUUGAAGGAUGAUUUUGUGAAAACAUGUUCAUUUGAAUAACAUCUAUAGCAUGCAUUUAACAAUUAAAAGGCGGAAUCAUGCUUGCAUGCAUUCAAAAACAAACAUUACCCAUGAAAUUCAAAGCCUAGUAGAUUGGUGAACCAAGACUCAACUCAAAUCAAAGUGAGUUGAGAAAUGUAUACCUUUGUAGAUUCCUCUUUGCAUAAGCAAAGGCUAAUCACCCAAGGAGAGGGCCUUCAUUCCUUGCUUCUUAGAUCCAUGGAUUUGGAUGGAAGAAUAUGGUUCUCCAAGUUCCCAAAAUUGAGAACCUCUAAGUGUCCACACCAAGGUAAGAUUGAUGAAGAAAUGAGUGACCUUGGAGUAGUGGAGUGGGAUUGCUAGAUACACCCUCCAAGGGGGCCGGCCUCCUAGAGAGAAAAGGGAGAGACAUGUUCUCUCCAAUUUUCUCCAAAAGAACCCUUAAUGAAUUUUAGGCUAUAAAGUUCUUUAUAUAGUCACUUCUUUAAAUGACUUAAGAACCAAAAACCCUAAUUCAACACACAUGGCCGGCAACAUAAGGGAUUUGGGCUUUUGGGCCUUUGUGAAUCUUUAUUCAUUAAAUUGUCAUACAACUUAAGUCAAUGGGCUUGACGUUCGAAGCCCAUUGGGCCUUAAGGUCCAAAACUAUCCCGAGGUCUUUAACGAACUUAUUCGUUUGAUUAAUUAACAUAUUAAUUAAUCCUUGCCAUAAAUAAUUAAACCAUUUAAUUAUUUUACUAUUCUUACAUCAUCCAUUGUUUCUUCAAUCUCCACCUUACACGGUGUACGAUCCAUUAGGUUCCUUUUAGCGAGGUAGUGGGCGAUUAAAACUCUUUCAAUUCGAUUGUGAAUUGAAACUUACUUUCAAUUCUCCCUUUAGUGUUUAUACACGUUUAGGGCUUCCACAAACCAAGAGUGACACCUAGCAACAUAUCAUGGUUACCCAAGCUAAUCAGAAGAGGUAGAGAACCUAUUCAGUUUAGGAUUACAAAUGCAAUACGGUCUUUCUCUAAUACAAUACUCUUGACCACAUGGUUUGGUUUGAUAGUUUUUUCAUAUCUACUAUCCAAUGUGAUUCAUGUGCUUAUAUGAUUACCUUCACUGUGAUUUGGAACGACUUCCUAAAUCUCAUUAAUACUCUGGCCAGAGAUUCUUAAUCAUAUCAUAGAGUAUUCUCCCUCAAACAGUUUGAAGGUUAGAGAUCCCUUGUUGCGCAUUCACUUGCCUCCAUGGCUAAGUGGCUUAACCCUAACUAUGCCGUGGACACCCGCGGAUGGGGUGACUUUGACAUAAUCAAAGAUUAAGGACUUAACCACAAGACAAACGUGAUGCCUCAGGUCAAAGGACUACUUUGCAUUAUCCCAACCAUGAGUUCUCAUGUGACAUGAAUAUGAGAACUUUUCGUUGAUCGUGUUCAGUGAACUCAUUCUCUAUUGAGCACCUACGUACUUGUCUUGAUGUCACACACACCAAUAACUCGAGACUAGUCACUCUCCCUGAGAGAUGACACAGCACGUACUGAUCUUAACGGACUGUUAAUGCCCAAUUGGCAAUCCUAUGAUCAGGAACGUUUAGGAUGUGUCUACGAAAGAAUGGUCUCAUGAAUCUAACUUAUUUAGAUUGCAUUCUCCCAAUCACAUAUUCCUUGGACUUAUCGUUUAAGCAUAUAACAUUUAUAUGAGACGGCUCAAACAAUAAUCUUUGCCCUUGAUAUUAAACUAGAUUAGUUUAACAUGUGAAAUGUCCGUAAAGUAUCAUCAUAUGAUUGGUUUUAGGGCACAUUUCCAACACACUGGGGUGUAGGUUUAUGAGCUCUCAAAACAUCACAUCAUAUCUCACAUAACUGAAGUAACCUCAAAUCUUUAAUUUAUGAUUUUACCUGGCACUUACCUGUGCGUCCGCAACACCAAUCAUAAUUAUAUGCAACUACUAAUGCAUAAAUAAAAAAGGCAGAUGCUUUGCAUGGCAUUUCAAAACGUAUAAUCAUUCAAAUUCAUUUUCUGGGAAAAAUCUCAAGUAUAUAGGUAUAUACAGAAAACCAAAAGCCCACUCAUUGAUAUGUUGAAGGGUCGUAGCCCCCGAGCCUUAAUUGAUGGCCUUCGUCCUCAUAAUAGGUCUCACCUAUAUGCGAAAUAACUGAAUAAACAUUAUUUAAGGCACAUAUACAAAACGAGGAAAUAACUUCUCAUACAUUGCUCAAAUGGGGUAUUUGAAUAUACCAGCAUGAUCUACUCAACCUCAGGAACAUCCCUAAAUUUUUAGAAAAAAUUUUCAUGACCCCAUGCACCGGCCAAGGCACGGCCAGUUGCGCGGCUCACGUGCAGGCACGUGCCUGGCACACCAAACGGAUUCCCUAACGGCGUUAGGGAAUAUUCCGUCAAAAAUCAGAAUAUGCCGUUAUGUUUACCUAACGGCGUCAGAAUAUUCCGUCAACUCUGAUGGAAUAUUCUUCUCCUUCUUCCUUGGUUUGCUGGAGUCCGGCACCGGUCACCACUGCACUCGCCGGUUUUUGAAAAAAUUUAAAAUCUUCAUAUCUCCUUCAAUUCUCAACCAAAACUCACGAAAUUUGUUUCAAAAUGAAGCUUAGAGGGAUUAGAACACAACCUUACCAAAUUCACGCCUUGAAAUCCAUGAGAUUUUGCCAGAGAAACCUCGAUAUUACGGCCAAACUUGAAACUUGUCAAACUCAACUUCCCGACGUCCAAAACAAUUCGUUUUUCUUCUUCGAGCUUCACGAAGACGUCCUAAAGCUUCCUAGCAGCUUAAAAUCUCCUAAAAACUUCACAAUCACGAGUGCAUGAAUAGUAACCCAAAACUGGGUUCUCGAAUUCUCGGGAAAAUGAGGUCUUCACGUUCUAAAAGCGAUAUAGAUGUGUUCCUGAGCUCACAAGGAACACGAAUGUGACUUUAAAAACCUCGAUUCGUGAAGAAAUUGCUUGGUUUGAGGUUUUUCCAUACGUGUUGUACGGAAAAUGGACAAAAACCGAGAGGGAAGAGAGAGAGAGGGUCAACGGGAUUGGGUGUGUGUGUGAAUGUGUGGUCCAGCUUGUCACCAACCAAAACUAGGAAAAAUUUUAGUUCUAGUUGGGUCCAAAAACUUAGGAAAGAAAAUAAUUGGUCCACAACACAACUUAAAACCACACAACACCACAAAUGAUUAAGGGUAAAUUAGACAUUUCACACCAUCAGAGAAAAUAUUUCAGGACGAGCUAUGACAUGUUUAUUAAAUAUUAUUUUCUUUAUUUUAAACACAUUCAAAACAUCUUAAGAGGCGUGUGAUGCCGAGUAUAAAAAAGUCUUUCGCAUGCAGAUAAUAAUGUGAUUAAAUUAGUUGUCAAAUGAUUUUUUUUAACAAAGAUAUUAUCUACACUAAGGGUGAAUAUUGAUUUUGGUGUCACCAAACCUCAACAAAAAUAUUUGGACAAAAAUACCCCCACGACAAAAAACUUCAAAUGCAUCCCAAAAUAAUACAUCAAAUAAAGCAGGGGCAUUUUCAUCAUUUUGAUAGUAUGUUUUUAAUAAUUAAUUUUUUUUUUGUUUUUUUUUAAUUAGUACCUCACAAUAGGCUAGAAAUAAUGUGAUUCAAUUUCUCUAUUUUUAAACACGUUCAAAACAUCUUAAGAGGUGCAUAAUGCCAGUUAUAAAAAAGGUCAUUUGCAUGCGGAUAAUAAUGUGAUUAAAUUAGUGUCAAAUGAUUUUUUUAACAAACGAUAUUAUCUACACUAAGGGGGAGGGGGUGAGUUUAGCCUCACAACGAGCUAGUAAUAAUGUGAUUCAAUCAGUAGUUUGUUAAAUAUUAUUUUCUCUAUUUUAAACACGUUCAAAACAUCUUAAGAGACGCGUAAUGCCGGUUAUAAAAAUAGUCUUUUGCACACAGAUAAUAAUGUGAUUAAAUUAGUUGUCAAAUGAUUGUUUUUUUUAACAAACGAUAUUAUCUAUACUAAGGAGGUGGUGUGACAGCCCAUCCCGAAAUAUUUAUUUUUGACGGCGUGAAAUUACUUAUAUACCCUUGGACGUUUUGUGUGGGGGUGUGGGACCAAUUACUGCUAAGUCCUAUUAUUUUGGAACCAAUUAGGACUUAGAUGAUAUUUUCUUUGGUUUUGGUUAGUGACCCACGUGGACCACACACACACACACACACACACACACACACACACUCUCUCUCUCUCUCUCUUAUGUUGACUCUCUCUCUUCCCUCUCGGAUUUCUUUUAUCUUCCACACAAGUUGUACGAACAACCUUGAAGUUUCACUUCCCAUCAUGAAUCGAGCUCAUUGUUACCAUCAUCAUCCUCAUCUCAUCGUAACAAGCUCAACCAUACCCUUUCUGAUCGUGAAACCUUCGAAACUCGAGAGCCCAAGAUACUCAUUUUUGGUGCAUUGUUCAUGCACACAUAAAUGUGAAGGUUUCAGUGGUUUUUGAGCUUCUAGGAAGCUUUAGGACUUCUCCACGAAGCUCAGAGAAGAAAAACAAGGUGAAUUGGACGUCGGGAAGUCGAGAUCAACGAGUUCAAAGUUUGGCCGGAUUAUCGAAGGAUCUCCGGCGAAUUCUCGAGGAUUUCAGGUCCCAAAAUUGGUAAGCUUUUGUUCCUUACAUUGUAAGCUUCAUUUUGGUGAAGAUUUCGUGGAAUUUGGUGCAAAAAUGAGAGAGAUAUGAGGUUUUACAUAUUUUUCCAGUUUCCAGCAGACGGCGACAGCAACGGUGACCAGCUAAGCUGAUCGGAGAAGAAGAUAGAAUAUUUCCGUCAAAUUUUACGAAAUAUUCUGAUGCCAUCAGGUAGAUUUAACGGUUUCUAUUGCCUUUUAACGGAAUAUUCCUAACGGCAUUUAGGAUUCCGUCAAGGUUACCAGCGCGUGGGGGCACGUCUGGCCGUGCCUUUGCCGAUGCGUGGGGCGUCGAAAAAUAUUUCUAAAAAUAUAGGGAUGUUCGUGAGGUUGUGUAGAUCACGUUGGUAUAUUCAAACAUCCCAUUUGAGCAAUGUAUGAGAAGUUAUUAACUAGUUUUGUCUAUGUGCUUUAAAUAAUGUUUAUUCAGUUAUUUCACAUAUAGGUGAGGCCUAUCCAGAGGAUGAGCGCAGUCAAGGGCAACUCGGGGGCUACGACCCUUCGACAUACCAGUAAGUAGGCUUUUGGUUUUCAAUAUAUAUUUAUAUACUUGAUAUUUUCCCAAAAAAUGCGUUUAAAUGAAAGUAUGCUUUGAAAUGCCAUGCAUAUAAAUUUAUAUUCAUCAUAUGAAUUAGUAUAUGAUGCAUAAUAUGAAUUGGUGUUGUGGACACUCAGGUAAGUACCAUGUGAGUUAUGUUUUGUUAUAUGAGAUAUUGAUAAUGGGAGACGUGAUUGAUAGCUCAUAAACCUGCUUCCCGGGUGAUUGUGAUUUAGCCAGAGAUAUGAUACAGGCUUGUUUAUGAUGUCAACUAGGGGUGGGUUCAAAAAAUCGAAAACCGAAAAAAAUCAAAAACCGAACCGGACCGAGGCCGAAAAAAUCGAACCGAAACUGUCAAAUCGAACCGAAUCGAAUCUGGCCAGUUCGAUUUCAGCUUUUUGAGGUUUGGAAACCAAACCGAAUCGAUAUAUAUUUAAUUAUUUUUUCAAUAUUAUAAAUAGUUUAGUCAUACAAUCAUAACAAAACAUAACAUGUUGCCAAGUUGGUUUCAGUGAAGCUUCUCAAGUUGCAGCGCAUGGGUUCGAAUCCUCAUGCCUCUAAGAUUUGGAGAAUUGUUUUAAUUUUUUUGAGAAAUCAACAAAACCCUUUAACCCUAGCCACUAGUAGUAGCAGCCACACCUUUUAUUUUUUUUCAUUCCCCUCUUCUCUCUCUCGUUCCUUGCCUUCAUUGUAACCCUAUCCUAGUAACCCUCUCGCACAGCCUGAGCCUCCUCUCUCUCUCGCUCGGUUCGGUCUUUUCCUUGAAGGAACUGCACGCAGCAACAAACAAUUUUAAUUAUGACAACAAACUUGGAGAGGGAGGAUUUGGAAGUGUUUACUAGGGUCAGCUCUGGGAUGGAUCACAAGUAAUCACUAACUUUUUCAAUUUAUGUUUAUAUUUGUUAUCUCUGUUGGUUACUAAGUUAACAUCAACAUUACAUAAUUAUCGAUCUUGUUAAUUUUCUCGUUUUGUGAAAGAACAAAGAUUAGGCAUUGUUCUUGAUUUUAUUAAAACGUGCAAAAUGGAAAAGGAUACUGUUUGUUGAUUUUUUGUUAGAUGUAUGAUGUCUCAUUGAUUAUAUUUACUGUUUAAUCCAUUAAGUUUAUAGAUUUUGGAAAUGUAAGUUAAUUUCACCAGAAGUUCUGUCGAAGACUUCUGGUGAAGUAGAAAGCACAUGAAUCUUACUGUUCAAAACUCCGCCUAUGUCUUACAUGGCCGGUCCCAAGCCCGGAUAAAGGAGGAGGGGGAGGGCGUCAGGUAGUCGACAGCCGGCACUCCAUGAUCACGUCGAAUCCUUAUGAAAAUGAAUCCAGAACAAAAUCGCGCUAAAGCUAGGGCGUCACCCGUAAGUGGCGCGCUGUGUGGCCUGAGCACAGUGAUAAGUGAGCAAGGGUCGCUGCAUCUCCAUCGGCACCCGGAUGCAGUGUUAAAUGAGCAAGGGGGCCAUAGAAACUUCUUUUCGAACGACUCCACUCAAAGUUGUUUGGGAGCAUAUGCUCCUAUCAAUUUUACCCGGGACACACAAAAGAAGUACUUUGAUCCUAUUAGACGGGGGAGGGGUGAAGAAGCUAGGACAGAAGGGUAGAGUUCAAGAGAGCAAAAUGCGUUUAGGAACGUGGAAUAUAGGAACCUUAACGGGAAAAUCUAUGGAAAUAGUGGAAGUUAUGGUGAGGAGAAGGAUAAAUAUUAUGUGCCUACAAGAAACUAAGUGGGUUGGUAGUAAGGCAAAGGAUCUAGAAAACUCAGGGUUUAAACUUUGGUAUUCGGGCACAAAUAGAACGAGAAACGGUGUUGGCAUCAUCGUGGACAAGACCUUGGUACAAGAUGUUGUAGAUGUCAAGAGGGUAGGAGAUAGAAUCAUGGCAAUCAAGAUUGUAAUAGGACAAGAACUUAUCAAUGUGAUUAGUGCGUACGCACCUCAAGUAGGGUUGGAUACGAGUUCGAAGGAGAAAUUUUGGGAAGAUCUUGGAGACUUGGUGCAAGGAAUUGCUCAGACGGAGAAGUUAUUUAUAGGAGGAGAUUUAAAUGGACACGUGGGCAGGGAGACAGGCAACUAUGGAGGUUUUCAUGGUGGCCAUGGUUUUGGGGAGAGAAACGAGGAUGGGGAAGCUAUCUUGGAUUUUGCAAUGGCAUAUGAUCUCUUCUUAGCCAACACCUUCUUUAAGAAGAGAGAAGAACAUGUGAUCACCUACAAGAGUGGGUCGUCAAAAACACAAAUAGAUUUUCUUCUAAUGAGGAAAGGGGAUCGUAUAACUUGUAAGGAUUGCAAAGUUAUACCAGGAGAGAGCGUGGCUAAUCAACAUCGCUUGUUGGUGAUGGAUGUACAUAUCAAAAGAGUAAGACAAAAGAACAAGACUUGGAAGUGCCCAAGGACUAGAUGGUGGAAUCUAAAAGAAGAAAAAACAAGUCAUUUUCAAAGAGAAGGUAAUCACCCAAUGUGUGUGGGAUAGAGAGGGGGAAGCUAGCCAAAUGUGGGAUUCCAUGGCUAGUUGUAUCCGAAAAGUAGCAAAAGAGGUAUUAGGAGAGUCCAAGGGCUUUGCCCCACACCAAAAGGAAUCUUGGUGGUGGAAUGAGGAGGUACAAACAAAGGUGAAGGCUAAGAAGGAAUGUUGUAAAGCCUUAUACAAGGAGAGGACCGAUGAAAAUGGUGAAAAGUAUAGAAAAGCGAAGCAAGAGGCGAAAAAAGCUGUCAGAGAAGCUAAGUUAGCGGCCUACGACGAUAUGUAUAAACGACUAGAUACCAAAGAAGGAGAGUUGGAUAUCUAUAAACUAUCUAGAGCAAGGGAAAAGAAGACAAGGGAUCUAAACCAAGUGAGGUGCAUCAAGGAUGAGGAUGGAAAGGUUCUUGCUACAGAGAACGCGGUUAAAGACAGAUGGAGAGGUUAUUUUCAUAAUCUUUUCAAUGAAGGACAUGAAAUGAGCGAUUCUUUAGGGGAGUUGAGUAACUCAGAAGAGUGUAGAAACUACUCUCUUUUUAUCGUCGAAUCCGGAAGGAAGAAGUGGUUGUAGCUUUGAAGAAGAUGAAGCAUAAAAAAGCAAUAGGCCCAGACAAUAUACCAAUCGAAGUGUGGAAACUUUUGGGAGAGACAGGUAUAACAUGGCUCACUGACCUUUUCAAUAGGAUUUUGAAAACGAAGAAGAUGCCAAAUGAGUGGCGAACGAGCACUUUGGUGCCUAUCUACAAGAACAAGGGCGACGUACAAAAUUGCAUGAACUAUAGGGGUAUUAAGCUAAUGAGUCAUACAAUGAAGCUCUGGGAGAGAGUCAUUGAGCAUAGAUUGAGGCAAGAGACACGGGUUUCGGACAACCAAUUCGGGUUCAUGCCAGGGCGCUCAACCAUGGAGGCAAUCUAUCUCUUACGAAGAUUGAUGGAAAGAUAUAGAGAUGGGAAAAAGGAUUUACACAUGGUCUUUAUAGAUUUGGAAAAAGCGUAUGAUAGGGUCCCAAGAGACAUUCUUUGGAGGAUUUUAGAGAAGAAAGGAGUACGAGUAGCAUAUAUCCAAGCUAUAAAGGAUAUGUAUGAAGGAGCAAAGACUGCCGUAAGAACUCAUGAAGGACAAACCGAAAGCUUCCCCAUAACUGUAGGAUUACAUCAAGGCUCAUCCUUAAGUCCUUACCUUUUUGCGUUGGUAAUGGAUGAGUUAACAGGACAUAUUCAAGAUGAUAUUCCUUGGUGUAUGCUUUUUCGCAGACGAUAUAGUGUUGAUAGAUGAAACUCAGGAAGGGGUAAAUGCAAAGCUUAACCUUUGGAGAGAAGUGUUGGAAUCUAAAGGUCUUCGCCUAAGCCGAUCAAAGACAGAAUAUAUGGAGUGCAAGUUCAGUGCAAAUGGAGGCCAAAACGAGUUAGGGGUGAGGAUCGGAGAUCAAGAAAUACCAAAAAGCGACCGUUUUCGUUACCUAGGAUCUAUCUUGCAAAAGAACGGAGAAUUAGAUGGAGAUCUCAACCAUAGAAUACAAGCUGGAUGGAUGAAGUGGAAGAGUGCAUCCGGUGUGUUGUGUGACCGCCGUAUGCCAUUGAAGCUCAAGGGAAAAUUUUAUAGGACGGCAAUAAGGCCGGCGAUGCUGUAUGGCACAGAAUGUUGGGCGGUGAAACAUCAACAGGUACACAAAAUGGGUGUAGCGGAGAUGAGGAUGCUUCGUUGGAUGUGUGGGCACACAAGAAAGGAUAAGAUUAGGAAUGAGGAUAUCCGGGGUAAAGUAGGAGUAGCCGAAAUUGAAGGAAAGAUGAGAGAAAAUCGGUUACGGUGGUUUGGACAUGUGCAAAGAAGGCCUACUGACGCUCCGAUUAGAAGAUGCGACUAUGGGACAGAGGUUCAGGGCCGAAGGGGUAGAGGAAGACCUAGGAAAACUUUGGAAGAGACUCUAAGAAAAGACUUAGAGUACUUGGAUCUAACGGAGGACAUGACACAGGAUCGAGCACAAUGGCGUUCUAAGAUUCAUAUAGCCGAUCCCACUCAGUGACUUGGAUUUUCCAAGUCUCCAAUCGAGAAGUUUUCCUCACUCGGGAAAUUAAGGGAACACUACCCCAACCUACAUGCUCCACUCAGAAAGCUUCAACAUACAAGCUUCAACAAAAGAAAAUUCAAAGAACUUAGCGAAGAAGGCUUUGGUGUAUUUAACACAAUACGUUGAAAUGAAGGAAAGCUUAUUUAUUGAUAUCCCCGAUCAGCUACAAAUAUGUACAUAUACAUGAGUCAAAAUAAACACACAAGACGGAGCCUUCACAAAGGUUGCUUAGGAGAAGUCUCAGCAGUCGGUAGAGCCCCAGAAAGAGAAGGCACCGGAGGGGGAUCAUUUGGAGCCUCAGUACUGGACAGAACCCUAGAAGGAGGAGGCAUCAGAGGUUGAUCAUUCGGAGCUUCAUUACGCGGUACAGCCCCAGAAGACGAAGGCAAUAAAUGCCUUUGGAACAAACCCACAAAUCUCUGAUGAUCAAGUAAAACCUGACCAUCAGUUUCCUUCAUCUGGUCAAGCUUCCUCUUCAUGUUUGUAGCAUAGUCAUGUGCGAGCCGGUGCAACUGUUUAUUCUCAUGCUUGAGCCCUCUAAUCUCCUGUUUGAGACUCAUCACUUCAGCCGCCAAGGAUUCAACUUGGCGGGUUCGAGCAAAUAGGCGUUGGGCCAUAUUAGACACAGAACCUGCACACUGAACACUGAGAGCCAACGAAUCCUUAACAGCUAACUCAUCAGACCGUUUGGAAAGUAGUCUGUUAUCUUUGGGAGUGAGAAGGUUCCUGGCCACCACCGCAGCGGUCAUAUCAUUCUUCAUCACGGAAUCCCCAACGGUAAGAGGACCAGUAGGGGAGACGAAGGAUGGGCGCCAUAUGUUGUCUGGAGAAGGCGGGGCUGCCUCUUCAACAAGGUUCAAGUCAAAACGACGGUCGGAGGGGCCAGACAUUUUCAAAGGUGUUGAAGAGAGAAGAGGUCGGACAAAUCAAGAUCUUAGAAGUGCAAGAAUGAAGCUUCUACUGGUGGAGAUUCAAGUGUGCUUUGGAACUUAAUGUCAGCCUCUAUAAAAAUCUGCACUCGACGGAGCUUCGGAAAUCGAAGAGGCGCCUGCUCAGAAAUCGAAGAGGCGUUUGCUUUCUCAAAAGCUGGGCUGCUUAGAGAUCACGAGGGUUGAUCUCAGAAAUCGAAGAGGCGUUUGCUUUCUCAAAAGUUGGGCUUCUCAAAGACCACGAAGGCCGAUCUCAGAAAUCGAAGAGGCGCUCGCUUUCUCAAAAGCUGGGCUCCCCAGAGACCACGAGGGCCGAUCUCAGAAAUCGAAGAGGCACCUACUUUUCCAGCCUUGUCAGCACCCGUCACACGCACACUCAGCUUUGCAGAAAUUAUGGGCAUUCUGUCGAAGACUUCUGGGGAAGUAGAAAACACAUGAAUCUUACUGUUCAAUCACCCACUUCCCACACGCAACAAUAGCUCAUGGGUACCACAGAUAACUUUGCCAAAGUUCUCUGCCAAAGUUGAGCACGUGAAGCUUGCAGCUCCCACUACAUCGCUCUGACCAAGAAGGGUAAAAGAAUAGCAAAGAAACAGCACUAACAAAGUUUAGACCCAUAAAUUUUGAAGGUCUAGCUACCAUAUUAUUACCCACAAGGGUAAAGGAACAGUACUAUUGCUGGAUAAUUGGAAAGUCCCUGUGUGUCAACCUCUGUGCUUCGUGGCAAGGUAGACUAGCAAACAUGCCCAACCUUUACUCACAUUCGAGAAAACACUCCCAAUAAGAUUGCUUGCUCCAAAAUCGAAGAGGCACCGUCCUCCGAAUCUCGAGAGCCAGACUCCCAACAUGACUACUUUCUUAAAAAUCGAAGAGAGGGUAAAGGAACAGUACCAUUGCUGGAUAAUUGGAAAGUCCCUGUGUGUCAACCUCUGUGCUUCGUGGCAAGGUAGACUAGCAAACAUGCCCAACCUUUACUCACAUUCGAGAAAACACUUCCAACAAGAUUGCUUGCUCCAAAAUCGAAGAGGCACCGCCCUCCGAAUCUCGAGAGCCAGACUCCCAACGUGAUUACUUUCUCAAAAAUCGAAGAGACACUGCUCCCCGAAUCCUCGAGAGCCAGACCCCUAGCAUGAUUGCUUUCUCAAAAAUCGAUGAGGCAUCGUUCUCCGAAUCAAUCGAAGAGGCGCUCGCUUUCUCAAAAGCUGGGCUGCUCAAAGACCACGAGGGCCGAUCUCAGAAAUCGAAGAGGCACCUACUUUUCUAGCCUUGUCAGCACCUGUCACACGCACACUCAGCUUUGCAGAAAUUAUGGGCAUUCUGUCGAAGACUUCUGGUGAAGUAGAAAGCACAUGAAUCUUACUGUUCAAUCACCCACUUCCCACACGCAACAAUAGCUCAUGGGUACCACAGAUAACUUUGCCAAAGUUCUCUGCCAAAGUUGAGCACGUGAAGCUUGCAGCUCCCACUACAUCGCUCUGACCAAGAAAGGUAAAAGAAUAGCAAAGAAACAGCACUAACAAAGUUUAGACACAUAAAUUUUGAAGGUCUAGCUACCAUAUUAUUACCCACAAGGGUAAAGGAACAGUACCACUGCUGGAUAAUUGGAAAGUCCCUGUGUGUCAACCUCUGUGCUUCGUGGCAAGGUAGACUAGCAAACAUGCCCAACCUUUACUCACUUUCGAGAGAAAACACUCCCAACAAGAUUGCUUGCUCCAAAAUCGAAGAGGCACCGUCCUCCGAAUCUCGAGAGCCAGACUCCCAACAUGACUACUUUCUCAAAAGCGAAGAGAGGGUAAAGGAACAGUACCAUUGCUGGAUAAUUGGAAAGUCUCUGUGUGUCAACCUUUGUGCUUCGUGGCAAGGUAGACUAGCAAACAUGCCCAACCUUUACUCACAUUCGAGACAACACUCCCAACAGGAUUGCUUGCUCCAAAAUCGAAGAGGCACCGCCCUCCGAAUCUCGAGAGCCAGACUCCCAACAUGAUUACUUCCUCAAAAAUCGAAGAGACACUGCUCUACGAAUCUCGAGAGCCAGACCCCCAGCAUGAUUGCUUUCUCAAAAAUCGAAAAGGCAUCGUUCUCCGAAUCUCGAGAGCCAGAUACCACAGACCACUUUUUCAAAGUGCUCUGACAGAGUUAAAACAUGUGAAACUGGCAGCUCCCACUACCGUGCUAUGACCAAGCAGGGUAAAGGAAUAGCAUUACUACUUGUUGUUAGGGAGACUCCUAUAUAUGUCGACCUCCAUCCCCAACGGACAGGCAGACCUGCAAAAAUGCUCAACCUUUCAUCAUAUCUGAGAGGGCACUCCCAACGAAGCCUUUCGAAAUAUUCAGCUUUCUUUCCCCCCGAUAAUACCUCUGCAAACAAGCUAUACUAGAGCAAGAAUAUCUCAUAUCAUCAGGGUUAAAAGCAAGAGUAUCCCAUAUCAUGCUUUUUCCCUGUCUUUUCCUUUGGCCUUGUUUUUACCUGCAAGACAAGGAGAAAGAGAGCAAUCAGUCAGCACUUGGAUCAAGCUUCCAGCCAGGAACUGACUGCCUGGAACCCCUUACCUGAUUACUUACCUGGCAUUGCUCUCGAGUACUCAUCUUCAACAUCUUAUGUUUCCAGGGAAGAUUCCGCAUCUGCUUGAGGAACAGAUAGGGCAAGUGCGAAGGAUACAAGGAAGCAUGUGGAGACAAGCGUAACAGCACACGUGCCGAUACACCCAUUACUCUGUCAAAAGCAAAAGUAUCCCAUAUCAGCAGGGUGGAACGUACUCUAGAUUUGAUGGACUUGUUUUGACCCUCAAAUUCUUCAGUCGGCCUUAUACUCUGGAGGAAACCAGAAAACCCUCCAGCUCAGUUCAAGAAUAAGCCUGUGGAAAGUUACUUCUUCAAAAGCAAAAGUAUCUCAUAUCAUCUCUUCUCAUUUUUUCUUCUCUUUAUCCUUCAUGCUGCUGCAAGAUGGGGAGAAGGUGAACAAUCAGUCGGAGCUCUGAUUGCUUACCUUGUCUGUCACCUCUUUCAGCAGACCCCCUAGCUCGGCGACUUGGGGGACUCCUACUACAUGGUUUGUAUCGCGCUUGACCAAGCCUGAGACUACAAGUAAGCUUCAAGUGAAAUUGAUACAUUACCUUGUGCAUCUCCACCAGUUAAAGAUACCACCCCUGGAUGGAGGAAGAGUACUUCCAGAGAAGAUGCCACAUCUACCUAUGAGACAGAUAAGGCAAGUCAAGACGACACCACACUCCGAUACUUAGAAGUUUCGUGAUUACGAGAUCAUUCUCCCACAAUAUUUCCUAAUGUCAUUUGUACUAAAUCAUUCACUUGUACUCACUAAAGGAGAGCUUGAACCUAUGUACUUGUGUAAACCCUUCACAAUUAAUGAGAACUCUUCUAUUCCGUGGACGUAGCCAAUCUGGGUGAACCACGUACAUCUUGUGUUUGCUUUCCUAUCUCUAUCCAUUUAUAUACUUAUCCACACUAAUGACCGGAGCAAUCUAGCGAAGAUCACAAAAAGCGACCGUUUUCGCUACCUAGGAUCUAUCUUGCAAGAGAACGGAGAAUUAGAUGGAGAUCUCAACCAUAGAAUACGAGCUGGAUGGAUGAAGUGUAAGAGUGCAUCCGGCGUGUUGUGUGACCGUCGUAGGCCACUGAAGCUCAAGGGAAAAUUUUAUAGGACGGCAAUAAGGCCAGCGAUGUUGUAUGGCAUAGAAUGUUGGGCGGUGAAGCAUCAACACGUACACAAAAUGGGUGUAGCGGAGAUGAGGAUGCUUCGUGGGAUGUGUGGGCACACGAGAAAUGAUAAGAUUGGGAAUGAGGAUAUCCGAGGUAAAGUAGGAGUAGCCGAAAUUGUAGGAAAGAUGAGAGAAAAUCGGCUCCGAUGAUUUGGACAUGUGCAAAGAAGGCCGACUGACGCUCCGGUUCGAAGAUGUGACUACGGGACAGAGGUUCAGGGCCAAAGGGGUAGAGGAAGACCUAGGAAAACUUUGGAAGAGACUCUAAGAAAAGACUUAGAGUACUUGGAUCUAACGGAGGACAUGACACAAAACCGAGCGCAAUGGCGUUCUAGGAUUCAUAUAGCCGACCCCACUUAGUGGGAAAAGGCUUUGUUGUUGUUGUUGUUGUUGUUGGCAUUCUUGAGUAAUUCAAUUUCUGAAUUGGUAUAUUAUGAAUUUAGAAGGAUUACAUAAAGCUGGCUUUUGUGGUUAAAUAUGAUUCCUUGAUGUUUCAGUGCUAGGUUUAGAUCAAAUGUUUGGAUUAGGCCUAACGAAAAACUAUGGAUGCGACCAAUUUUUCUCUGUAGGAGGAUGACAUAGGUGUAGGCAUGUCAAGAUUUGGAAUCUUGCCAUGACUUUGUUGAAGUUUGGGACUCACAUCUUUAACCUUGCUGUAAUGUUAUGACCUUUGCAGAGACGUGGACUGAAAUUUUGAUGGUCGUUUCAUGUUGGAGAAGUAGUCUUCAACAGUAUUAUUCAUAUUAUUUUGGGUGCUUAUGUUUCUUAGGACUUUCUUUUGCAAUUGGAAAAAACAAAAAAAAACAGAAUUGGGCCGAAACCGAACCGAACACAAACCGAUUAAAAAUUGAACUGAACCGACCCAAACAGUAAUUUCAGUUCAGUUUUCGGUUUUGGCAAAAAAUCAAACCGAACGGAACCGAACCCACCCCUAAUGUCAACUAUCGCACCAUAUGCUCGCAUUGUAUCCAAUUUAGGUGCACAGUCUUGUCGUACAGACCAUUAUAGGUGGUUUCGACUCAUAGGUGACUAGCGAUUUAUCGCAUAGCUAUCAUGAGAGCGUAGCAUUGAGCAUAGCUAUAUUACACCCAGUCUUGUCGUACAAACCUUUACAGUGGUUCCGACUCGUGUGCAGUGUAAUGCCGAAUAGGUCACUUACGGUGACUCCAGCUAGAUUGAGCUAUGAAUUCAGCCGUACAGACCUCUGCAUGGGUUCCGACUAAUAUGUUAUUUUCCAUGAAAUUAUUUUUACCUGAGUUACUUAUUCUGUUUUAUAUUUUUGGCAUGGCAUACUUAUGAAUAUGGAUAUGUGAAGCAUGAUUUGAAUAUAUAUAUUCUAUUUCUGGGAAAAUUAUACAUGUUUUACGACGAGGGGUUAAAGCAUUUGAUAAAUGAAAUGGUUUUGAAAAGCUUUGUUUUUGCCCACUUACACUUUCUGUUUUGCGCCCCUCCAGGUUUUAGAUAAGCUUGUCCGUUGGUGGCUCACGAAGAUUGAUUGGAGGUUCUGACAGACUAUCACAAAUGUAAGGCAUCUUUGGGCGUCAUUUAAUUAGUACUUGUUUUCUGGACUGAAUUUAGGCUACUUACACUUUGAUUGUGUAUUUACACAUAUUCUAGCACUUUUCUUAACUAGUACUCUUAUGAGUUGGUUUUCAUUUAUUCGUAUUCUCUAUUAUCAUUAUUGCUUCUGCACUAUGCACAUGGCUACGUCACCCUCACGUGACGACCAACAUGCCCUGAUUCGGGUUGUGGUGUGUUAGUUUGGUGUGUCAGAACUAUGCUGCUUCGUAGAGAGCCACGUCACUCAGCUGAGCCUAGUUUCUCUGAUAUUACUCAGUUAGGGAAAGCUAUAGCUAAUGUUAUUCAGUCUUCACUUUGUCCUCCUUAAAGGACAUCUCUUGAGACUGUGUAUAAUCUGAAGCUGAAUCAUUUCAUGGGUAAUGAAGGACAUGAGGGGGCGGAGAAGUGGCUUAAUCAUGUCAAGAAGACUUUCCUUGUGAUGCAGAGUCAAGGGAGCCUUCCUCCUGAUAGAUGGGUUGAGACGACUACCUGGUUUUUAGGAAAGCAACCUACAUCCUAGUGGAGACAGGAGUCUUAUCAGAUGCCACCAGAGGUAGCAGCUAUUUGGGAAGUGUUUAAGCAGUUGUUUCAGAAAAGAUUCGUUCCUCCAGAGUAUAUAGAUCGCAAGAAACAAGAAUUUACGCAUAUGAAACAAGGAAAGAUGACGGCGAAUGAGUAUUACAGGAGGUUCACUGAUUUAUCUCGUUAUGAUCCAAAGGUUUCUGUUAAUCCAGUUGAGAUGCUUCGUCGUUUCAGGUUAGGUACUAAAAAGAAAUGGCGUUCUAUAACGAUAUCGACUCCCUAUGCCACUUACCAGGAGUUUUAUGAGGUUUUACUGUAGAUUGAGGAUUCAGAAAAUAUGCCCAAUGAGAGUGAGGAGGAAGAAGAAAAAAAUGGAAAUCAAAGAAAUGAUGAUAAAGGUAAAGGUCAAUCAUCUCAGGGACCUCACAAGACUCAGAGUUUUAAGAGAAGCGGUGUCAGUUCCAGCUCUUCUAGUGGAGGUUUGAGCUCUAAUGUUCAAAUGAGAGGUGGUAGAUUUUCUAGAGGCCCUAAAUUUCAGAGGCAGAGGAAUUUUGGUCGUUCAGGUACUCCUUUAUGCCGCAGAUGUAAUAAUAGGCAUUUUGGGAAGUGUAGGAGAGGCAGCAGUGGAUGCUAUACUUGUGGACAGAUGGGGCAUAAGGCUACACAUUGCUCUCAGAAUCAGCAGAGGCCCCAAACACCUUCCUUACCACCACUUACGCCGACCCAGCAAGUUUCAUGACCUAGUGGUUAUGCCCAAACUGGUCAUGGAGGUACUUAUCAUUAUCAAGGUGACGCCGCUCCUUAUACUACAGGGCAGUAUCAGUAUUCGCAAGACCCUUAUUAUCAGGGUGGUUACCCUCAGUAGCCAGGAGGUUCUAUGCCAUAUCAGCCACAUUCAGCAAGUGGAUCCCAGUGGUACCAGGAAGGACAACCCCAGCAAGUAAAGAUUGCUACUAGCUGUGCAGGAUCUUCGAGGCAAUCAGGUCAGCCAAGACAAGGACGAGGUAUUCAUGCUAACAGUGGUCGUGGUGAACGACAGCAGAAUCAGGGACGUAUCCAUAACAUGACACUGCAGUAUGCUCAAAACAAUCCUGAUUUAAUCAUAGGCACGUUAAAUAUUCUUGGUCAUUUUGCUAGAGUAUUGAUUGAUUGUGGUGUUACGCAUUCUAUUGUUUCUCAUACAUUUGUUCAAGUAACGCAACCUCAUCCUACACCCCUAGGAUAUGAUUUACAAUUUUCUAUGGCUAUAGGGGAGAUAUGUUAUGUUAAUCUAGUAUAUCCAGGAUGUCCAAUGAUGGUGGAGGAUGUUGUUAUGCCAGCUAACCUUAUUCCGUUAGACAUUGUUGAUUUUGAUGUGAUGUUGGGCACAAAUUGGUUACACUACAAUCGUGCUAAUAUAGACUGCUAUGGGAAAGUAGUUACUUUUCAUCGUCCUGGAUUACCUGAGGUUACGUUUGUAGGAUAGCCUAGCGUGGUGAGGCAUGGUGUUAUUUCUGCCAUGAAAGCCAAAAGAUUGUUGUCAAAGGGUUGUCAAGGAUAUUUGGCUUAUGUGGUGUUGAAUGAUAAUGCUCCUAGUAGUGUGGAUGAUGUACGUGUGGUCAAGCAUUUUCCGGAUGUGUUCCCUAAUGAUUUGCCUGGAUUGCCGCCAGAAACAGAUGUAAAGUUCGCUAUUGAUUUGCUUCCAGGUACGGAUCUUAUAUCUUUGACUCUUUAUCGAAUGGCUCAUGCUGAGUUGAGGGAAUUAAAGAUUCAGUUGCAGGAAUUGGUUGAUAAGGGAUUUAUUCAGCCUAGUACUUCACCCUAGGGAGCUCCAGUUUUAUUCGUGAGGAAGAAAGACGGAACUUUGAGGCUAUGCAUUGAUUACAAGCAAUUGAAUCGAGUAACAAUUAAGAACUGUUAUCCGUUGCAACAUAUAGAUGAUUUGUUUGAUCAACUCCGAGGUGCAUGUGUGUUCUCUAAGAUUAACUUGAGGUCUGGUUACUACCAGUUGAAGAUUAAAAGUGAAAAUGUCCCUAAAAUAGCUUUCAGGACUCGAUAUGGUCAUUAUGAGUUUCUUAUGAUGCCAUUCGGGUUAACUAAUGCACCAUUAACUUUCAUGGAUUUAAUGAAUCAAGUAUUCCAGCCAUAUUUGGACAGGUUUGUCAUUGUCUUCAUUGAUGAUAUUCUGGUAUACUCUAAGUCUAGAGCAGAGCAUGCUAGACAUCUUAAAUUGGUGUUGAAAAGUUUGAGGGAACACCAAUUAUAUGUUAAGUUUAGCAAAUGCCAAUUCUGGUUAGAUCAAAUGGCAUUUUUAGGACAUGUUAUAUCAGCUCAAGGUAUUCGAAUGGGUCCUUAAAAGACAGUAGCUGUGGAGAAUUGGGAACAACCACAAACUGUCACUGAGAUACGGAGUUUUCUUGGCUUAGCAGGCUAUUACAGACGGUUCGUUAAAGAUUUCUCAAUUAUUGCAUUACCUUUAACGAGGUUAACCACGAAGGAUGUUAAGUUUGAGUGGGAUGAUAAUUGUGAAUAAAGUUUUCAGUAGUUAAAGUAUUGUCUCACUCGUGCACCUGUUUUGACGCUUCUUGACGAUAGUGGUGAUUUUGAAGUCUACAGUGAUGCUUCCUUAAAUGGGUUGGGAUGUGUGUUGAUGCAGCAUGGUAGGGUGAUUGCUUAUGUGUCACGCCAAUUGAAGCCUCAUGAAAUGAAUUAUCCUACUCAUGAUCUUGAAUUAACGGCCAUCAUCUUUGCUCUGAAGAUUUGGAGACAUUAUCUUUAUGGUGAGAAAUGUAAGAUCUUCACAGAUCAUAAGAGUCUUCAGUGUCUUUUUACUCAGAGGGAUCUUAAUCUUCAUCGGCGAAUAUGGAUAGAAUUACUAAGUGAUUAUGAUUGCACGAUUGAGUAUCACCCUGGUCAUGUGAAUAUGGUAGCAGAUGCACUUAGUAGGAAGACUCCAGUUAGCCUUAAUGCCAUUAUGCUUGUCAUGUUCCUCUUCUUGCAGAUUUGAGGUCUACUGGAGUGAAGUUAGGAUUGGAAGAUAAAGAGGAAGCUUUAUUAGCUAAUUUCCAGGUCAGACCAAUAUUAAUUAAUCGAGUACUUGAGGCUCAGAUGAAUGAUGAAGAGACCCAAGAAAUAAUUCAGGCAAGAAGUCGAGGUAGGAAGAAAGAUUUCCGAAUUCGAGAAACUGAUGGCAAGCUUAUGCAAGAAAACAGAAUGUAUGUGCCGAAUAAUGCAAAGUUAAAGAAAGAAAUCCUUGGUGAAGCGCAUAUUUCGGCAUAUGCAAUGCAUUCAGGAGGUACCAAGAUGUAUCAUACCAUUCGACCAUUUUAUUAUUGGCGGGGUAUGAAAAGAGAAAUUGCUGAGUAUAUGAGUAGGUGUGCCAUUUGUUAGCAGGUUAAAGCUAAAAAGAAGAAACCGUUUGGGUUGAUGCAGCCACUUCCCAUUCCAUAGUGAAAAUGGGAAAAUAUUACCAUGGAUUUUGGGUAUAAACUUCCUCGUACACAAAAUGGAUAUGAUGAAAUUUGGGUGAUAGUUGAUCGGCUUACUAAGUCAAUACAUUUUAUUCCAGUGAGGGAGAAAUUCUCAUUAAUCCGAUUAGCUAAGUUAUUCAUAUCGAAGAUUAUGAAGUACCAUGGUGUUCCAGUUGAUAUUAUCUCGGAUCGGGAUCCUAGAUUCACUUCUAAGUUCUGGGAAGCAUUCUAGGAAUCUCUUGGUAUGAGAUUACUUUAUAGUACGACAUAUCAUCCUCAGAUAGAUGGGCAAUCUGAGAAGACUAUUCAGACAUUAGAGGAUAUGCUGAGAUCUUCAGUGCUGCAGUUUGGCAAUGGUUGGCUUGAUUGUUUGGAUUUGAUGGAAUUCGCCUAUAACAAUAGUUACCAUUCGAGUAUUGGUAUGGCACCUUUUGAGGCACUCUAUGGCAAGUCUUGUCGAAUGCCAUUAUGCUGGUCAGAAGUUUGUGAAAGAGUUUUGGUGGGCCCGGAGAUUGUGGAUGAAACUACUCAGAAUAUUUAGGUAAUUAAGUCUAACCUGAAAGUGGCCUAGGAUCGUUAGAAAAGUCUAGCAAGUAAGCAUGCUACUGAUAGAGUGUAUAAAGUUAACGAUUGGGUAUUUUUGAAGUUGUCACCGUAGAGAGGUGUGGUACGGUUUGGGAAAAAGGGUAAGCUAAGCCCUAGGAACAUCGAACCGUAUCGAAUCACCGAGCGAGUCGGUGAAGUUACUUACAGGCUUGAGUUGCCUUCAGAGUUGUCCAAAGUGCAUGAUGUGUUUCAUGUUUCUAUGCUUCGACAUUAUGUCUUAGAUCCUUCACAUGUGAUACCUCCUCAAUCAUUGGAAAUUAAUUCAGAUUUGACUUACGACGAGGAGCCAGUGACUAUUUUGGAUAGGAAAGAUAAGGUUCUGAGAAAUAAAAUCGUGCCCCUGGUGAAAGUUUUGUGGAGAAAUCACUCAGUGCAAAAGGCUACUUGGGAGACAGAGGAUCGAAUAAGAUAGAUGUAUCCACGCUUGUUUUAUGACUAUUAGUGGAUGUAUUUGUUGUGUAUAAAUUUCGAGGAUGAAAUUUUCUUAAAGGAGGUAGAUUGUCACAGCCCGUCCCGAAAUAUUUAUUUUCGACGGCGUGAAAUUACUUAUAUACCCUUGGAUGUUUUGUGUGGGGUGUGGUAGGUUAGAUUUUGGACUAAUUAGUGCUAAGUCCUAUUAUUUUGGAACCAAUUAGGACUUAGAUGGUAUUUUCUUUGGUUUUGGUUGGGGACCCACGUGGACCACACACACACACACUCUCUCUCUCUCCCAUUGACUUUCUCUCUUCCUUCUCGGAUUUCUUCUAUCUUCCGUACAAGUCUUACGGACAACCUUGAAGCUUCACUUCCCGUCACGGAUCGAGCUUGUAGUUACCAUUAUCAUCUUCAUCUCAUUGUAACAAGCUCAACCAUACCCUUUUCUGGUCGUGAAACCUUCGAAACCCGAGAACCCGAUAUACUCAGUUUUGGUGCACUGUUCAUGCACACAUAAAUGUGAAGGUUUCAAAGGUUUUUGAGCUUCUAGGAAGCUUUAGGACUUCUCUAUGAAGCUCAGAGAAGAAAAACGAGGUGAAUUGGACGUCGGGAAGUCGAGAUCGACGAGUUCAAAGUUUGGCCGGAUUAUCGAAAGAUCUCCGACGAAUUCUCGAGGAUUUCAGGUCCCAAAAUUGGUAAGCUUUUGUUCCUUAUGUUCUAAGCUUCAUUUUGGUGAAGAUUUCAUAGAAUUUGGUGCAAAAAUGAAAGAGAUAUAAGGUUUUACAUAUUUUUCCAGUUUCCGACGGACUGCGACGGCAAUGGCAAUCGGCUAAGCUAAUCGGAGAAGAAGAUAGAAUAUUCUGUCAAAGUCGACAGAAUAUUCUGACAUCAUCAGGUAGAUUUAAUGGUUUCUGUUGCUUUUUAACGGAAUAUUCCGAACGACAGUUAGGAUUCUGUUAGGGUUACCCGCGCCUAGGGGCGCAUCUGGCCAUGCCCUUGCCGGCGCGUGGGGCGUCGGAAAUUUUUUCUAAAAAUAUAGGGAUAUUCGUGAGAUUGUGUAGAUCACGUUGGUAUAUUCAAACAUUCCAUUUGAGCAAUGUAUGAGAAGUUAUUAACUAGUUUUCUUUAUGUGCUUUAAAUAACGUUUAUUCAGUUAUUUCGCAUAUAGGUGAGACCUAUCCAGAGGACGAGCGCAGUCAAGGGUGACUUGGGGGCUACGACCCUUCGACAUACCAGUGAAUGGGCUUUUGGUUUUCAGUAUAUAUUUAUAUACUUGAUAUUUUCCCAGAAAAUGUGUUUAAAUGAAAGUAUGCUUUGAAAUGCCAUGCAUAUAAAUUUAUAUUCAUCAUAUGAAUUAGUAUAUGAUGCAUAAUAUGACUUGGUGAUGUGGACGCUCAGGUAAGUACCAUGUGAGUUAUGUUUUGUUAUAUUAGAUAUUGAUAAUGGGAGAGGUGAUUGGGAGCUCAUAAACCUACACCCCGGGUGAUUGUGAUUUAGCCAGAGAUAUGGUACAGGCUUGUUUAUGAUGUCACCUCUCACACCAUAUGCUCACAUUGGAUCCAAUUUAGGUGCACAGUCUUGUCGUACAGACCAUUAUAGGUGGUUCCAACUCGUAGGUGGCUAGCGAUUUAUCGCACAGCUAUCAUGAGAACGUAACAUUGAGCAUAACUAUAUUACACCCAGUCUUGUCGUACAGACCAUUACAGUGGUUCUGACUCGUGUGCAAUGUAGUGCCGAAUAGGUCACUUGCAGUGACUUCGGCUAGAUUGACUAAUGAGUUAUGAAUUCAGCCGUACAGACCUCUGCAGGGGUUCUGGCAAAUAUGUUAUUUUCCAUGAAAUUAUUUUUACCUGAGUUACUUAUUCUGUUUUAUAUUUUUGGCAUGGCAUACUUAUGAAUAUGGAUAUGUGAAGCAUGAUUUGAAUAUAUAUAUUCUAUUUCUGGGAAAAUUAUACAUGUUUUACGGCGAGGGGUUAGAGCAUUUGAUAAAUGAAAUGGUUUCGAAAAGCUUUGUUUUUGCCCACUCACACUUUCUAUUUUGUGCCCCUCCAGGUUUUAGAUAAGCUUGUAUGUUGGUGGCUCACGAGGAUUGAUUGGAGGUUCACUAUCACAAAUGUAGGGCAUCUUUGGGUGUCGUUUAAUUAGUACUUGUUUUCUGGACUGAACUUAGGCUACUUAUGCUCUGAUUGUGUAUUCACACAUAUUCUAGCACUUGUCUUAACUAGUACUCUUAUGAGUUGGUUUUCAUUUAUUCGUAUGAUUUAUUAUCAUUAUUGCUUCUGCACUGUGCAUAUGGCUACGUCACCCUCACGUGAUGGCCAGCAUGCCCUGAUUCAGGUCGGGGUUGAAGGAUUAUUUUAUGAAAACAUGUUCAUUUGAAUAACAUCUAUAGCAUGCAUUUAACAAUUAAAAGGCGUAAUCAUGCUUGCAUGCAUUCAAAACAAAACAUUACCCAUGAAAUUCAAAGCCUAGUAGAUUGGUGAACCAAGACUCAACUCAAAUCAAAGUGAGUUGAGAAAUUUAUACCUUUGUAGAUUCCUCUUUGCAUAAGCAAAGGCUAAUCACCCAAGGAGAGGGCCUUCAUUCCUUGCUUCUUAGAUCCAUAGAUUUGGAUGGAAGAUAUGGUUCUCCAAGUUCCCAAAAUUGAGAACCUCUAAGUGUCUACACCAAGGUUAGAUUGGAGAAGAAAUGAGUGACCUUGGAGGAGUGGGAUUGCUAGCUAAUCCCUCCAAGGGGGCCGACCUCCUAGAGAGAAAAGGAAGAGACAUGUUCUCUCCAAUUUUCUCCAAAAGAACCCUUUCUGAAUUUUAGGCUAUAAAGUUCUUUAUAUAGUCACUUCUUUAAAUGACCUAAAGAACCAAAAACCCUAAUUCAACACACAUGCCCGGCCACAUAAGGGAUUUGGGCCUUUGUGAAUCUUUAUUCAUUAAAUUGUCAUACAACUUAAGUCAAUGGGCUUGACGUUCGAAGCCCAUUGGGCCUUAAGGUCCAAAACUAUCCCGAGGUCUUUAACGAACUUAUUCAUUUGAUUAAUUAACAUAUUAAUUAAUCCUUGCCAUAAAUAAUUAAACCAUUUAAUUAUUCUUACUCAUUUCCAUUGUUUCUUCAAUCUCCACCUUACACGGUGUACGAUCCAUUAGGUUCCUUUUAGCGAGGCAGUGGGCGAUUAAAACUCUUUCAAAUCGAUUGUGAAUUGAAACUUACUUUCAAUUCUCCCUUUAGUGUUUAUACAUGUUUAGGGCUUCCACAAACCAAGAGUGACACCUAGCAGCAUAUCAUGGUUACCCAAGCUAAUCAGAAGAGGUAGAGAACCAAUUCAGUUUAGGAUUACAAAUGCAAUACGGUCUUUCUCUAAUACAAUACUCUUGACCACAUUGUUUGGUUUGAUAGUUUAUUCAUGUCUACUAUCCAAUGUGAUUCGUGUGCUUAUAUGAUUACCUUGAAUGUGAUUUGGAACGACUUUCCUAAAUCUCAUUCAUACUCUGGCCAGAGAUUCUAAAUCAUAUCAUAGAGUAUUCUCCCUCAAACAGUUUGAAGGUUAGAGAUCCCUUGUUGCGCAUUCACUUGCCUCCAUGGCUAAGUGGCUUAACCCCAACUAUGUCGUGGACACCCUCCUUUUGGAGUGACUUUUGACAUAAUCAAAGAUCAAGGACUUAACCACAAGACAACUAUGAUGCCUCAGGUCAAAUGAGUACUUUGCAUUAUCCCAACCAUGAGUUCUCAUGUGACAUGAAUAUGAGAACUCUUCGUUGAUCGUGUUCAGUGAACUCAUUCUCUAUUGAGCACCUACGUACUUGUCUUGAUGUCACACACACCAAUGACUCGAGACUAGUCACUCUCCUUGAGAGAAGAUACAGCACGUACUGAUUGUGGAUGCAAAUUUUCUCCUCCUCGAUCUCGGACGAUUUUGCACCUACAAAACAACUAACACCUUAGGUUAAGGCCAAAAGCCUCACGCACCCACGAUGAAUGGGGGGGCUUUGGCCGAAGAACCUCCGAUGCCAAAGUUAGAAUUUUAGAGAGAAAUAGUGUUUAGAAUAUUUGGGAUUUUUUGCAAGAGGUUUGGAAUGAAUUUUUGGUGAGAAUAGGUGCCUAUUUAUAGGGGUAGGCCUUGCCCCAUUUUGAAUAAUGGGAACCGGCCAUAAGGUUUUUGUGGGGGUCAAAUUCAUGUUUAAUUAGCCAAUUUAUUCUAAUUAAAUAUGAAAAGAAUAAAUGGAUGGUUAUAAAAAUGAAUGACUAUUUUAAUAAGGAAAAUGGGAAAGAUGAGGAUGUGAAAAGUGGGGGGCCGGUUUUGGCUAUUAAUUGGGUGAUUUAAUUGACUAUUAAGGAUGAUUUUAGGAGAUAUGGUAGACAUAUAUUAUUUAGCUAAUUGAUUAGCUAAAUAAUGAAAUAGAAAAUACUAGGUCUUGGGAAAUACCUUAUAGAAAGGAUUUUGAUGAAAGAGGUUUUUAAUUGUUACCUUUUUUGGGUACUUUUGACUUGAUUGAAAGAUGAUUGCCCACUGCUCGCGCGUAGGAAUCCUGGUAUGCCUCGAGGGUAUUUUUGUCCUCUUUUGUCCAAAAGUCCACGUGUCGCGUAGUGAAUAUAUUUGGCUCCACAAAUGCCCCCACACCUGUUGGGUUGCUUGCAGAAAAGGGCAACAGGUGUAGAGAUUUUCUUGCUUUAGGAAACUUAAGACUGCUUCCUAUUUUGAUGUUGAUUCUCUCUUUAAAUGGAAAUUAGAUCCUUCUAGGAAAAGGAAAUAAAUUUCUCUCAAAGCCUAUUUAAGUCCACCUUAAGUGGGUUAUUAAAUCAACUUUGGAGAGCGAUUUAUUCUACCCUACAAGAGAGAGAUAGCUUAGAGGAUAUUUGUUCCCCCUCCUCUAGCAAUCUUCUACAUCUUACCCAUGCAAAAGACCGUCUUUCGUUGCUUUCUUCGUCUUCUUCGUGCCGCACCGAUGUAAGAAAACUUUAAUUUUUCUUGCCUUAUUCUUGGAUAGUGCUAUUGCGGGGUAGUCGUCAGGGUGGUGCGGCACAUCGGCUGGCAGGGGCCAGGAUGUGGCUCGGCAUGGGCUGAGGAGAUGUCGUGGCAGGGACCACUGCUUGGGUAGCUUGGCUUGGCUUGAGCCAAGGGCAGCUUAUGCAGCUGGGGUCGAGGAUUGUGGCGCUGGGGCGCAGUGCUAGGCGAGUCGCAUGGCUCAUGUCCUUUGGGCUCUUGGACCUGACUCAGGCCAGGCUGGCGAUUGAGAAAAAUAAGGAGAUUGCGGGUCUCAUGGGCUGCUGGAAUGUUGGGCAUGCAGGCCUCCUGCCUGCUGGAAUGCUGGGUUAAGCUCCUCUGCUGAGUACCAUGAAUGUCGUUGGCUGCUUAGUCCUCUUUGCUGAAAGAAAUGUGGGCUGCUCCGGAAAGAGGAGGUAAAGAGGAUCAAGGCAGAUGCAUUGGCUCGUCUGAUCGCUGUCGUGGAGCUUACUAUGAAUGAAGAUGGAAAGAAGAGAUCUUCCCCGCCUGCUCAUGAGAUGCCAGUUAAGAAAAAACUGAAGACUUCUUCUGCUGCUCAUGAGGGUCCGCUUGCUACCGAGAGGUAUAUUAUUGACAUGACUUCUUCUAAUGGGAAGAAAAAUAAGGCUGCUAGAUCUGAGCAUGUGGCGUCUUCCAUGUUGAGAAUGGCUAGUACAAUUGUGGAUAAGAUUGCUCAACGUAAAGGUUUUAUCAUGCCCCUAGUGCCGAAGUCUGUACCAGAACGUUCUUUGGGAGCCAAGUCCGGUUCACUUUUGUAGAGACUUGCUAUUAUGAAGAGUGGUAAGGUGGAUUCUGUUGCUAAAGUGGCACCAAAGCCUGCUCCCUUUGCUGCUGAGAUUGAUUCGCCUCAGAUUCAAGAUCUUAAGCUUGCAAUUUCUGAGCUUCGUUUUGCUGCUUAUGCUAAGAAGGGAGUGGAUAAGCUGCAGCACGUCCGUGUUAGUCUGCUUAAGAAGAAUGCGCAGCUGAAGGGUGAGAAGGAUGGGCUUGAGGUUUUAAGACCUUCUCUAUUUCUCCAGAAGACUUGCUUGCUUUUACUUUUAAGGCUUUCAUUGGUGAAGUAGUUGGAGAAGUUAGUGCCCAGACUGGGGCAGCCGGGGGUGAAGCGCCGGAUGAUGCCGCUGCUAAGAGCGUUACGGCUGUUGAAGGUGUGGCAACCCAGUAGUCGUAGGAUGUCCAAGCUACUGUAGUGUAGUAUUUUAGGUAGCCUUUAGGAUUUUCUUUGUUUUUCCUUGUAGCUCUUGUUUUGCUUGAACUCCUUCGGCCUUUGCUAGUUGUUUAUAAACAUGUUUUCCUUCGUUUUUCUUCAUCUUCACUUUUUUUGUUCAUGCCCUAACCUUUAGACUUGAUAGACCAGUGGCAGGCAUGCUACUUUUUUAUAAGCAGACAAGCUCGCGUAGCCUAUGCAGUCGUAGGUGUUGGUGUAGAACUUUGCAAAGUUGUUAGCCAUAGGGUUGGCAGCCGGAUGCCUUACUUACAGAAGCAGACAAGACCGCGUAACCACUAGGCUGUUAACCUUGACUUUCUUCAAUUUCGUAGGUUGCGUAGCAAGUAUCACAACACUUUAGGACUUGGUGUAGGUUGUUCCGCGCUUGGCAGAGGUGAAGCUUAUCGACUACGUAGCAUGUCGGCAGUGGAUAAAACUUCGUAUAUGCGCGCUAGCUUGUUUAACCUUUCACAAGAAUGUGCGGUUGUAUAAGUGUAGUGCGGCUUUACUGCUCGAAGGGCAAGCCGUAGGCAGUUUUCCAGAAUCCGUAGGCUACCUUAGUGCACUCGGUAGCAGCUUUAGGAUUCCAAGGCAGCCGUCCAUCGGAUGUACUGCGUAAUGUGCCCUCUCCGUCUCUAGGGCCCGGUUCCCCACGGAUUAGGCCAAGAGACCCAAAAUACUUCAGUUAGCUAAGCCUUGAAAAAGACCAUUGCGGCUACUUCUAGGAAUCCCGGCGCAAGCCAUCGUGCAUCUAGUUAUACUAGGGCAGCCAGGCUCAUCCACUUCUGGAUAUUCGGAGUGUAAAGUUUAUCCUCCCGUCUUGGAGAGCUGACCCAUAUGGGUGUCGGAGAAUUGAUUUACCCUCUCGCACUGGAGAGCAUGGUUGGUCCCUCGGGGGGCACAAUUCCUGCAAUGAGUCCCUAAGAAGGCCGCAGUCUUCUUUUGAAGUGCAGGAGUGAUUAGUUGUUGUAAGCAUGCAGCCAAGCCAAGUUGUGAUUACUUCUAAAUUCCUCAUUGAAAAAACGAGUGAAACGAACAAGAACUUUAGCUGUAAGGUAGGAACUGCAUAACAACUGGAUAGUCCUCAGCUUGUGAGGUGAUGCCCGUCGAGCUUAUUGAGUCUUCGGGUUUUGAUGUAGUGGGAGGUCACACAUGGUACUUCUUCAGAUUGUAGGCCAUCCAUUGCUUUUCAAUCUUUUUGUCGCUUCAUGGUGGCGAGGGUGUAAUUACUCUUGCCCCCUACUCUGCUGAUCUUGUACGGACCUUCCCAGAUGGGAUCCAUCUUUUUGGAGCCUUCUCUGCCAGCAGUGAUGAAGGCUUUUAUGCACCGUCGAUAUGCAAAUGUCAGAAGUCUCCAUCGAGUGGAGUAGGCGCAGCUAGAAUGUGCUCGGCUACUUCUGAGGCAUCGUUAGGCUGCUCUGUUGCGUCACCUAGGCUCGGUGUGAAGGCGCAGUAGGGAGCUGUGGAGAUGGGGCCAUGUCAUACGCAGCAGGAGAUGCUCAACUACCGGUAUUGGGCCACUCUAGAGUUGAAUCAUUAAGCAAGGGUCGGCUAGGGCCUUGUGAUGCGCAGCAAGAAAUGGUACUCAAUUGCCAGUACAUGUUGCUCCUAUGUAGAAUCUUUUAGGGUGACGAGGACAAAACUUGCUUUCGAGUGUGUCCUUCCAGUGUUGCGUUCGUAAAAAAACUUUACAUCCGCCAGGGUCUACGCCUUUAUCGUCGCGCGUCUAGUUUGGGCAGAAUAGUACGUCAUGAGGAUGAUUGCAUGCGUUUGAAAGUAAAACUUGUGCUUCUGGGUAGCAACAACUAUCACCAAAGUUAGCUUUUGAAUUUUUAAUAACAUCGAGGAGAGCUUUUGAACUGUAGAAUACAGGUAGUCGGGCCCCCAUCUCUUCUCGCAUGAUGGUAGAGCUUAUUGCUACUUUAGAUACCGUCAAACAUGUGAAUAAGUCAUCCGCUACUUCUAGAGAGGUGAUGUCGGGUACUUCUUCAAGUCCUUGAAUGUGCACUGGCGAGCCUCAUCCCAAAGUGCAUACUUCUCUGCCAAAGAAAAAGAGUCUGCCAGAGUUAGAUCUUCUUUCAUGAUCAAUUUUUCGAAUAGCGGGUGGUCUGCUGGAAGUCCUUUUUGGAAGGCUGCUCUAGCUAUCGAGUCGUUGCAUCCGACUAUUUUUGCCUUCUCUACUUUGAACCUCCUCACAUAGUCGCGAAGCGACUCCUUUGGGUUCUUCUUGACGUUGAACAAAUUAUCAGACUUCUUUUUGAUCGAGCGAUAGGAUGAAUAUUCUUUGGUGAAAACCAAAGAAAGUUUGUAAAAAUUUCUGAUGGAUUGUGGCGGCAGGGUGUAGAACCAAUCUUGCGCCUCGCCUUGUAGAGUGGUGGCGAAUAUCUUGCACAUGAGAUCAUCGUUGUUUCGAUAAAGGAUCAUUGCGCUUUGGUAACGUUUUAAGUGUCUUUCCGGGUCUUCAUCCCCUUUGAAAGAUGUGAAAUGUGGCAUGCUGAACUCUCGUGGAGGCUCUGCCUGCUCGAUCUCGUCCGUGAAGGGUGACCUGCUUAUGUUGGUCAUGUUCCGUCGUAGUGCCUCGUCGGUGACCUCGUUGCGUUGGAAAUCAUGCAAUCGCUUGGUCAAGAGUCUUUCUACUUCUUCCUGAAUUUGCCUUUGUUGGGGUGGCGGAGCUCUCGGCUGCCCCCAGCCAUGACUUGCUGGUCUAGGCUGCUCUUCCAUGUGUUUAGCUCAUCUAUGUUGCAGAUGCAGUGCAUGUGGUGCGUUCCUAGCAGGCGAGUGAGUUCUUCGCAGGUUGCUGGUUGAACUUGAGCUGGAUUGAGUGAUUGCUUCUCUCCGUCCGUCGUGCUGCCUACUCUGAUGUGAGGUGGAUGAUGCUCCUUGUGGGCUUAGCCGCGAAUGAACACUUUGUCCGGAAGGUUGCUCAUGUUGACUAUCAGAGUGUGACCCCAACCGUGAAUGUAUGCUCAUCCGUGGGCCUAGUCGAGAGUACACGCUCCUCCGCGCGCUAAGACGGGAGUAUACGCUAUCUCGGGGGCCCAAUCGGGAAUGUACACUGCCUGAACGUUCGGCUCGUGGCUGGUCGAAUGGCUGCUUGCCGGGACGCUGCUGGAAAGGUUCGUCUGCCCUUGUCCUACUUCGGGAUACCUCGUCUGGGGCACGUUGGAUCCCGAUGCGUUGCAAAAGUUGAUUCACCAAAGUUGUCUGUUGUGCAAGGGCGCUCGUUAACUCUAUGACUUGUCGAGACAAGUGUUGUUCGCCAUUUGGAUUGGAAAAGCUUGGAAUGAAUACGCCUCGUUGGGCAGUGGAAGGGUGGUAGACUCCGGGCGUGAGAUUUGAGUUGGGAAAUGUCAAAUCCGCGAAAAAAUGUGGUGAGAAUCCCCCCGGCUCGAUGGUAGGUCCGGAUGGUUGAGAUAGUCUUGGGUCGACUUGGGUUGCGUGGAAAGCCAAUGGAGCAGAAUGGGCCGUGAGAGUGGGCUGCUCGUCGGGAGCAGGCUGGGUCACGAGAGCAGGCUGCUCGGCAGGAGCAGGUUGGGCCGCGGGAGCGAGCUGCUCGACGGAAGCAGGCUGGACCACGGGAGUGGGCUGCUCGUCGGGAGCAGGUUGGGUCACGAGAGCAGGAUGCUUGGCAGGAGCAAGCUGGGCUACGGGAGUGGGCUGCUCGACGAAAGCAGGCUGGACCACGGGAGUGGGCUGCUCGACGAAAGCAGGCUGGACCACGGGAGUGGGCUGCUCGUCGGGAGCAGGCUGCUUGGCAGGAGCAGGCUGGGCCACGGGAGUGGGCUGCUCGACGGAAGCAGGUUGCUCAAAGCGCGGUGCAUGUGAAUGCGAGGCUUGGGCUUGGGUCCACGUAAACUUGGAUGGCACGGCUUGGGUCGUGGUCUUGGUACCGUGAGCCUUGGAUGGCACGGCUCGAGCCGUGGUGAAAGCUCCAUGGACCUCGCCACAAAUGGCUACCGAAGUAGCCACCGCGGUGGUUUCCAUGGUGGCCGUGAUGAAGGCACCAUGGACCUCGCCGUGGGUGGCUACCGAGGUAGCCACCACGAUGGUUCCCAUGGUGGAAACUCGUGGUGGUGAUGCCGCUCCCCUUAUUGUCGCAUUUUGCCUCACGGAUCUCCGCACUCCCAUUUCUUGAACACUAGAAUUUUCACUUAUGGAAUUUUCUAAAUUUCUAGCCAUUAUAUUUUGCUUAUACGUUUUAUCAAAGAACCUUUGCAAGUAAAAAAUUCUAAUAAUAAGAACAUAUGAAAAAUAUUCAAAUGGACUAGAAAAUAAAGAAAAAACCUUUUUUGUGCGAGAGUCUUCUACGAGUAUGGAUUUCAACUCUCAAUGAAAGCACCAAUUUGUGGAUGCAAAUUUUCUCCUCCUCGAUCUCGGACGAUUUUGCACCUACAAAACAACUAACACCUUAGGUUAAGGCCAAAAGCCUCACGCGCCCCCGAUGAAUGGGGGGGGGGCUUUGGCCGAAGAACCUCCGAUGCCAAAGUUAGAAUUUUAGAGAGAAAUAGUGUUUAGAAUAUUUGGGAUUUUUUGCAAGAGGUUUGGAAUGAAUUUUUGGUGAGAAUAGGUGCCUAUUUAUAGGGGUAGGCCUUGCCCCAUUUUGAAUAAUGGGAACCGGCCAUAAGGUUUUUGUGGGGGUCAAAUUCAUGUUUAAUUAGCCAAUUUAUUCUAAUUAAAUAUGAAAAGAAUAAAUGGAUGGUUAUAAAAAUGAAUGACUAUUUUAANNNNNNNNNNNNNNNNNNNNNNNNNNNNNNNNNNNNNNNNNNNNNNNNNNNNNNNNNNNNNNNNNNNNNNNNNNNNNNNNNNNNNNNNNNNNNNNNNNNNNNNNNNNNNNNNNNNNNNNNNNNNNNNNNNNNNNNNNNNNNNNNNNNNNNNNNNNNNNNNNNNNNNNNNNNNNNNNNNNNNNNNNNNNNNNNNNNNNNNNNNNNNNNNNNNNNNNNNNNNNNNNNNNNNNNNNNNNNNNNNNNNNNNNNNNNNNNNNNNNNNNNNNNNNNNNNNNNNNNNNNNNNNNNNNNNNNNNNNNNNNNNNNNNNNNNNNNNNNNNNNNNNNNNNNNNNNNNNNNNNNNNNNNNNNNNNNNNNNNNNNNNNNNNNNNNNNNNNNNNNNNNNNNNNNNNNNNNNNNNNNNNNNNNNNNNNNNNNNNNNNNNNNNNNNNNNNNNNNNNNNNNNNNNNNNNNNNNNNNNNNNNNNNNNNNNNNNNNNNNNNNNNNNNNNNNNNNNNNNNNNNNNNNNNNNNNNNNNNNNNNNNNNNNNNNNNNNNNNNNNNNNNNNNNNNNNNNNNNNNNNNNNNNNNNNNNNNNNNNNNNNNNNNNNNNNNNNNNNNNNNNNNNNNNNNNNNNNNNNNNNNNNNNNNNNNNNNNNNNNNNNNNNNNNNNNNNNNNNNNNNNNNNNNNNNNNNNNNNNNNNNNNNNNNNNNNNNNNNNNNNNNNNNNNNNNNNNNNNNNNNNNNNNNNNNNNNNNNNNNNNNNNNNNNNNNNNNNNNNNNNNNNNNNNNNNNNNNNNNNNNNNNNNNNNNNNNNNNNNNNNNNNNNNNNNNNNNNNNNNNNNNNNNNNNNNNNNNNNNNNNNNNNNNNNNNNNNNNNNNNNNNNNNNNNNNNNNNNNNNNNNNNNNNNNNNNNNNNNNNNNNNNNNNNNNNNNNNNNNNNNNNNNNNNNNNNNNNNNNNNNNNNNNNNNNNNNNNNNNNNNNNNNNNNNNNNNNNNNNNNNNNNNNNNNNNNNNNNNNNNNNNNNNNNNNNNNNNNNNNNNNNNNNNNNNNNNNNNNNNNNNNNNNNNNNNNNNNNNNNNNNNNNNNNNNNNNNNNNNNNNNNNNNNNNNNNNNNNNNNNNNNNNNNNNNNNNNNNNNNNNNNNNNNNNNNNNNNNNNNNNNNNNNNNNNNNNNNNNNNNNNNNNNNNNNNNNNNNNNNNNNNNNNNNNNNNNNNNNNNNNNNNNNNNNNNNNNNNNNNNNNNNNNNNNNNNNNNNNNNNNNNNNNNNNNNNNNNNNNNNNNNNNNNNNNNNNNNNNNNNNNNNNNNNNNNNNNNNNNNNNNNNNNNNNNNNNNNNNNNNNNNNNNNNNNNNNNNNNNNNNNNNNNNNNNNNNNNNNNNNNNNNNNNNNNNNNNNNNNNNNNNNNNNNNNNNNNNNNNNNNNNNNNNNNNNNNNNNNNNNNNNNNNNNNNNNNNNNNNNNNNNNNNNNNNNNNNNNNNNNNNNNNNNNNNNNNNNNNNNNNNNNNNNNNNNNNNNNNNNNNNNNNNNNNNNNNNNNNNNNNNNNNNNNNNNNNNNNNNNNNNNNNNNNNNNNNNNNNNNNNNNNNNNNNNNNNNNNNNNNNNNNNNNNNNNNNNNNNNNNNNNNNNNNNNNNNNNNNNNNNNNNNNNNNNNNNNNNNNNNNNNNNNNNNNNNNNNNNNNNNNNNNNNNNNNNNNNNNNNNNNNNNNNNNNNNNNNNNNNNNNNNNNNNNNNNNNNNNNNNNNNNNNNNNNNNNNNNNNNNNNNNNNNNNNNNNNNNNNNNNNNNNNNNNNNNNNNNNNNNNNNNNNNNNNNNNNNNNNNNNNNNNNNNNNNNNNNNNNNNNNNNNNNNNNNNNNNNNNNNNNNNNNNNNNNNNNNNNNNNNNNNNNNNNNNNNNNNNNNNNNNNNNNNNNNNNNNNNNNNNNNNNNNNNNNNNNNNNNNNNNNNNNNNNNNNNNNNNNNNNNNNNNNNNNNNNNNNNNNNNNNNNNNNNNNNNNNNNNNNNNNNNNNNNNNNNNNNNNNNNNNNNNNNNNNNNNNNNNNNNNNNNNNNNNNNNNNNNNNNNNNNNNNNNNNNNNNNNNNNNNNNNNNNNNNNNNNNNNNNNNNNNNNNNNNNNNNNNNNNNNNNNNNNNNNNNNNNNNNNNNNNNNNNNNNNNNNNNNNNNNNNNNNNNNNNNNNNNNNNNNNNNNNNNNNNNNNNNNNNNNNNNNNNNNNNNNNNNNNNNNNNNNNNNNNNNNNNNNNNNNNNNNNNNNNNNNNNNNNNNNNNNNNNNNNNNNNNNNNNNNNNNNNNNNNNNNNNNNNNNNNNNNNNNNNNNNNNNNNNNNNNNNNNNNNNNNNNNNNNNNNNNNNNNNNNNNNNNNNNNNNNNNNNNNNNNNNNNNNNNNNNNNNNNNNNNNNNNNNNNNNNNNNNNNNNNNNNNNNNNNNNNNNNNNNNNNNNNNNNNNNNNNNNNNNNNNNNNNNNNNNNNNNNNNNNNNNNNNNNNNNNNNNNNNNNNNNNNNNNNNNNNNNNNNNNNNNNNNNNNNNNNNNNNNNNNNNNNNNNNNNNNNNNNNNNNNNNNNNNNNNNNNNNNNNNNNNNNNNNNNNNNNNNNNNNNNNNNNNNNNNNNNNNNNNNNNNNNNNNNNNNNNNNNNNNNNNNNNNNNNNNNNNNNNNNNNNNNNNNNNNNNNNNNNNNNNNNNNNNNNNNNNNNNNNNNNNNNNNNNNNNNNNNNNNNNNNNNNNNNNNNNNNNNNNNNNNNNNNNNNNNNNNNNNNNNNNNNNNNNNNNNNNNNNNNNNNNNNNNNNNNNNNNNNNNNNNNNNNNNNNNNNNNNNNNNNNNNNNNNNNNNNNNNNNNNNNNNNNNNNNNNNNNNNNNNNNNNNNNNNNNNNNNNNNNNNNNNNNNNNNNNNNNNNNNNNNNNNNNNNNNNNNNNNNNNNNNNNNNNNNNNNNNNNNNNNNNNNNNNNNNNNNNNNNNNNNNNNNNNNNNNNNNNNNNNNNNNNNNNNNNNNNNNNNNNNNNNNNNNNNNNNNNNNNNNNNNNNNNNNNNNNNNNNNNNNNNNNNNNNNNNNNNNNNNNNNNNNNNNNNNNNNNNNNNNNNNNNNNNNNNNNNNNNNNNNNNNNNNNNNNNNNNNNNNNNNNNNNNNNNNNNNNNNNNNNNNNNNNNNNNNNNNNNNNNNNNNNNNNNNNNNNNNNNNNNNNNNNNNNNNNNNNNNNNNNNNNNNNNNNNNNNNNNNNNNNNNNNNNNNNNNNNNNNNNNNNNNNNNNNNNNNNNNNNNNNNNNNNNNNNNNNNNNNNNNNNNNNNNNNNNNNNNNNNNNNNNNNNNNNNNNNNNNNNNNNNNNNNNNNNNNNNNNNNNNNNNNNNNNNNNNNNNNNNNNNNNNNNNNNNNNNNNNNNNNNNNNNNNNNNNNNNNNNNNNNNNNNNNNNNNNNNNNNNNNNNNNNNNNNNNNNNNNNNNNNNNNNNNNNNNNNNNNNNNNNNNNNNNNNNNNNNNNNNNNNNNNNNNNNNNNNNNNNNNNNNNNNNNNNNNNNNNNNNNNNNNNNNNNNNNNNNNNNNNNNNNNNNNNNNNNNNNNNNNNNNNNNNNNNNNNNNNNNNNNNNNNNNNNNNNNNNNNNNNNNNNNNNNNNNNNNNNNNNNNNNNNNNNNNNNNNNNNNNNNNNNNNNNNNNNNNNNNNNNNNNNNNNNNNNNNNNNNNNNNNNNNNNNNNNNNNNNNNNNNNNNNNNNNNNNNNNNNNNNNNNNNNNNNNNNNNNNNNNNNNNNNNNNNNNNNNNNNNNNNNNNNNNNNNNNNNNNNNNNNNNNNNNNNNNNNNNNNNNNNNNNNNNNNNNNNNNNNNNNNNNNNNNNNNNNNNNNNNNNNNNNNNNNNNNNNNNNNNNNNNNNNNNNNNNNNNNNNNNNNNNNNNNNNNNNNNNNNNNNNNNNNNNNNNNNNNNNNNNNNNNNNNNNNNNNNNNNNNNNNNNNNNNNNNNNNNNNNNNNNNNNNNNNNNNNNNNNNNNNNNNNNNNNNNNNNNNNNNNNNNNNNNNNNNNNNNNNNNNNNNNNNNNNNNNNNNNNNNNNNNNNNNNNNNNNNNNNNNNNNNNNNNNNNNNNNNNNNNNNNNNNNNNNNNNNNNNNNNNNNNNNNNNNNNNNNNNNNNNNNNNNNNNNNNNNNNNNNNNNNNNNNNNNNNNNNNNNNNNNNNNNNNNNNNNNNNNNNNNNNNNNNNNNNNNNNNNNNNNNNNNNNNNNNNNNNNNNNNNNNNNNNNNNNNNNNNNNNNNNNNNNNNNNNNNNNNNNNNNNNNNNNNNNNNNNNNNNNNNNNNNNNNNNNNNNNNNNNNNNNNNNNNNNNNNNNNNNNNNNNNNNNNNNNNNNNNNNNNNNNNNNNNNNNNNNNNNNNNNNNNNNNNNNNNNNNNNNNNNNNNNNNNNNNNNNNNNNNNNNNNNNNNNNNNNNNNNNNNNNNNNNNNNNNNNNNNNNNNNNNNNNNNNNNNNNNNNNNNNNNNNNNNNNNNNNNNNNNNNNNNNNNNNNNNNNNNNNNNNNNNNNNNNNNNNNNNNNNNNNNNNNNNNNNNNNNNNNNNNNNNNNNNNNNNNNNNNNNNNNNNNNNNNNNNNNNNNNNNNNNNNNNNNNNNNNNNNNNNNNNNNNNNNNNNNNNNNNNNNNNNNNNNNNNNNNNNNNNNNNNNNNNNNNNNNNNNNNNNNNNNNNNNNNNNNNNNNNNNNNNNNNNNNNNNNNNNNNNNNNNNNNNNNNNNNNNNNNNNNNNNNNNNNNCUUAAGGUCCAAAACUAUCCCGAGGUCUUUAACGAACUUAUUCGUUUGAUUAAUUAACAUAUUAAUUAAUCCUUGCCAUAAAUAAUUAAACCAUUUAAUUAUUCUUACUCAUCUCCAUUGUUUCUUCAAUCUCCACCUUACACGGUGUACGAUCCAUUAGGUUCCUUUUAGCGAGGCAGUGGGCGAUUAAAACUCUUUCAAAUCGAUUGUGAAUUGAAACUUACUUUCAAUUCUCCCUUUAGUGUUUAUACACGUUUAGGGCUUCCACAAACCAAGAGUGACACCUAGCAGCAUAUCAUGGUUACCCAAGCUAAUCAGAAGAGGUAGAGAACCUAUUCAGUUUAGGAUUACAAAUGCAAUACGGUCUUUCUCUAAUACAAUACUCUUGACCACAUUGUUUGGUUUGAUAGUUUAUUCAUGUCUACUAUCCAAUGUGAUUCGUGUGCUUAUAUGAUUACCUUGAAUGUGAUUUGGAACGACUUUCCUAAAUCUCAUUCAUACUCUGGCCAGAGAUUCUAAAUCAUAUCAUAGAGUAUUCUCCCUCAAACAGUUUGAAGGUUAGAGAUCCCUUGUUGCGCAUUCACUUGCCUCCAUGGCUAAGUGGCUUAACCCCAACUAUGCCGUGGACACCCUCCUUUUAGAGUGACUUUUGACAUAAUCAAAGAUCAAGGACUUAACCACAAGACAACUAUGAUGCCUCAGGUCAAAUGAGUACUUUGCAUUAUCCCAACCAUGAGUUCUCAUGUGAUAUGAAUAUGAGAACUCUUCGUUGAUCGUGUUUAGUGAACUCAUUCUCUAUUGAGCACCUACGUACUUGUCUUGAUGUCACACACACUAAUGACUCGAGACUAGUCACUCUCCCUGAGAGAAGAUACAGCACGUACUGAUCUUAACGGACUGUCAAUGCCCAAUUGGCAAUCCUAUGAUCAGGAACGUUUAGGAUGUGUCUACGAAAGAAUGGUCUCAUGAAUCUAACUUCUUUAGAUUGCAUUCUCCCAAUCACAUAUUCCUUGGACUUAUCGUUUAAGCAUAUAACAUUUAUAUGAGACGGCUCAAACAAUAAUCUUUGCCCUUGAUAUUAAACUAGAUUAGUUUAACAUGUGAAAUGUCCGUAAAGUAUCAUCAUAUGAUUGGUUUUAGGGCACAUUUCCAACAGGGGUGUGUCAGGUGAGGGUGGGCUUAGCCUUAAAAUGGGCAAGCAAUAAUGUGAUUCAAUCAGUUGUUUAUUAAAUAUUAUUUUCUCUAUUUUUAAACACAUUCAAAACAUCUUAAAAGGUUGUAAUGCCGAUUUUAAAAAAGGUCUUUCACACGUAGAUAAUAAUGUGAUUAAAUUAGUUGUCAAAUGAUUGUUUUUUUUUUCAAUUAGUACCUCACAAUAUGCUAGCAAGAAUGUGAUUCAAUUUCUCUAUUUUUAACAUGUUCAAAACAUCUUAAGAGGCAUAUAAUGUCUGUUAUAAAAAAAGAUCAUUUGCACGCGGAUAAUAAUGUAAUUAAAUUAGUUGUCAAAUGAUUGCCUUUUUUUUUAACAAACAAUAUUAUCUACCUAAGGGGGACGGGUGGGAUUAGCCUCACAAUGGGUUGGCAAUAAUGUGAUUCAAUCAGUUGUUUAUUAAAUAUUAUUUUCUCUAUUUUAAGCACGUUCGAAACAUCUUAAGAGACGUGUAAAGUCAGUUAUAAAAACAGUCUUUCGCACGCAGAUAAUAAUGUGGUUAAAUUAGUUGUCAAAUGAUUGUUUUUUUUUUAACAAACGAUAUUAUCUACACUAAAGGGGAAGGGGUUGGCUAAGCCUCACAAUGAGCUAGCAAUAAUGUAAUUCAAUCAGUUGUUUAUUAAAUAUUAUUUUAUCUAUUUUUAAACACCUUCAAAACAUCUUAAAAGGCAUGUAAUGCCGGUUAUAAAAAAAGGUCUUUCGCACGCGGGUAAUAAUGCGAUUAAAUUACAUUAAAUUAGUUGUCAAAUGAUUGUUUUUUUUUUUUAAUUAGUACCUCACAAUAGGCUAGCAAUAAUGUGAUUCAAUUUCUCUAUUUUUAAACACGUUCAAAACAUCUUAAGAGACAUGUAAUGCUAGUUAAAGAAAAGGUCAUUCGCACACGGAUAAUAAUGUGAUUAAAUUAGCUGUCAAAUGAUUGAUUUUUGUUAACAAACGAUAUUAUCUACACUAAGGGGGAGGGGUGGGCUUAGCCUCACAAUGGGCUAGUAAUAAUGUGAUUCAAUCAGUUGUUUAUUAAAUAUUAUUUUCUCAAAUUUAAACACGUUCAAAACAUCUUGAGAGGUCUGUAAUGCCAGUUAUAAAAAAACUAUUUCGCAUGCGGAUAAUAAUGUGAUUAAAUUAGUUGUCAAAUGAUUGUUUUUUUUUUUUAACAAACGAUAUUUUCUACACUAAGGAGGAGGGGUACACUUAGCCUCACAAUGGGCUAACAAUAAUAUGAUUCAAUCAGUUGUUUAUUAGAUAUUAUUUUCUCUAUUUUUUAAACACGUUCAAAACAUCUUAAAAGAAAUGUAAUGUCAGUUAUAAAAAAUGUAUUUCAUGUGCGGAAAAUAAUGUGAUUAAAUUACAUUAAAUUAGUUGCCAAAUGAUUUUAUUUUUUUUUAACAAAUGAUAGUAUCUACACUAAAGGGGAGGAGAUGGGCUUAGCCUCACCAUAGGCUAGUAAUAAUGUUAUUUAAUCAGUUAUUUAUCAAAUAUUAUUUUCUCUAUUUUUAAACACGUUCAAAACAUCUUAAGAGGCAUGUAAUGCCGGUUAUAAAAAAAGGUCUUUCGCACUCAGAUAAUAAUGUGAUUAAAUUAGUUGUCCAAUGAUUAUUAUUUUUUUUAACAAACGAUAUUAUCUACAUUAAGGGGGUAAGGGUGGUGUAAUAUCCCACAUCGCCCAGGGGAGUGGAUCAUGUAAGCCUUAUAUGUAUAUUCUCAUCUCUACCUAGCACGAGGCCUUUUGGGAGCUCACUGGCUUUAGAUUCAGUAAGAACUCCGAAGUUAAGCGAGAAAUGGGUCAGAACAUUCCUAGGAUGGGUGAUCCACUGGAAAGUUCUGCUCGCAUGAGUUCCCAGAAACAAAACCGUGAGGGCAUGGUCUGGGUCCAAAUUCGACAAUAUUGUGCUACGGUGGGGUCGAGCCCAGGAUGGGGGCUCGGGCCGAGAUGUGACAGUUUGGUAUCAAAGCCAAUCCCUGGCCAAAAGUGUGUUGACGAGGACGUCGGGCCCCUAAGGAUGGUGGAUUGUAACAUCCCACAUUGCCCAGGGGAGUGGAUCUUGUAAGGUUUAUAUGUAUAUUCUCAUCUCUACCUAGCACGAGGCCUUUUGGAACUCACUGGUUUCAGGUUUCGUAGGAACUCCGAAGUUAAGCAAGAAAUAGGCCAAAACAUUCCCAGGAUGGGUGACCCACUGGGAAGUUUUGCUUGCAUGAAUUUCCAGAAACAAAACCGUGAGGGCUUGGUCGGGGCCUAAAGCGGACAAUAUCGUGCUACGGCGGAGUUGAUCCUGGGAUGUGGUGGGGGCCCGAGCCGGGAUGUGACAAGUGGGCUUAGCCUCAUAAUGGGCUAGCAAUGAUGUGAUUCAAUCAAUUGUUUAUUAAAUAUUAUUUUCUCUAUUCUUAAUGUAAAUUCUAUAGAGACUGAUUUAUUAUGUGAAUUCAGCUACUUUAAUUGGUUUAUGAGGGGUUUCUUCUAGCAUGAUCUAAGAUUAUUCAUUUACUUCAAAUAUUUGACUUUCCAUUUGUCAAUUUACGCAUAUAAUUACAUUUAAAACAUGUAAGUCACACAUAGCACGCCUUUAUUCAAAAAAGGCCUUUGUCAUUUUAAUUAGUAUUUUUUUUAAUUAACUACUUCACAAUAGGCUAGCAAUAAUGUGAUUCAAUUUCUCUAUUUUAAAACACGUUGAAAACAUCUUAAAAGGUGUGUAAUGCUGGUUAUAAAAAAAUGGUCUUUGGCACGCGGAUAAUAAUGUGAUUAAAUUAGUUGUCAAAUGAUUUUUUUUUUAACAAACGAUAUGAUCUACACUAAGGAGGAGAGGGUGGGCUUAGCCUUACAAUAGGCUAGCAAUAAUGUGAUUCAAUCAGUUGUUUAUUAAAUAUUAAUUUCUCUAUUUUUAAACAUGUUGAAAACAUCUUAUGAGGCGUGUAAUUCCGUUUAUGAAAAAGAUCUUUCGCAAGCAGAUAAUAAUGUGAUUAAAUCAGUUGUCAAAUAAUUAUUAUUUUUAACAAACAAUAUUAUCUACACUAAUGGGGAGGGGCCGGGCUUAGCCUCACAAUGGGCUAGUAAUAUUGUGAUUCAAUCAAUUGUUUGUUAAAUAUUAUUUUCUCUAUUCUUAAUGUAAAUUCUUUAGAGACAGAUUUUGUUAUGUGGAUUCAGCUGUUUUAAUUGAUUUAUGAGGAGUUUCUUCUAGCAUGAUCUAAGAUUAUUCAUUUAUUUCAAAUAUUUGACUUUCCUUUUGUCAAUUUACAUAUAUAAAUACAUUUAAAAUGUGUAAGUCGUGUGUGACGUGCUAUGAUUCAAAAAAUGUCUUCUGCACGUGUGUGAGUGCGUGGAUAAAGGCUAGUAUAUGAGAAAAGAAUAUGAAAAAUGAUGAAUUAAAAAGCGUGAUGAAAGCGGAAAGAAGAAAUAAAGAUGAAUGAAUAAAGAACAAAAUGUUAAAGGGGAAAACAACUUAAAAUCGUUUUCACCAUUUCUUCUACAUUUAUCAGACCAUCUUUUCCCCACUUUUCUUUAUCAUUUUUUCCUCUAUAUUGUACUUUCAUCAUAUUUUAAACACAAAAAAUAAAAACUAUAAAACUUUAAAACUUUAAAACUAAAUGAUUAUCAAACGUGCCUUACCUAUGGAGACAAAAAAAAAUACAUUUCAUAGAAGCUCUUUAGUUUUGAAUUAUUUCAAGGAGAGACAAAAACUCAAACCCUACAAACCUAACCCAAAAACAAGCAAACCAAAAUUUUGAAAUUUUAGCGGUGCUCCCAAUAAACUUGUUACUUAACCAAAACAAAACUACAAGCUAACACCAUCUAAAACCCUUCAAAUUUAUUUUAGAUCCAUAAAAAUUAAUUUCUGCACUUUUGCAAGAUCGACUUCAAAACUCAUGAACUUUUAUAAGAUCAAUUUCAAAAUUUUUCACACAUCCACAAGAUCAUUUUCAAACUUCUAGCACUUUCAUAAGAUCAGUUUCAAAGUUCCAGCAUUUCUGCAAGAUUAAUUUCAAAGAAUUCAGCACUUUUACAAGAUCAGUUUCAAAAUUUCAGCAAUUCUACAAAAUAAGUUUCAAAAUUUAGUAUCUCUGUAAGAUCAGUUUCAAAAUUUUAUGCACUUCUGUAAGAUCAAUUUCAAAAUUUCAGCACUUCCGCAAGAUCCGUUUCAAAAUUCCAGCAUUUCCACAAGAUGAAUUUCAAAAUUUGGCACUUCUUCAAGAUCAGUUUCAAAAUUUCAACACUUUCACAAUAUAAGUUUCAAAAUUUCAACAAAUUUGCAGGAUCAGUUUCAAAUUUUUUGGCACUUCUGCAAGAUCAAUUUCAAAAUUCUAGCACUUCUUGCAAGAUUAGUUUCAAAAUUCCAGCAUUUCUGCAAGAUCAGUUUCAAAAAUUCUCACACUUCUGCAAGAUCUGUUAAAUUUCAGCAUUUCUCCAAGAUUAAUUUCAAAAUUCCAGCAUUUAUAAAAGAUUAGUUUAAAAAAAAUAGCACUUUUGCAAUAUCAGUUUCAAAAUUCCAACAUUUCUAUAAGAUCAAUUUCAAAAUUCCUACAUUUUUGCAAGAUUGGUUUCAAAAUUCAUGCAUUCAAAUCAAUCAAAACCUCAAAAUCAAUAUUGACACACCCCGACCCGGAAUGUCCACUAGGACUCCGAAUCGAGCUGUGAUGGCCGACACCUGGAAGGUGACGAAGCCAUAAAGUAUAAUGAUGUGGAAAAUGUGAAUAAAUUUAAACCUAGAAGUACCUAAAGACGAGAGUGCGCUGUGAGUGGGAAUGAGCCCAUUUCACUUGCGACGUCAGAGCAUAAGUAAAGUAUAGUAGUGUGGUUAAGGAUCAUACCUUUAGAUGUAGCCACCUAUACUUAGAUUCACCACGAAUCCUCGUCGAUACGAACUUUCAGCAACUAAAACCUGAAGGGGCACAAAACAAGGGUAAGUGGGCUUGAAAAUAAAGUUUUUAAUAAAAACAUUUUGAAAACGUUAUAACCCCUCACCGUAAAACCCAUAUAAUUUCCCAGAAAAUAAUAAUAUAUAUAGAAAUCAUGCUCAAGAGUAGUGAAAACCAAGUUUAUGCCAUGUCAAGUAUCUCAACAAUGAAAUAAGUAGGCCAAGUGAAAUAAUCAAUGUAAAAUGAUAUGCCAACCAGAGUCACCUAAUGUGACCUGUACAGCUGAACCUAUAGCUCAUUAACCAAUUCCUGCACACGAGUCGGAACCACCUAUUGUGGUCUGUACGACAAGGUUGGGUGUAAAUAAGUACGCUCAAGUGCUACGAUCAUGUGAAGGUUGUGCGAUAAAUCGUGGGUCACCUACAAGUCGUAACCACCUAUUGUGGUCUGUAUGACAAGGAUGUGCACCAAACUUGGAUCCAAGGUAAGCGUGUGGUGCGGGAGGUGAACAUCACGUGAAGGACUAUGCCCUGGCCAUGGGCAGGAGCACUAACACUGGGGUGCAGGAUAAUGAGCUCUACAUACCUCUAUGUAUAACCAUAACCAAUGCAACCACUAACAUCAUAUAGUACUCACCUGAAACUUACCUGGCCUCCGCAGCAUCAUACAAUAGUAUGUAUAUACAUACCAAUGCAUAUAAUAAAAUGAAAUGCAAGCAUGACAUGGCAUUUAAAAAGAAUACACUUGUUUAAAACGGUUUCUGGGAAAAUGUAAAGCAUAUAUACGUAUAUAUAGAAAAUCAAAAGCCCACUCACUUGGAGUCUGCGCUACAACUCCCUAGCAUAACAUCAAGGCACCUAGAACAAUUAUCAAAUCAUGUCUUAGAAUUCUUAUUAAUAGAAUAUAGAACUUACAUAUCCUAUUUGGGAAGAUCCGUACGUCGGAUUCCCGAUCCGUAAGUUUGCAAUAUCCUCAAAUAUUACGUAUUAUAAUGUAUCAAAAUUUAGUGACGAUCCAACAGUCGGAUCAUUGAUUGCUAUAAUAAUCAAGCGGCAGACCUUAAUGGAACUAGGUUCAAACGACGGAAAUUCAUCAAUCGGACCUCACAAAUGGAAUUAGGGUAUUCAAAUUUAACCUAGGAAGGUCAGGGGAUGUCUCGGCCCACGUGCCACCGCAUGUGGCAGUUGGCCGCCCCGACUCGCUAGAAAAUCUAACUAUUUCUAAAAAUUCUCAAACUUCACAGAAAUGAAGACCUCAAUGAAUAAAGCAACUUUCAUACUUGUGACUAAAGCCAAUUUGGCCGGGAAAAGCCUCAAUUUCAUCCAAACCCGCCAGAAACCCUACAAAGGUGAUUCUUGAUUCGGCCUCCAAACUCACUCCAACGCCUCAACCAACCCCUAGGCUUCAUUCCUGAACUCAAGAAGAGUCUAAUGGUGGUGGUGGUUGACGGAGUUACCUUCAGAUUUAAUGGAUCGCCACCCCGAAGCCAUCGCAUCCACCGGUGUAUUUCUUCCCAAUUCCGAACCCAAUCUCCUGAAAUUUGAUGUGGAAAUGGUAGAGGAAGGGUAAAGAUGAUGGUUAUGAGUGGUAGAUCGGCUCAAUUCAUCAGAAAAACAAUGAAUUUCGUCGGAGAAACUCACGGGUCACCAUCGGGUCACGGGUCAAGGGGAAAUCGAUUUGGUUCCCCUCCUUCUCCUUUUCCCUCCUUUUCCCUCCUUUCCUCUUUUCCCAUUGGUUAUCCUCCUUUUCUCCCUUCUUCAUUGGUCCGGUUCCUCCCUCAUUUCUCUCUUUUAUCCUCCAUCUCCACCGACCAACUUUCUUUCUUUUAAUCUGGGCCACACACAUGGCUCCACCAGAUUUUGCUCCCCAAAAAUCUGGAGCAUUCUAGAAAUAAAUAAAUUUACAAUUUUGCCCUCGACUUCAUUCGUUAAUAUCUCCUUCGUUAUAACUCCAAAUCAUAAUCCGUUUGCAUCCACGCGUUCUUAGCGAUAAGUACUACGAGGAUACGCCAAGAAAAUGAACCUUAUGUGACACGACACAGCAGUUAACAAAAGUCAACACUUUGUCUUGAAGGGCAUUUUUGUAAAUUCACUUUUUAAAAUUAUAAAAAUAAAAAAUCCCAAUAGUUCUUAAAAAAGAAAAAAAAAACACUCGUAAGCUUAGGAAACAAUAUGAAGGAGAAGCAAAUGAGGGAGAGAGAAGUAUGAAAAAGAAAUAAAAGAGAGAAGGAAGAGAGAGAAAAUGACGAAAAAGAAAAAAGAAAAAAGAAAAAGAAACAAUACAAAUAAGGGGAUAGAGAUACACAUUUCAAUUAUAUAGGGUAAAAUUGUAAAUACAAAAGAAAUUUAAAAAACAACCAUGACAUCACAUAUCAUAUGGAUAAGUUCUGUCACUCUAUAAAAAAGGAAAAAAAAGGAAAAAAAUUGGUCUCUCUAAAAUAUAGUCUUAUAAUUUCGAUGUAUAUGUUGUUAUUCAUAUAAUUAAAUGCUAUAGAUUUCCACCUUUUAUGUGCCUUGUGAGAAAAUUUUGUGGUAAAGGAAUUAAAUAUACAAUCCCCUAACUAAUAAGUUUAUGUCACUUAGUAUCACGGUCUAGUGGUAUUUCUCUUCACUUGUAAAUGAAAAGUUUUAUGUUCGAUUCUUGCCAAAGGCGAAUUUGAACUACAUUAUUGCUAGCCCAUAUUAAGGCUAGCUCACCCCACUUCCCUUAGUGUAGAUCAUAUCAUUUGUUCAAAAAAAAAGGAAGAAGUUUUAAGUUCGAAUUUCUACAAAUGCAAUUUUGAACUACAUUGUUGCUAGCUUAUUAUGAGGUUAAGACUCACUUCGUCAUAGAUAAUAUCGUUUGUUAGAUAAAAAAUAAAUAAAAAUAAAAAUAAAAAACUAAUAAGCUUAUUAUAUUACUGGACAGUAAUUUGACAUUUUUAACAAAUGUUAAUGUUUUUAAAUUAUUUGACUUGAUAAGUUUGUGUUCUCUUAAUUAUAUCCCCCUUUAUAGAAAGAUCGAUUGAAAGGCCUAGGGUAUUCCACGCGUGUCCUCGAGAGGGUCACAAGUGGAGUCGAUGAUCAUCCAUGCAUACCUCCUCCAAAUUCCAAAUAAAUAAAUAAAAUAUUAACACUAAUUAAGUUGGUGGAGUCAAGGAUCAUGCGUGAGCACAUAUUCCUCUACAACAUCAUGACGUGUGGAAAAAUGAUUUAACACGUAAGUUAGUGGAAGCGUGAUCCCUCAACUUUUGCAAAUAACAAGCAAUCGCCAAUAAUAACUAUUUCUGGAAGGCACGGAGCAAUAGUACUUUUCUAUAUAAUAUUUUAUUAGUUGAAUAAAACGAAGAACAUUUUCUUAAUUAUAAACGAAAUGUUAUAUUUCUUUCAAGUGCAAAUAUAAAGAUAGUAUAAUAGAACAAGUAAGGAUGUUGAACCACAAGAACUGAUUAGAACUCUACAAAUUACUAGUUUUAUGUGAACUCUAACUAAGCAAUGAAAAUGAAAACUGAAUUUAAAUUUUUGUUUUGAAAUCUAAAGUAACUUAAAAUGCAAGACAAGAUAAAGAUGAAUGAUAGAUUGAUUCAGAAACGAUGGGAACAGAACUAGGGAUACUGAUUUCACCAUUAUAAGUCAAUUCCAUGAAAAUUAAGUCAAAAUGCAUUCAACUCUCAAAUCUGUAACUAGGGUUCGUUUUACUUAUUUAUGAUCAUCCAUUUGAUGUGUGGUUUUGAUCAAGUACUCCUAAUCUGCAACCUAGUUGUGAUGUUCAACUUAGAUUAACAAGUAAGAAUCCAUUAAGAACAAGAAAACUUCAAAGAACCAAAAAAAUCACAUGGCAUGAUGUAUGCAUAGCAGUUUCUUCAUUCAUUCACAUGUCCAUCAAGAUUAAGCAUGAUGUGUACUAUAAUCUUGAUCAAAUAAUUCAUAAGCAGCCCUAAUGGUGAUCAAACAUUAAGAUCAACAAACAAACUAUACUAUAAAAUCAAUGAAUGAAACAAGAACACAUAUUGGUAAUUUGAAUACUUUAACUUAAUAACAUAGAGUAGGUUUUGCAAGGCUACACCGAAUUCCCCAACUAUGAACUUAAUUACACAACAUGAUUACAAAAUAUAUAAAUAUCAAGAACAACAUGAGUGAAAUUAAAGUUCAUAGAAGAAAACCCCUUGAAGCAAUUCUGAUGUUGAACUUCUCCAAGAAUAGCGCGGCUGCGUGGUUUCUUCGGUGGCAGCAGAUGGCGAAGGGAAAUAGGGUUUUGUCUCUGGAAGAAAGGCCAAAAAAAGAGAAGGGAGAGAGCUCUGGGCGACCCCAAGGGGGGCUUGUGUAAAAGUGAUAUGAAACCCUAGUAUUUAUAUGCUAAAUGGGGUUGCAGCUGAUUGCAAGGUGAUCCCAACCAUUAAGCCAAAGUUUUGAACGUUUUUCCUUAUUUGGCUCCUCCAAAUCAGGCUAGAUAUUCCAAUUUCUUUCCCAUUCUGCUCUUAGUCUCUUAACCAGCUAGAUUCGCUUUGGAUUCUUUAUUUGGGCUUCAAAACAAGUAACAACUUUAUUUGGGCUCCAAAACAGACCACUAAACUUCUCUCCACGUUUGAAUAAGGGUCAGCUCCAAAAAUGGCAUGUUUUCACUUCUUUUGCCUUCAAAUUGAUCCUAAAGUACAUGUAACUGCACACUAACACAAAAUAAGGUAAAAUGCAACCAGUUUAAUUCAAAAACAUCACAAAGAGACUAGAAAUGGAUGGUAUAAAUGCAUGAAAUAUAUGAGUUAUCACGCAACUGAGUACCUCUCCCUGUAUAAUCAACCCCUUCUUGAUAAUGGCCUUUGCAAAAGUUUUGGGCUUUAUAUCUUUCUACCGAGCUAUCAAGAUUGUUGCUAGGCUAAAUACCCUAGACCCAGCUGGACAAAGGCCCAAGGUCUUAUUAUCGUAUUUAAACGAGUAGGCCUCAUUAUAUAUAGUAAUAGUUCUUAAAUUAGGGUUUUCACAAAAUAGUCCUUUUAGGCAGUGUAAAGUCAUAAUUUUAGUCUUUUAGGGCAUGUUUGUUUGGCCUUCCUAAGCUUAACUGGACUAGACUGGCUUAGCUAAGAAUAUUAAUCUAUGUUUGGUGUAAGCCGGGACCGAGUUUAAUGGGGGGAGCUCGGAAUUGUUCCGACUAUACUCUUCAUUAGCUGGGCUUAGUGAGGCCGGGCAAAAAGGAUGGGAUUGCUAAGACCAGCGCUUUGCAUCAUCAUCAUGUUGAGGCUUCAAAUUUGUCAUCUUCCACAGAUCCCCAACCUGCCGCCAUUAAGCUUUUCUUCUUUCCUCAGCCUGCAAUCAACCGAUUCAAUAGCUCCACCUCUCGCACAGGCCCUGCCCGCAGCUCCAAAUCUCGCGCCACUGGUCGUCGCAUCCUCCUCUAGGCCACCAAGCACUCCACAAGGAAGAUGCUGUGAACACGGAAAAUUCCUGAAACGAAAGAGACAAGAACGAACGUGCACAAACAAAUAUUAAGUAUUUGAUGAUUUUGGGUUACAAUCUCUCUCUAAUUUGAUCCUCUGAUUCGAUCUCCGUAAGGUGUUGAUUGGUGGGUGUUUCGUUGAUCCAAAGGGCCGUUAGGCUUGAUCUAAGGAUGAACGUUCUUCAAGGGCCGUGGACUUGAUCUUGAAGGUGGAUUUGAGCGGAUCUUCAAAUGGGCUUUUGGGCUUGAUCUUUGAAGAAUAGUGACGAACGGAUCUCCAAGGGCUUUUGGGCUUGAUCUUGAAGAACAGUGAUAAACGGAUCUUCAAGGGUUUUUGGGCUUGAUCUUGAAGAACGGUUGGAUGUGUGGAUUUGUCGACGUUGUUGAUCCAAGGGCCGUUGGGGCUUGAUCUUGGAUGAACGGAUGAUGAACGAUGGUGCUUUCUUCAAGGGCCGUCGGGGCUUGAUCUUGGAAGAACGAUGAACGAAGAACACUUUCUUCAAGGGCCGUCGGGGCUUGAUCUUGAAUUGGUGGAUGAUUGUUGAUCCAAGGGCCGUCGGGGCUUGAUCUUGGAAGAACGAUGAACGAAGAACGAAGAAGGCUUUCUUGAUUCUUCGGGAACUUGGAUGCUUGAGAGCUUCGGAGUUUCAGAGCUUCAGAGCUUCAAGGUGUAAUAUCAAUUGGUCCCCUUCAAUGAAUGAAAUGGGCUUGUAUUUAUAGAAUUUUCCAAGGUCUAAUUUCGAAUAUAAUAUUCCAGAUGAAAUAAGUCGUUUCUGCCAGGUGUUGACACGUGUCCUAUUUGAUGACUUUUCCAACUCAUUUCAAUUUUCGUUGAGUCACACGCUACGUGUAAAAUUUAUGUAAUACAUGAGCGUUGACACUUUGAUUUAUUGGUCAACAUUUAUUUACCGAAAUUUCGAUGUCUACAAAUGCCCCCACUUCAAGGCACGUCGUAUACAUGUGCUUGUCACGUGUAGGAGAUGUGUUUUGAAGUCCCUUACUGUAGAUGUCGAUCCAAGGGCCGUCGAGGCUUGAUCUUGAAUUGGGCUGGAGAUUUCUUCAAGGGCCGUUGAGGCUUGAUCUUGAAUUGGGCUUGAGAUUUCUUCAAGGGCCGUUGAGGCUUGUUCUUGAACUUUUGUUUGAAAUUUCUUCAAGGGCCGUCGAGGCUUGAUCUUGAAGGUUGAAAUUGGGCCACAAGGAGCUUCAUGUGGUAGAUGAUCUUUGGCUUUGGUAAUGGAUGAAUCGGCACGUAUUUUGUUGCGCUUGUUGACUUUCCACAGCUUUGAUCUUGAACUGGGUUGGAAGAUUUUCUGGAUUCCUCCAAUUGUUGAUUUUCCACAGCUUAUUCUUGAACUAGGUUUUGAUUCAAGGGUGGUAGACACUUAAUCUUGAAUCAGACUUGUGAUUUCCUCAAGGGCCGUCGAGGCUUGAUCUUGAAUUUGGUUGGAAACUUCUUCAAGGGCCGUUAGGGCUUGAUCCUUGAAGGUUGACUUAAACACAUGACAAGCAGGCACGAGGUGAAGGUGACGACUUGUUGCUCUGUUCAAUAUUUCUAAUUCACACCUGAGCAGUUUGGUCAACGGUAUGAUCUUCAAGAUUGAUGCGCUUUUCUUCCAGUUGGUGACUUGAUCUUUAAGGAUUUGAUUCAAGGGUGGUGAAUCGGCACGUGCAACCUACAACGCCUAGUAAGCCGACCCAAGAAUUUGAGGGUCAAAACGAAUUCACCGUCAGAGUGAUUGCAACUUUGAUGAUAUGAGAUACUCUUGCUUUUGAAGAAGUAGCGGAUGAAUCAACACGUGCUUGGUUGCAUUUGUCUCCACAUGCUUCAAGGUAUCAUCUUCAUUUCCUUUAUCUGUUCCUCAGGCAGAUGUGGCAGCUUCUUUGAAAGUACAGCAGCAGUCGAAGGCGAGUACUCGAGAGCAGUGCUAGGUAGGCAAUCAGGGAAGGGUUCCAAGCAGUCGGUUCCUUACCCGAGUUUGAGUGGAAGUUCCGGCAUAUUGUUUUCUUUAUCCUUGUCUUUGUAGGUAGGAACAAGGACAAAGGAAAGGACAGAGAGAGUGUAUGAUAUGAGAUACUCUUGCUUUCUACCCUGGUGAUAUGGGAUACUUUUGCUUUGGAGUCAUUGGCUUGCAGAGGUACCCCAAGGAAUAGGGAACAUUGAAUGACUCGAGAGGCUUCGUUGGGAAAGCAUUUUUUGGAGAUGAAGAAAGGCUCUGUAUGUCUGCCUUGCUAUGGAAGGCGAAGGUAGACAAUUAUAGGAAGUUCUUUGAUACUUGUAGAGGUACUAUUCUUUCACUCGUGUCGGCAACCAAUGCGUGAUUGAUCUAUAUGGCUUCACGUGCUUUCUUCUUUAUCAGAAAUCUUCGACAAAUUGUCCGUAAUUUCCGCCAAGCUGAGUGUGCAUGUGACAGGUGUCGACGCGGCUGAAAAAGACUGGCGCCUCUUCGAUAACUGGGAUCGGCGCUUCGACAAAUUACCCGUGAUUUCCGCAAAGCUGAGUUUGCGUGUGAUGGGUGCUGACGUGGCUGAAAAAAGACUGGCGCCUCUUCGAUAUCUGGGAUCGGCGCUUCGACAAAUUUGCCCGUGAUUUCCGCAAAGCUGAGCUUGCUUGUGACGGGUGCUAACGCGUCUGGAAAAGCAAGAUGCUUCUCCGAUUUCUGAGAUUGCCUCUUCGAUUUUUGAAUCGGCAUUUUCGAACUUUGAGCUCACCUCUUCGAUCUCUGAAAUCCCGUCGAGUGCUGAUUUUUUAUAGAGGCACGCAGUUCGUUUCAAAGCACACUUGAAUUUUCGCUUGUAGAAACUCCCUUCUUGCACUUCUAAGAUCUUGAUUUGUCCGACCUCUUCUUUCUUCAACACCUUUGAAAAUGUCUGGACCCUCCGAUCGUCGUUUUGAUUUGAACCUUGAUGAAGAGGUAGUCCCGUCUUCUCCAGAUAACAUAUGGCGCCCAUCCUUCAUAUCCCCCACUGGUCCUCUUACCGUUGGGGAUUCAGUGGUGAAGAAUGAUAUGACCGCUGCGGUGGUGGCCCGGAACCUUGUCACUCCCAGAGAUAACAGACUACUUUCCAAACGGUCUGAUGAGUUGGCUGUUAAGGAUUCUCUGGCUCUCAGUGUGCAGUGUGCAGGUUCUGUGUCCAACAUGGCCCAACGCCUAUUUGCUCGAACCCGUCAAGUUGAAUCGUUGGCGGCUGAAGUGAUGAGUCUCAAACAGGAGAUUAGGGGGCUCAAGCAUGAGAAUAAACAGUUGCACAAGCUCGCACACAACUAUGCCACAAACAUGAAGAGGAAGAUUGACCAGAUGCAGGAAUCUGAUGGUCAGAUUUUACUUGAUCAUCGGAGGUUUGUGGGUUUGUUCCAACAACAUUUGCCUUCGUCUUCUGAGGCUGUACCGACUGCUGAGGCUUCAAACAGCCAUCCUCCGACGCCUUCUCUUCCUGGAGCUCUGCCGAGUUGUGAGGCGCCACCUGAUCGUCCUUGAAUAUCCCCUCUUGUAAAUUUGAUUUGAUUUGAUUUGAUUUUUUUUUUUUUUUUUUUUUUUUAAUUUAUGUAUAAUGCAAAUUUAUGUAAAAUUUCCAGAAAAAUAAAUAAAAUGGACCUUCUAUUUCUCUCGAUGUUUUUUUUUUUUUUUUUUUUUUUUUUUUUUUUUUUUUUGCUAUAUACAUACAUAUCAUGCACAUACAUGUAUAUGUAUAUUUACAUGGUGCAAUCCGCACCAUCCCACCUUCCUACUUGCUUUCCCCUUUUUUUUAUUCUUUAAUUUUUUUAUUUUUUAGGUAUGGUGCCAGAUCAAUCCAGAUUUCCCCUUUUUUUUUUUUUCACAUGGUGCCAACCAUCCCUUCUUUAUUCACGUGGUGCCAGACGCACCACCACCCCUUUCUUUUUUUUUUUUUUUUUUUUUUUUUUUUUUUUUUUUGUAUUUCUUUCUGUAUAAAUUAGGAUGGUGGUUAGAGGAAUUUGCAGGGAGCGGACGAAGACGGACGGAGAGCUGGAGUUUGAGGAAGCGCUUCUCGGCCGGCUAGUCGUUUGACAGCGGUCUUUGAAGUUGUUUGGCAGCUGCGAGGCAAGAGACGGAGGAGGCCUUUGGGUGUGUAUUGACAAACUUUGUUUUUGUCAAUCUCAUUCAAAGGCAGCAGCCAUGGCGGAAGUGCAGAGGAAGAAGCUCCACCACUACCUUUACUGAGCACAGCCACCGAUCGCAACCACCUAGUAUAGAGCCACCGUACACUCGUUGCACUGUCACUGAGCACCACCACUAACCACAACCACUGUACACCUGUUACACCGCUUGCUGCGGAGGGGAGUGUCGCUCGUUGCAUAAAAGCGAGACUGAUGGGCAAAAAAGACAAGCCUGCAGGGAAGAAAAAUGAGGAGGCCAUUGAUGGAGUUAUGGCGAGAUCGAAUUUAGACGGAAAGGGAGACUGAGACGGCGAGAUCGAAGUCCUGCACGAAGUUCUAAACCCUAACCCAUAACAUCCUGCAGUAGAAACCAAUGUCGAGGAAGCUGAAGAACGGCGCCGUUUCUUCGUCACUGAAUGUUGAAGACAGCAUGGAGCGUGGAUUUGGAAUGACGUCAUCGCGAUCUUAGAAAAAGUUUUGGGAUCUCUGAUCUUUCUCUCCGCGUUCUUCUUCUGUGGUGGUCGUGAUGGUACUGCUUGCCGAAGGAUCGAGAGAGGACUGCUUGCCGCACUUGCUGCUGAAGCUGGUGGGCAGAGAGGGCGGAAAAUCCAAGAGAGGUUCUGUUUUGUGUUCCUUUUCUUCUUUGACAGGUCGUUCUCCGAUGGUGAAAUCCGCAUCACCGUUAUAAAGGAUGAUUGUUGUUUCAUGCAGCCUUCCUGGUCAGCUGCUCCUUUGAUGUGCUCUCGAAGAUUUUGUCGGCAUUUCCAACCUCAAAUCUAUCUCGCCUGUGAUGCUCUUUAACCUCGUCAAGGGGCAGAUUGCUGUAUUGAGGCAGAACCAGGCGUUCAGCAAACUCGAUGUAGGAGCAGGGGACUGAUUUAGUUACACCAUCCGCAAUUUGGAAAUGGAUUGAUGGUGCUACUGUUGAAUGGUGGUGUGAUGGAGGCCAACUCGCUCCGGGUGUGCACACCAUGUGCAGCAGGCGGGGACGAACUCGAGAAUCUGGGAUUCAAGGGAGAGGGACUCGGCCUCGGAGAGAAUGGAAUUCGCUGCUUCGCGGUACUGGGGAUUUAAGUGGGCCGUGAUUUUGAUGAGAGCAGCAGCAGCAGCAGAGAUGUGCAGAGAUGGAGACGAAGCUCCCUUUUUUUAUUUUUUGCUUUUCUGAGAAGUGGAAAAUGUGUGGGUUGUGGGAUCUGUGAAGGCAGGUGGACUGGUGGUGGAAACUUGAGAGCAGCGAAUUUGGCGGAGAGGUCGUUGCCGAUGACUGCCUUUAUUUCCUCGUCCACCUGAUCGGAAAUGGUCCGAUUAUAUUUGGAAUUUGGAGGCGGAAGCAUCAGCGGAGAAACACGGCGCUGCCCUACCCCCUUUCGACUCUGCAACUUCUAGCUGCUGAUGGUGAUAGGUUCAUAGCCCAAGACAUUUGGUUCCAAAACUCAGCUGGGCCAGCAAAGCACCAAAGUGUUGCACUCCGGGUUGGGGCAGAUUCGACAGCACUUGGGCUUCAUUUUGAAUGGGCUGCUUUGAGCAAUGCUGCAAGAAAUGGGAGAUGGGCCUUGAUUUGUAACUGAAGUCUGAGCAGGCAUUGGUCUUGACCGCGGAUUGGGUUUGGAGGCUGCCACUUGGGCCUGGAUGGCCUCCUUUUGAGAGGCUUGCUGCUGAUGGAUAUACAUACAUACAUAUAUAUAUAUAUAUAUAUAUAUAUAUAUAUAUAUGUAUGUAUAUGUAUGUAAAAGAACUCCUUUUUUUUUUUCUUUUUUUUUUUUAAAUACAUAAAACAUAUGUAUUCAAUUUUUUUUUUUUUUUUUUUUAAAAAAACUGUAAUUUAAUUUUGUACAAAGAAAAUUGCAAAUUUUCUUAACAAAAUAAAUUUGUAAUGAAAUUAACCUUCUUUAAUAAAACAUUUAUUCUUUUGAUUUUGAUGUGACUGAACUCGAAAUUUUGAAUAUUCAAGCUGCCUACGUACCCUUCCAAAGAAAGAGAUCAAGUCAAAACGUAGUUCAAAUACAUACAUAUAUAUAUUUUUAUUUUUUUUUUGGUAUUUUCUUUUUUUUUGUGCCGUUUGCAGUUUCAGCUCGUGCAGACAAGGAGCUUUGGGUUGUCGCCUUUUAGGCUCGUGCAGACCAGGAGCUUUGGUGUUGCCUUUUAUGCUCGUGCAGACCAGGAGCUUUGGUUCGUGCAGUUUUAGGCUCGUGCGAACAAAGAGCAUUUGGUGCCGUGUUGCAGUUUCAGCUCGUGCAGGCAAGGAGCAUUUGGUGCCGUGUUGUAGUUUCAGCUCGUGCAGACAAGGAGCUUUGGGUUGUCGCCUUUUAGGCUCGUGCAGACCAGGAGCGUUGGUGUUGCCUUUUAUGCUCGUGCAGACCAGGAGCUUUGGUGUUGCCUUUUAUGCUCGUGCAGACCAGGAGCUUUGGUUCGUGCAGUUUUAGGCUCGUGCGAACAAGGAGCAUUUGGUGCCGUGUUGCAGUUUCAGCUCGUGCAGGCAAGGAGCAUUUGGUGCCGUGUUGUAGUUUCAGCUCGUGCAGACAAGGAGCUUUGGGUUGUCGCCUUUUAGGCUCGUGCAGACCAGGAGCGUUGGUGUUGCCUUUUAUGCUCGUGCAGACCAGGAGCUUUGGUGUUGCCUUUUAUGCUCGUGCAGACCAGGAGCUUUGGUUCGUGCAGUUUUAGGCUCGUGCGAACAAGGAGCAUUGGUUGGUUCGUCAAGCGAUCUGAGAAAGUCGUUCCUCGCAAUCUUCAUAGCAAGGAGCUUUGACCGUGUGUUUGAAGAAGUUUUCGGGCAAGAAGUCGCGCAUCGUGAUGGGGAUGGACAGUCUAUGUGUCGAAAUUUCAUCAUCUUCAACACGUUCACGUUGCUUUGAAGGUUGACAAGAGCUGCUUUGCCCCCUUUCCGAUUGGCGGACUUGUGGAGGAGACAUAUGUUUCUUGUGCAAUUUCUUAGGAGUGACUUGAGUCCAUCCUUCUACUUUGCUUGUCUUGGACGAUGCCCCUAGCGGUUGAGGUGAAAACUUUGAGUCGGAAGAGCCAGAAGUGAAGGUGGUAUAGUUUGACUUCACCACAUCGUCAAGAUCUAGCUCGAUGAUUCCUUUCUGAGCCAGCUUCAUGAUGAGAUCUUUCAGCACGAAGCACUUUUCUGUCGGAUGACUGAUAAAGCGGUGGAAUUUACAGUAUCUUGGACUGUCAGUACGAUUCAUCUCUUCCGGCCGUCUGCACUCAGGCAAACUGAUCACCUUCUUGUCCAACAGGUCAUCUAACAUGGCAACCACAUCAGAGUCGGGGAAUGGAUAAAUCUUCUCCUCAAGCUCCUUCAAAGUGCGUCUACGCAUCUCUUGAUCACGAAAAGCUUCGGUUUGAAUCGCCUUGCCUCGUGUGGAGAUUUUGACGGGAGCUGUGUUGACCGUCAUCGCUUCCUUGGUGGGUUUCCAUGCAGCCUUUUCCACCUUUGUCUCAAGAGCUUUGUCGUUUUUGUAGUUGGCGAUCGGUUCCUUCUUCCCAUGAUGGGCGAUGCUCAACUCCAUGUCAUGGGCGCGAGUGGCCAAUUCCUCAAAGGUCCGUGGUUUAAUGCCUUGAAGGAUGUAUUGCAAACCCCAUUGCAUGCCUUGGAUGCACAUCUCGAUUGAAGAGGUUUCCGAGAGCCUGUCUUUACAGUCGAGGCUUAGAGUGCGCCAUCUGUUGAUGUAGUCAAUGACUGGCUCGUCCUUCCACUGCUUUGUGCUUGUUAGCUCUAGCAUGCUCACAGUGCGGCGGGUGCUAUAGAAGCGGUUGAGGAAUUCCCGCUCUAAUUGCUCCCAGCUGUUGAUGGACUCAGGCUCUAGGUCUGUGUACCACUCAAAGGCGUUUCCUUUCAGCGAGCGCACAAACUGCUUUGCGAGGUAAUCCCCUUCUGUUCCUGCGUUGUUGCAAGUUUCAACGAAGUGGGCAACGUGCUGUUUCGGGUUUCCCUUUCCAUCAAAUUGCAUGAACUUUGGUGGUUGAUAACCCCUCGGCAUCCUUAAGGUGUCGAUCUUCUUUGAAUACGGCUUUGAGUACAACCCGGAGGUAUUUGAGCUCCCUUCGUACUGUGCCUUGAUGGUGUUGGUGAUCAUCUCUUGCAGCUGCUGGAUAGAAAGAGAUCCCAUGAGUGCUGCUGCUUGGUCUGGCUCCGGCUUCGCAUCGUUUUUCUCCACCUGAGGCUCAUCUUCUUCGUCAUCUCUUCUCUUUAGUGGAUCAUUCUCUGGGUCGGGUUUAUCGCCGUCCUGCGCCUCCAGUCGGUUGACUAGUGCUGCAAUUUGCAAGUCUUUUUCUUCCACAGUUCGGGUUAGCCUUGCGAUUGCUUCAUUCAUUUGAGCCAGCUGCUCAUCAAUUGAAGUUGCUCCAAUGGUCAUGACUUGCAUGGUUGCACUGCCGCUUGAAUCGGCGUCGGAGAGCAUGAAUUCGGAGUAUUUCCUUGGGCUUCCCCCCCUUGGUGCCCUUAGUGAGGCUAAGGUGAUCACAGGCUCGCGUCUGGGGUACUCUCGUUCCCUUGGCAGAGUUGAUGCAGAGGUGAAAGAGAUGGCGGAAGUAGCUCUUGCCAUGCUUCGAGUCGUGAUGCCCAAAGUGACACCAGUUGCGGCGAGGAUGCUCUUGUUCUUUGCGCCGGUUGCGGGAACAGUUCGAGCCUUCCUUGAUGCCAUUAAUUUUGUAAGUGCGCUUGAAUUUCUUGAACGGAGAAAGAGAUGAGAGGUAGAGGUGUCCCACCGGGCGUGCCAAUUUGUGAACACGGAAAAUUCCUGAAACGAAAGAGACAAGAACGAACGUGCACAAACAAAUAUUAAGUAUUUGAUGAUUUUGGGUUACAAUCUCUCUCUAAUUUGAUCCUCUGAUUCGAUCUCCGUAAGGUGUUGAUUGGUGGGUGUUUCGUUGAUCCAAAGGGCCGUUAGGCUUGAUCUAAGGAUGAACGUUCUUCAAGGGCCGUGGACUUGAUCUUGAAGGUGGAUUUGAGCGGAUCUUCAAAUGGGCUUUUGGGCUUGAUCUUUGAAGAAUAGUGACGAACGGAUCUCCAAGGGCUUUUGGGCUUGAUCUUGAAAGAACAGUGAUAAACGGAUCUUCAAGGGUUUUUGGGCUUGAUCUUGAAGAACGGUUGGAUGUGUGGAUUUGUCGACGUUGUUGAUCCAAGGGCCGUUGGGGCUUGAUCUUGGAUGAACGGAUGAUGAACGAUGGUGCUUUCUUCAAGGGCCGUCGGGGCUUGAUCUUGGAAGAACGAUGAACGAAGAACACUUUCUUCAAGGGCCGUCGGGGCUUGAUCUUGAAUUGGUGGAUGAUUGUUGAUCCAAGGGCCGUCGGGGCUUGAUCUUGGAAGAACGAUGAACGAAGAACGAAGAAGGCUUUCUUGAUUCUUCGGGAACUUGGAUGCUUGAGAGCUUCGGAGUUUCAGAGCUUCAGAGCUUCAAGGUGUAAUAUCAAUUGGUCCCCUUCAAUGAAUGAAAUGGGCUUGUAUUUAUAGAAUUUUCCAAGGUCUAAUUUCGAAUAUAAUAUUCCAGAUGAAAUAAGUCGUUUCUGCCAGGUGUUGACACGUGUCCUAUUUGAUGACUUUUCCAACUCAUUUCAAUUUUCGUUGAGUCACACGCUACGUGUAAAAUUUAUGUAAUACAUGAGCGUUGACACUUUGAUUUAUUGGUCAACAUUUAUUUACCGAAAUUUCGAUGUCUACAGAUGCAUUUGCAACUUUGUUGUCAAUUUGCAAAGAUAAAUUCAAAUCAUUUUGCAAAUCCAACGAUCCGAGCCUCUGCAAUUGAAAAAAAAAAUUGGGAUUUUUUUGGGUUUGAUUUGAAGAGAAAGUAAAUUAAAAGAAGAGGAAUAUGGGUUUUGAUUGGAGAGAAAGAAAAUGAAAAGAAGAGAAAGUUUAUGGGUUUGAUUAUUAGUGGGAGCAAAUCUGGUCUUGCGAAGAACAGAAUGCAAACCAAAGAAGAAAAGUAAAGGGACUGGGGAUAGAGAGUCAAAUAAAAAAAUUGUGCAUCAAUAAUAAUAAAAUAUUAAUAAAAUGAAUUAAAAAUGACAAAAAAUUAUUUUAACUCUAAAAUAAUUUAGUUUGUGAUAUAGUCUGACACUGCACUAAAUGUUUCAUUGUCCUUAUACUACUUAGUCUAUGCCAAGCCAAUCCAGUUUAGUCCCUGAAAUUAGUCCAGUCUGAGAUAGUCCGUUGUAACAAAUGCACUCUUAAGUUUCAAAAUCAUCACUGUCAUUUUUCAUGUUUUUAUCUAUAUAAAUUUCCAAGAGGAUCCUCGCCGGAUCCUCUUUGUAAGGAUCCUGAGGAUCCUCCAAUCACAUAUGUUCAUCGUACAUUGUACGGUCAGAAAUCAUUGUAAUGUUUUUUUAUUUAAAAUUGAAUAUAAAUAGUAUCUGACAAAAACUGGGCGCACAAUGUAUGAUGAACUGAUGUGAUUGGAGGAUUCUCGAGAUCCUCACAAAAAAGAUCCGGCGAGGAUCCUCUCUCCACCAUUUUAAUCCUUCUGUCUACUCUCAUUAACUUUUAUGUUGUUUGCUUACGUGGCAUGUGUGUGGAGACUCCUAAAUCUAAUGAUAUGAUGCCAAGUGAAAAUGUUAAAGAAAAAACCUAAUGUUUUAAAAUUAAGAAAACAAAAACUAAAAAAGAGUAAAGAUUAAUUUAAACUCGAGAAACAACGAAAGGAAGGAGUUGGAGCCACCGUCCACCCUCCCUCCCUCCCACUUCAAUACAACAAACACCACCCCUAGCCACCCAUCCACCCACCACCACCCUCGAGCACCCCACCCCCCCCCCCAAAAAAAUAUCGCAACCCCACGUCUUACACGGAAGAAAUUCAACCAAAAAAGGAUUAAAAAUAUUCAGAUUCCAAAAGCAAAUAAAAAGUUCAAAAUCAAUUGGGUAGAGAUAGUCAAAAGAUAAAAAAUGAAUUCUAGGGGAACCCAAUUGUGGAGCCAAAAAUAAUACAGAAAAAUUAUUGAAUUGACAUGUGGAGUUUUGCCCACGAGCGACGAGAAUGCACAAGACCCACAUUCAUUCUGUGCGUGGUUUAAUUCUUACGAAGACCUGAGUUGCCAACUACGACUUCUCCAAGCUUUCAUGCCCAUGCCAAGGAGAUAAUCAAAGGUAUUAAAGAUCGGAUUGAUAGUCAAAUCCUAUAUUUAAAGCUUUCCUUAUUAAAGACCAACUCAAUGAGAGAUUUUUCAGUGUGACCGGUAUACGGGGUGGUACAUCAUGUGUCACUAAACAAAUGGUGGGAUAUGUGUGCUAAAAAGUUAAUAACUUAAAAAAUAAAAUUUCCCACCAUUCCUAUUAAAACACGUGGUGUACCAUUUGUGUUCCCGUCACAAUUAAAAAUUUCUCCAACUCAAUAAUGAAUCACCAUCAAAUCCAAUCAAGGAUUCCACGAGAUAAUUUCAAGAUAUUAUUAAUUAAAUAAUAUCUUCAGGAUUAUUUCUCAAGUGGCCGGAUAUCUUCUACUACAUCCAACAGAUGACACACCUUCAUCAACUGGACGUCGAAAAAUGGCAUGACAAUCCUUACGCAUGUGGCCGGCUAUCUCCUUAUAAAUGGAAGCAUUUUUGCUUACCUCACUAAACUUUGGUGUAUGUUCACCAUACCAAUCAUCUGACACAUGUCCUUUCACUUAACCUUGGUUUUUUUUUUUUUCAAAAUUGAAAUAAUAACAUUUAUUGUGAAAGUUAACUAGAGUUAGGUGAAAGGAUACAUGGCAAAUGAUUAGGUGUAUGGUGAGCAUACACCAUAGUUGUGGUGGUGAGCAAAAAUGCACCCCUUAUAAAUACCUCAUUCUCCACCAAAUUUUGGUAAGCUUUUGCUACGCAAUUAAACCCUAAAACUCUCUCUCUUUUCAGAAAACCUGACUUAGGCAUUGAAGAUCCAUUCGCCAAACUCCCCUCACUCCAUUACAUGGACGCGUGGCUUUGGUCUUUGAUCAAAUGUGUUUAAUUGUUUUGUAGGUAAAAUUCGUCAAGAAUGCAGAUAUCGGAUUUUGCUACAACAAAUUAGUAUUUUCAUUGCGAGCUUGAUUUAAUUCUCGUAGAAGGCUCUCACAAUUCCUUCGAAAUUUCUUACCCCUUGAUUUUCUCACAUGCUCCUAGUCUCUGAAUUUUUUGAUGAAAAAAAGUUCAUUCCCAAGAAAUUGUAGCAAAUUCAUAUCCCACUCAAAAAAAUAUUGGCUAUGGUCGGUUAAAGAAUCACAAUCCUCUUGGAUGCGUUCUCUGAUCAUCGGACGUUCAAAGAAAGAGUUAUAAUUGUUGGCAAGAGUUAGCUCCAUGCUCAAAGAUGUCUUCUUUUUUGUUCUUUUUUUCAAGAAGUAGAAAUUUGGUAAUUUGAAGGUUUGGAAGGCUGGAACUCUCAAAGAGGUUUCCUAUAACAUAGAAAAAAAAUUUAUAAAUGAGGAAUCAGAGGAGGAAUUUGGACCAUCUCACCUCGAGAUUUGUGUGUCUGGCAGCCAGAAUAGCUUGGUAACAGAAAAAGUAGCUCAUCGUUUCUCGUACAAACGCGAAGCAAUGUCUCCCAUCAUUGUUGUCACUACGACAUAAUUUUCGAGGUUGCGCAUUUGAAUCUAGAACGUCUCUACUACUUUGCAAUGAUAACGAGGCCAGAUUGCAAAAGAAUCUUAACCGGUAUGUAUUUUGAUAUAUUCCGUAAGACAUGGUCUUUGAAUAGCUAUCCAUCCUCAAGAGGAACACUUUUUCAGAUACAUAGUUAGGGGCAAUUAUGGGACAAGGAUUUUCUAGGGCCAGAGGAAGGUGGAUCGGAAUACAUAUACCUCAGAAGUCCGGUCAUGGACCCAACAUCUCCGAUUAGAUUAAGUUACUCAAAUAGACCACCAAUCCCACCACAUCCUGUUGGCGUGAGUCAACUAUUUAGUUUAGGAAUGUAAUCCUAUAAUUUAUUUCUUGUAUAAUUGGGAUUCUUAUUUCCUGUUAUGUGGGAUAUUGUACAACUAUAUAUUUACCUCCUAGAGAGAAGAAUAAACACACAAUUCAAACCCUAAACACUUUUAUCAUGGUAUCAAAGCAGGUUGUCCUUGUGUGAAGCCAAACGGCCACACGCGCUCCACAUCACCCAGUUGUUGUCCACAUGUAGGUUUGAAAAUCCGCCACACGUGCGGGGGCGUGUUGAGAGUUGUCCCACAUCGGUGAAGGACAAAGUUUGCUAUGUGCUUAUAUGGUCUUGGGCUACUCUUCAUAUUGCCAAUUGGUUUUAUGGUGAAACCCUAAUUUCAUCACAUCCUACUGUGCUCCAGAAAGGUAGGCUCUUCGCUCAGAUUGACCAUUCUUGUUCUACAAGAUACGGAAACAGGUUUCCUAUAUUCUUGGAGAUUCCUGCAACCUAGGGAUUGGCAUGCACUGCAAGUAAUCACACUUCUAAGAGGACAUAAUAUUUAAUCCUAUAAUCUUCUUAGAUUCUGCCAAUUUAAUAUGGAUUCUAUAUCCUAAUAGAUCCCUCUCCCGACUAAUAUAAAUACCCGCAUCUAGGUUUUUGUCUUUGGUAACACUUUCAUAUUGCACGCUUUAUUAUCUUGCUCACUACUUGAAUCUUAAUACUGCUUACUAACUUGACCGUCGGAGAAUCUUUAGUAGGUACCCUAUCGGUACUUUAGGUUAAUCGUAGUUGUUUGUUCUUUUAUAGGUAGUCGGGUUUGCCACAGGUCCUCUCUCAGCUGCGGUGCUUAAAUUUAGUUCCAACAUGUCAUAUACAUUUACAACAAAAAUGAAAACGACGAUAGUUGUCAAACUGUGCCUUAACAAUUAACAUCCUUUCCACCACUGAUUCCUCUGGCAGCAACUUCGUCUUAUAGAUACUCUCACACCAAAACAAGUCGGGCCUUAAUAUUAGGGUGUCUUACUUGAGUUCACAUCUAUAUAUACAUGUCAGGCUAUAGUCAUAUACUAAUAAAUCUCGUAACUUUUCACAAUUUAUUACAGUUCAUAACCCGGAAACCUAGAAUUUUCGGGCACAUGAAGAUCAAACCAGAGGCAAGCUGUUCCAGCAAGACCUUGAAAAAGAGAGUAGACAUAUUCAACCCCAUGAGUGCGUCCUGCAAUCGAAAACUCUCCAGCACUAUGAUACAAGAAGCUUGCAAAUGCCUUUGCUCUCUCUUCGUAUAUGCUCUCUCCAGUCAGACGAUACAGAGAAAGGAAGGCAUAAGCAUUCCCAGCCACACCGUCAGCAAGUCCUACCUUCUUCAGUAAACCGUUCUUCCAAACAACUUCUCCUGCUUCUAUUGCAGCGUCACGAAAUUCCCGAUCACCUGGAAACACCUGAAAAAGAAAGGACAGGAACCGCUGUUAACUCAUAUUCUUGCAGACAGACAGAAAAUACACACAUACAAGGACCAUCCUUUUGGUCUUGAAAAACUUUGAGGAUUUGGGAUAUAUAUGUGAGAAGGUCGAGCAUCACAAAUAACUCUGAAUGCAUCUUGCAAAAAAUUUAAAUAGGUAAUCGACAGACAUCAAUACUUUGAAUCUUGCUAAAGGAAAAUGCUACAACGAUUAUAUUUUCGGCCCACAUUACUAACAAGGUGGUCUAAAUAGAAAACACGCAUUAUUUUCAUAAACCAUUAAUUUCUCUCCAAAAUAACAGAAGUUUAGUUACCACAUCAACUUCAUUUGAUCACUGUUAUGGUAAAGGCUCAUGCACUAUUAGUACUAGCUCGUUUUGUUAUAAUUCGACAAACGUUGUACAUGAUAUUAGCAUCGAGGACUUACUCAAACAAAGUGAAUACUAGGUCUCACUAAACUAAACGAUCUUUGACUACCCACUGUGAGAAUUGCAUUAAGAAGAGUAAAUUUAUGAAAGAGCCGCCACACAAACCUGAGAUGCCUUGCACAAGGUUAUGGCCAUGCCAGCUGCACCAUGAGACCACUGCACAAACUUGUCUCUAGGGUUUCCUUCACUUGAGGGGUAGUUUCCACUAUGAGGAAACCUAUUAGCCAUCAUAUAUCUAAGAGUUGCCUUCACAUCUUCUGCAUCCUCAUUACAAAGUGGGAAGUGAAGCAGCACUUGCAAAAUUCCGGCCACGCCAUUGGCUGCCCCCAAGUACCUAGUCCCGUGCCAUCUGUACAUAAGUGGGCAGGACAGGUCAUGAGAUGCGCCCGCCCUACCACCAGCUAACACAGCAUCCACAACAGGCAUUAGAAGAUCACUUGGCAACUUGUCCUGUCCAAGAUACUUGUUUAUGAACAAAGCUGCCCAUAAAAUCCCAGCUCUCCCGUAGAGAAGAUCGUACGACAUUCCAAAACCACCUUCCUCUGGCCCAACAGACAAGGCCUUCUCUUGUGCCACCUGUACAAAGUCAACCAAAUAGGUAUUAGCGAGGGAAAACAAUGCAGAAGCUACAAAUAAGAGAUUUUUUCAUGUAACUAAUUCACCACGUCAUAUCUCAACUUUAUUUUUUUAUUUUUUUAUUUUUUUGUCUUGAAUAUGGGAGUUAUCCCAACAAAUUAGUAGCAGACUACUUUAUGGACACGUAAUCUCACUUUCUGUUAGGGGUGACCAUUUUAGUGGGUCAACCGACCAACCUAACCGAUAUGAUUUAGCAUACUUGGGUUGGGUUGGGAUCUAAGCUUUAAAAACUAUUUUUGAGUGAAAACCCGACCAACCUGCUUAAUAGGUAGGUCAUAAUGGGUUAGAAUAUUAUUAACCCGAUUGAAACCGUCUCAUUCAUAAAAUUCAAUUCUCGAUUUGAAUGAUGUACUGUCAUACGUGGUAAUUCUAUACCACCAACCCAAACUUUUAGGGAUGAUGGAUGGGAGUCCAACCCGAGCCGAACCAACCGAUGCCCACCCCCACUUUCUCAAAAGUAAAUUUCAUAUGUUUUUAGUAGAGCACGCAAAGAAAGUUAUAUAAAAACGAAAAUCUCACUAUAUCUUUUGUCAGGAAGUUUUCAAUUGAAUUUCUAAGUAAUGUUAUAUGGCGUCCAACCAACUGUUAAAACCGCAAAUAUGUUUCCACCUAUCUACCCAAGUCUAGGUCCACACCAGGAAAUUUCACAUUGACCGCAUGGGGUCAAAAGACUUCCGGUUUUGUGGACGCGUCCACAUAUAAUUUGAGAGUUUUGUUAUUGGUACUUUAAAUUUAUGGUUCAAAUUCAAUUUUGGAGAGAAUUGAACCUCAGACCUCUCAUUGACAAGUAAAGAGGAAUAUCACUACACCGUAGUGCAAAGAAUUUUUAAUGAAUACGCGUGAAUUCUAGAGUCCUCAUUUGAGGUUGUGAGGAUUCCUUAGUGCAAGCACUAGGUAAAUCCCUAAACUGUUAUUAAUUAGCUCUCCCUUGAAGGAUGCAUAUGACUAAUUCCAAAAAAAUACAAUGAUAAAUUACAAGAACACAACCUAAAAGAAAAACCAAAACUUUGAUUAGAUUUUCGAGGCAAUUACUCAACUAUUUCACAAAGUAGAUGCUCCAAAGUCCAAUUAAUUAAAGAAUUAAAACAAAGUAAGUUAGGGUGAUAAGGUUGUUUGGGAAGUUGAAUAGAAGAUUAGCACACAGUUGGGGUUCAUUUUCCGUACAACUAACACAUCGGACUUUUGAUGGGUUUGGCGAAAGAAUAUAUAUAUUUUUAAGAAAAGGGAAUCAAAUCAAUUACUCUCCUUCAGUCGAUCUGAUUACUUAUCUUUAGGUAUUUGAUUACUCAUCUUAAGGGAAAUCUUGCAGUUUUUUUAUUACUUGUGUAUAAGUAAGCGCAUGGAAAUGUUUAAGUAGUGAAAUGACUCAUGUACCCAUAUUUUAGUAUACACAUGACACUCAAGAAUCAAAAUGAUUCCAAACCUAUUCCUAGUAAGUAAACAUGCCCUUAAACAUGUAAAUAGACACUAUUUGGCAUUGGUAAUGAACUAAAAUUGCUAAUUAAACUAUUUCCCAUAUUUGAUAGGGCGGUGUUAUCCACACGCCCCUUUUUAUGUUUUACACAUCAUUUUCAAUUUCUGAUCAUUGAACCAAAUAAAUCGAAGAGAAUCAAAAUACAAAUAUUAACAGAAUGUGAAAAAUAAAAAGAGGUGUAUAAAUGACACCAUCCGUCUUGAGGUGAGGAGUGCUUAUUCCAGUUGUGAGAUAUUUAUCAAGUAAGUAUCCAAAAACCAAAUAUGAGAGAGCUUCACAAUACUAAAAAAGGGACAGAGUUGGGAAUAUGAGUUAGAUAUAAAUACCUCAAGAAACAGGUUAAAAUAGAGGCCACAUCUUUCAUGGUCCCCCAUCAAACUAGCCACCACAGCUCCUAGGGCGUAGACUCCUCCCCUACCACAUAAAAAAGUCACGUGCCUGCAUAAAAGCAACAUUGCCAAUCAAUCAAAGACACUGCUUACUUAAUCACAUUCGAUAGAAAUAUCACACUCGUUUUCUCCUUCUGCGAUCGAUGAAUCUCUUUGAUUUAUUCAAACCGCGCAUCCUUCUUAACAAUAAAAAGCGUUGUCGAUUUUAGCACAUAGGCAUAAAAUUUAAAACACACUAGAUGAAAUGAAAUUUAUAUUUAAAACGUAUCACUUAACAUACAUUGAAUAGUUGAGGAAACCCAACCCCCAACUCACAAACCCAACUCAUUCGCAUAUUAAUAGUACGGAGACCAUCAAUUUAUAUUAUAUUUUUUAAAUCACAUAACAUGAUUGAUGAUGAUUAAAUUAUUACUUAAAAAUAAUAUAAGUUAUCACAGUUUACCAUAAGAUUUUGUGUACUCUACGAGAGUAGGGUUACCUAUAUCAUGGCGUUAGGUCUAAUUAUACAUUUGACACAUGUAAGUUUGGACCUGGCUUCUUUGCCCACCCAAUUCUCGUACACUCUCAUUCCCUCCUAUUUGUGCGAUCACGGUUAAACCAAGUCAACAUUUUAUAUCACUAUUACUUUUUGUAUUAUUAUCUCUAUAAAAAAAAUAAUAUAAAAUGUUGAAGUGGUUUAACCGUGACAUCACAAAAUAGAAGGAAAUAGGAGUGUACAGGAAUGGGAGGGCAGAGAAGUCGGGUCCUAUAAGUUUCACUAUAUGUAAGAAGAGAAAUGCUAAGGAGGCUUUCACAAAAGUAGAUCUUUUUAUGAACUUUCUGUCACCAUAUGUUUUUCUAUUUUAUAAUGUUAACACAAGAAUUAUCAUUAAAUUAUGAGAAUACAGAAUGUCUAUAGAGAAUUCUAUUUUAAAAUAAUCUUUUUAACAUUUUUCAUCAGGUAAGAAUGUACUAUUAUACUCGAACUGCCGCGUGUUUGUUCCAUGAAGGUUUCUCACCUACUUUUUUUUGUUUUUCCUUUCAUAAAAGGUCACUUAUAAUCGUUUGUUAAAAAAAUAAAAAAUAAAUAAAUUUAUUACCUGCUGGACGCAGGUGCGACGGCCCCGCACUUGUCGACGAUAUCAGCGCAGAGCAGCAAGUCCUGCCGGUUGCCGGUGGCCUCAUACGACCUCAAGCACGUAAAAGCCGUACCAAGGAGACCCGUAUACACUGUCGGAUCGAAAACCAUACCCGUAGGCGUACCCGAACCACGUCCUCCUUCCCAUGUAUCCUGCACCACCUAUAUUCUCAAAACGAAAAAAAAAUUAAAGCCUUAAUCUUUUUAAUCUUUAAAAAGCUGGGAAAUUAUAAGUAAGAUUUUAGUUAAUUAAUUAAUGAUGGAGCUAAUUAAGCAAGAUUAGUUAAAAGUAAAUAAAUUGAAGAAGUGAGGUGAAUACGUACCUGAUCCUUGAGAGCCACCGCCGCUCUGAGAAAAGUCCCGCUCGGAAGUGACAAGUUCUUAGCCGCUGGAUCAACCAAAUCCAGCCGUUCCUUGUUGGCAUCUUCGUGGUCCUCCGGAGGCAACGCAAACUCCACUCCAAACGACAUGUCGUUGCUUUCUCUCUCUCGCUCUGCUCUCGAAUUUAGGUUGGGAGAAACGCGCGUACAACGGCUGAUAUGCAGAGGGGAGCGGGGAGAGGGAAAUGUGUUGAGGUGUGAUCGUAUGGAGUGGCGGUGCACUGCGGAGAUAUGCUUCCCCGCGUACCACGUAAGCUCAUUGCCUUUUAGGAUUAUAUAAAGAGGAUAAUAUUAUAGGGGUGUGCUAUCCACACACCCCAUUUUACUUCUCACACACCCCUUGAUAAUUUCUGUCCGUUGAUGUUCUUCAAUUCAUCCAAUCCGACGGCCGAAAAUUAAAAAGGUGUGUGAGAAGUAAAAUGAGGUGUGUGGAUAUCACAUCCCAUAUUAUAUUACCGUUGGAUGCAUGUGAUUCAUGCUCCUCUUGCAAUUUGAACGCACCAGCAAAUUGAAACCGCUGCAACACGUAAGUCUUAUUUUUAUUAGAGAAGUAAUACUGUGGGCGUAGAUUUUUGUUUUUUUAAUACAAUAAUAAAUCAGGGGUCGGUGGAUAUGGUUAGUUGUGGGGUCCAGAUUUCUAAAUAAUUUAAGGAGGUAGUUUCGCACGAUUUCCAUCUGAUGUGAAUUGACAAUUAGAGGGGAACAAAAGAUAAAUUAACGAAAAUGAUUUAAAAAUUUUAAAUUUUAAUAAUAAAAUUAAAGGUAAAAUGAAUAGUACUAAAAUUAAUUUUUUAGUAUAAAAAUGUGGUUUUUCGUUAAAGUAAACAGUAAUAAGAGUUUUUCGUUAAAAUUCAUACAAACAAAAGUGUAUGUGAACAUAACGAACGUUUUGGGGCCAUACCUCCCGAAUCAGGAUUCUCUCUCUUUCUCUUGUCAUCCCUUCUAUUCUCUUAUCUCACAGUUUUUUUAUUUUCUUAUUUUUUUUCUAUAAAAAAAUUAAUAUAAGAUAUUGAUGUGACUUAAUCGUGACCGUUCAAAUAAGAGAGAAUGGAAGGGGAGAGAAAAAAAAGAAAAAAAAAAGAGAAAAGAAUCUUAUUCCAUACCUCCAACCCCCAAAAAAUGGAAGAAAAAAAAAUUCAUUGUAGUGAGAAUAGACCUAAUAUUCGUGUUGUGUUUUUUGUGUUUGUGUCCAUACCAUAUUGUGACAUCCAAAACAUAAAAACGCAUUUUUCUUUUAAAUAUAUUUUCGCUUACCUAAAUUGAUCAAAUGGUAAAAUUGGAAAAUAUUGGAAUAGAGAAGGGGUUUUUCGUCCAAAAAAGUUCUAAUAAUAUAAGUAAAAUAGAAUCCAACGGUACAGAUUUACUCUUAUUUAUCUUACGGCUGUUAUUUAAAUAAAGUCUUUAAUGUUUUUUAACUAAUGUAGAAGUGUAAAAAAUAUAGAAAAUAUAUAUAAACGCUCGUAAUGACAAGCUUUACAACUUUCAUAAAGAGAUUCGCCACUAUAAUCAUAUAAAUCAUAGAUAAAAAUUUAACCGUUGAUUGUUGUUUACAUUUACACUUCAUUGUUCUCAUCAAAUUUUGUCUUUUCAAAUUUUCUUUUGAAAACAUGAUUUAUUAGAGGAUGCAGGAAGAUGAUUGGUUUGGAUCGUUGAUAUUAUAUUCAGAGUUUUACGGUUAGUGAAAAUAUUGCUUGAUGUUUAUAAAGUUUCUACAAACUAUAUGACAUCGACUCAUAUUUCAGUUAACCGUAAAUAUCGAAAUGUGAUAUCAAAUAUUUGAACCGUUCAUCUUCUUACAUCCGCCAGAUGAUCAUGUUUUCAAAAAUUAAAAUUAAAAAAAUGAAAUUCAGUAAGAAGAAUAAAGCGUAUAUGAAAAUCAACGGUUAAAUAUAAAUUUAAGGUUUUAUGGAUUAUAGUGUUGGAUUUCGAAGUUGAACUGUCACAGCCCGUUCCGGAUUUUUAUAUAUCGAGGAUGUGAAAUGACGAAAUUACCCUUGGCGGGUAUUAAGGUAUGUGUGUGUGUGACUUGUUGGACAUAUUACAUUCAUUCCUAAACUUUUGGAAAAAUAGUUUUAGUGGGAUUAAAAAUUGGGUUGUAAUUUAUGUGGUUAGGGAUUAAAGGAAUUGGAUUUUUUUAAAUUGUUUUGGUUGGACCACACGGGGCAUCUCCCUUUUUUUCCCCGGUGCUCUCUCUCUUCUCCGUUCAGUCUCUCUAUCCCCCUCGAAUUGUACGGACAAGGGUCAAUACCCUCGAACUUUCACGGAUCGACGCCAAAAAGGUAUGGUUCUUCAUCCUUUCAACCUCCUGAGUCGUUUGGUGCUACUUUUAGGACGUGAAACCUUCGAAAUCACGUGAAACCCGAACCCCCAUUUUAUGUCACUAUUUAUGCAAUCGUAAUAUGUCGAUUUUCAGGGAAUUCUAAGCUUAUAGUGAGCUUAGUGAGGUCCCAAGGAAGCUCGGAGUGCUUCGUUUGAAGGUUUUGGACGUCGGGAUCACUAGGUUCGAAUUUGGCCGGUUUUCUUGGAAUUUCUCUGGUGAGAUUUUGUAGUUUUUAGAGCCUUAAAGUAGUAUAACGUGAAACUACAUGCUUAGGGCUUCAUUUUGAUAUAAAAUACGAAGAAAAUGGUUGAGAAACGACGGAGAACAAGGAGAUUGAAAAAUCUCCAGUUUUCCGGCCACCGAAAAAAAACCAGUCCGGUGAGCCGAGGUAGAAGACGCGCGUGGGGGGCGCAUGGGUCCGUGCCCCUCCCGGCGCGUGCGGCCUCAGAAAAUUUUUCUAAAAAUUUCUCGACGUACAUGACGUCGAAUAGGUCGAUGUGGUAUAUUCAUAUACCCAAAUUGAGCACCGUAUGAAAAAUUAUUUCGAAUUGUCGGUUAUGUGCUUAAAUUAACGUUUUUAUAGUUGUUUCGCAUAUAGGUGACACCUAUCCUGAGGACGAGCGCAUCCAGGGACGUCACGGGGGUUACGACCCAUCGACUUACCAGUGAGUAGGCAGUUUUGUUUUUAGUAUAUACCUAUAUACUAUUGAUUUUCCCAGAAAUUGAAUUUAUAUGAAAGUAUGUUUUCAAAUGCCAUGCAUGCAUAUUAUGAAUUAUAUGAAUUGAUAUUGAUGCAUAUAUAUAUGUGAAUUGGUGAUGUGGACGCACAGGUGAGUAUCAGGUGAGUUUUAUGUUACUCAUGUGAAUCAUUGAUGAUGUGAAUUGUGUUGAGAGCUCAUAACUUGCACCCCUGGUGUUAGUGCUUAUAUUAUUCACCGCACCGCACGCUCACCUUGGAUCCAAGUAGGUGCAUGUCAUACAGACCAUGAAAGGGUUCCGACAUGCUAGUCGUAUAGAUCACUAGAGGUGGUUCCAACUAGUAGGUGACCUUAGAUUAUGCGCGCGGAUGAUUGAUGAGAAAAGCACUAUAGCGUAUCAUUACACCAUUCUUGUCGUACAGACUACUUCAAGUAGUUCCGAUUUAUGUGCAGAGUAGUGUCGUACAGGUCACCAUGGUGACUUCGGCUGGGUUGGAUAUUGAGCUAUGGAAUUAACCGUACCGGACCAACUGCAGGUCUCCGGUUGAUUCAUUAUGUCACCUGUUAUUUUGAUGCAUCCAUGUUUUGUUAUUGACAUUUAUGGCAUGGCAUAUUCCUGGAUUUGUGAUAGAUUGGUGAUUUGUGACGUAUGAGGUUUUAUAUACUAUUAUGUUAUUUUCUGGGAAAUUAUACAGGUUUUACAGUGAGGGGUUAGAAAUGUUUUAUAUGAAAUGUUUUGGAAAACUUUGGCUUUACUGACCCACUCAAUUUUGUUUUUGCGCCCCUCCAGGUUCUAGUUAGCAGUUGGUGGCUCACGAGGUUUUCUUCGGCGUUCUGACAGACUUCCUGCAUGUAGGACUCACCUGCGAGUGUUGUAAUUUAAUUAUAGUCCUACUUGACUGCACCUAGUUUUUAUGCUCUAAAAUUAUGUACUGCACACUUAAACUCACUCUAGCAUGCUAGUUGGAUAUUAUUGCUAGUAGUUGUUUUAAAUUCCUUCAUAUUUCUCAUAUCCUUUGCUUCCGCAUCGCACUUUUGGUUACGUCACACUCACGUGACGGCCAGCACGCCUUGAUUCUAGGAUUGAGGUGUGUUAGUUUGGUAUCAGAGCCUAGGUUGCAGUCCUGUAUAAAUUAUCAAUGCUCUAAUGAUCUUUUGAUGUUUUCUGUCAGAAUUAUGCCGCCUCAUAGGGAAUCACGCCAUGCUUCUGAGCCUAAUUUUCCUGACAUAACUCAAUUAGGGGAAGCGAUGGCCCAGGCCUUUCAGAAUGCAAUCCGCCAUCCUCCUCCUCCUCAGAGGACACCCUUGGAGACUAUGUAUAAUCUGAAAUUGGAUCGUUUCAUGGGUAAUUAAGGUCAUGAAGGGGCAGAAACGUGGCUAGACCAUAUUGAGAUGACUUUUCAGGUGAUGCAGAGUUAAGGGAAUUUUCCUACUAAUAGAUGGGUUGAGACCACUACUUGGUUUUUGGGACGAGAACCUGCAACUUGGUGGAGAAAUCAAACUCAGUUUAUGUCCCCUGAGAUGGCAGCUGAUUGGGAAAUAUUCAAGGAUAAUUUUAAGAAAAGAUUUGUCCCUCCAGAGUACAUUGAUCGCAAGAAGCAGGAGUUCACUAGGUUGAAGCAAAAGAAUAUGUCGGCGCAUGAGUACUAUAGGAAGUUUACAAACUUGUCUCGUUAUGAUCCUGAUACAGUUGGUAAUCAGGUAGAGAUGCUUCGCCGUUUUAAGCUGGGAACUAAGAGGAAAUGGCGGACUUUUGCUAGUGCGCUUCCUUGCAACGAUUAUCAUGAGUUUUUCGAGAUUCUGGUUCGGAUGGAGGAUUUCGACAACCUUCCUAGUGACAGUGAGGAUGAUGAGGACAAGAAUGAUAGUCAGAAGAAAGAUGAUAAGGGCAAGGGUGUCUCCACUCAGGGACCCCAUAAGAUGCAGAAUUUCAAGAAAAGUGAAGCGAGUUUGAGUUCUUCCAAUGGAGGAUUUAGUGUCACAGGCCCGAUGAGAGGUGGAAGAUUUGCUGGCCGACCCAGAUUUCAGAGACAAAGAGAUUUUAGUGGUGCUAGUGGUUCUGGUGCUCCGUUAUGCCGUUGUUGUAACUUUAGACAUCAUGGGGAGUGUAGGAGAAGUGGUAGUGGUGGUACUUGCUACACUUGUGGACAUAUGGGACAUAGGGUUGUUCAGUGUCCCCAGAGUCAACAGAAAUCUCAGCAGUCUGCUAUGCCACCUCCAGCGCCAAUUCAGCAGAACUUUGGAUCAGGCAGUUAUGAUCAGACGGGUCGUGGUGGUGCUUACCACUAUCAGGGUGAUGCUGCUCCCUACGCUUCUGGACAGUAUCAGUAUUCCCAAGAUCCUUAUUCUCAGACUGGGUAUUCCCAAGACCCUGGGGGUUAUCCUUCUUAUUCAUCCAUGCCUGCCAGUGGAUCUCAAUGGCAUCAGGGAGGUCAGCCCCGACAGGGAGAGGUUGCUGUUAGUGGUGUAGGAUCAUCUAGGCAGUUUAAUCAGUCAGGUCAGGGACUUGCUUCUCAGGGGCAAGGUAACCAAGGCAACAGAGGUCGUGGUGGACGACAGUAAGCUCAGGGACGUGUUAAUCACAUAUCACUGCAAGAUGCUCAGAACCAUCCAGAUUUGAUCAUGGGUACGUUAAAUAUUCUUGGUCAUUUUGCUAGAGUUUUGAUUGAUUGUGGUGCGACACAUUCUGUGAUUUCUCAUACGUUUGCUCAAAUGACUCAACCUCACCCUUCACCUCUAGGAUUUGAUUUAGAGUUUGCCAUGCCUAGAAGGGACAAAUGUUAUGUUGAUAGUGUUUAUCUUGGGUGUCCAGUGAUGGUAGAGGAUGUAGUUAUGCUAGCUGAUCUUAUCCCGUUAGAUAUUGUGGAUUUUGAUGUGAUUCUAGGGGCAGAUUGGUUGCAUUAUAAUCGUGCCCAUAUAGAUUGUUAUGGGAAAUCUGUUACCUUUUAUCGUCCUGGAUUACCAGAGGUUACUUUUGUGGGUGAAAGAAGCGGGGUGAGACAUGGAGUUAUUUCUGCCAUGAGAGCAAGGAAGUUAUUAUCGAAGGGUUGUCAAGGAUACUUAGCACAUGUGAUGUUAAAUGAUGUUGUCCCUAACAGUGUAAAGGAAGUUGGGGUAGUUAAGCACUAUCUUGAUGUAUUUCCAAAUAAUUUGUCGGGAUUGCCUCCAGACAGAGAUGUGGAAUUUUCUAUUGAUUUGCUUCUAGGUACAGAUCCUAUAUCUUUAACUCUAUACAUAAUGGCUCCAGCUGAACUGAGAGAGUUGAAAAUUCAGUUACAAGAAUUAAUUGAUAAAGGUUUCAUUCAACCUAGUACUUCACCUUGGGGAGCUCCGGUAUUAUUUGUGAGAAAGAAAGAUGGAACUCUGAGAUUAUGUAUUGAUUAUAGGCAAUUGAAUCGGGUAACGAUUAAAAACCGUUAUCCAUUGCCUCGCAUCGAUGAUUUGUUUGAUCAGCUGAAAGGUGCGUGUGUGUUCUCUAAGAUUGAUUUGAGAUCUUGUUAUCAGUUGAAGAUUAAAGACGAAGAUGUACCUAAGAUGGCGUUCAAGACCCGUUACAGACAUUAUGAAUUUCUGGUGAUGCCAUUUGGAUUGACUAAUGCACCUGCAGCUUUCAUGAGGUUAAUGAAUGAGGUAUUCCAGCAAUAUCUUGAUAAAUUUGUUAUUGUUUUUAUCGAUGAUAUUCUGGUAUACUCUAAGUCUAAAGUAGAUCAUAUUCGACAUCUUAACUUGGUAUUAAAGAAAUUGAGGGAGCAUCGGUUGUAUGCCAAGUUCAGUAAAUGUCAGUUUUGGUUGAAUGAAGUGGCAUUUUUGGGGCAUGUAGUAUCGGCACAAGGAAUUCAAGUAGAUCCUCAAAAGAUAGCAGCAGUGGAAAAUUGGGAACAACCACGAACCGUCACUGAGGUACGGAGUUUUCUUGGUCUGGCAGGUUAUUAUCGACGGUUUGUUCAAGAUUUUUCUAUGAUUGCUUUGCCAUUAACGAAGUUAACUAGAAAUGAUGUUAAGUUCGAGUGUGAUGAGAAUUGUGAGCAAAGUUUCCAGCAAUUGAAAUAUUGUCUCACUCAUGCUCCAGUAUUGGUACUUUCUGAUGAUAGCGGUAACUUUGAGAUUUACAGUGAUGCCUCUUUGAAUGGUUUGGGAUGUGUUUUGAUGCAGCAUAAUAGAGUAAUCGCCUAUGCUUCUCGACAGUUGAAGAUUCAUGAAAGGAAUUAUCCUACUCACGAUCUUGAAUUGGCAGCCAUUGUUUUUGCUUUGAAGAUUUAGAGGCAUUAUCUCUAUGGUGAGAAGUGUAAGAUCUUCACAGAUCAUAAGAGUCUUCAGUAUCUAUUUACUCAGCAUGAUCUUAAUCUUCGUCAGCGAAGGUGGAUGGAAUUGCUAAGUGAUUAUGACUGCACUAUUGAGUAUCAUUCGGGUCGUGCUAAUGUGGUAGCUGAUGCACUGAGUAGGAAACCUCAAGGUCGCCUCAAUGCUUUGUAUACUUGCCGUGUUCCUCUUCUUGCAGAACUGAGAGCUACUGGAGUAAAGUUGGAGUUAGAAGAUCGAAGAGAAGCUUUUCUUGCUAGUUUCCAAGUCAGGCCAGUUUUGGUUGAUCGUGUAUUUGAAGCUCAGAUGGUUGAUGAAGAAAUUCAAGAAAUGAUUCAAUUGAGAAAUGAAGGGAAAAAGAAAGACCUCAGGAUUCGAGAAUCAGAUGGCAUGCUUAUGCAGGAGAACAGAAUGUAUGUGUCGAAUAAUGAGGAAUUAAAGAAAGAAAUUUUGGACGAAGCACAUUGUUCAGCUUAUGCGAUGCACCCAGGAGGAACUAAGAUGUAUCAUACCAUUCGACCAUUUUAUUAUUGGCCGGGUAUGAAAAGGGAAAUUGCAAAAUAUGUAAGUAGGUGUAUUGUUUGUCAGCAAGUCAAAGCGGAAAGAAAGAAGCCUUUUGGGCGAAUGCAACCACUUCCUAUUCCUCAGUGGAAAUGGGAAAAUAUAACUAUGGAUUUCGUGUAUAAGCUCCCUCAUACACGAAAUGGAUUUGAUGGUGUUUGGGUGAUUUUAGAUCAGCUUACCAAGUUAGCACGCUUCAUUCCAGUGAGGGAAAAGUAUCCCCUAAAUAAAUUGGCUAAGUUGUUCAUCACGAAGAUUGUGAAGUAUCAUGGAGUUCUAGUGAAUAUUAUUUCUGAUCGAGAUCCAAGAUUUACUUCUAAGUUUUGGGUAGCUUUUCAGGAAGCUCUUGAUACGAAAUUGCUUUACAGCACUGCUUAUCAUCCUCAAACUGAUGGACAAUCAGAGAGGACUAUUCAGACGUUGGAGGAUGUGUUGAGAUCUUCAGUGUUACAGUUUGGUGACUCUUGGCAUGACCGCCUAGACUUGAUGGAAUUUCCCUAUAAUAAUAGUUUUCAUUCGAGCAUUGGUAUGUCACCAUUUGAGGCACUUUAUGGUAGAGCUUGUCGUACGCCGUUGUGUUGGUCAGAGGUUGGCGAAAGAGUGUUAGAAGGCCCAGAGAUUGUGGAUGAGACUACUCAAAAUAUUCAAGUGAUUAAGUCUAACCUGAAAGCGGCCCAGGAUCGACAAAAGAGUUUAGCAUAUAGUCAUGCUACUGAUCGAGUUUAAGAUGUGGGUAAUUUGGUAUUCUUGAAAUUGUCACCUUGGAGAGGUGUAGUGAGAUUUGGAAAGAAAGGCAAAUUAAGUCCUAGGUACAUAGGACCUUAUGAGAUCACUGAGAGGGUCGAUGAAGUUGCUUACAGGUUAGAGUUGCCUCCGGAGUUAUCUAAGGUACAUAAUGUGUUUCAUGUCUCGAUGCUUCGACAUUAUGUCUCAGAUCCUUCACAUGUGAUUCCUCCUCAACCUUUGGAGAUUAAUCCGAAUUUGACGUAUGAUGAGGAACCAGUGACUAUCGUGGAUUGGAAAGACAAGGUUCUAAGGAAUAAGACAGUGAGCUUGGUGAAAGUAUUGUGGAGGAACCAUUUAGUAGAAGAAGCUACUUGGGAGACAGAAGAUCAAAUGAGAGAGAUGUAUCCAAGGUUAUUUUAUGGGUAUUAAGCGGAUUGUUUGGUCGUAUGAAUUUCGGGGACGAAAUUCUAUAAGGAGGGGAGAUUGUCACAGCCCGUUCCGAAUUUUUAUAUAUCGAGGACGUGAAAUGACGGAAUUACCCUUGGCGGGUAUUAAGGUAUGUGUGUGUGUGACUUGUUGGACAUAUUACAUUCAUUCCUAAACUUUUGGAAAAAUAGUUUUAGUGGGAUUAAAAAUUGGGUUGUAAUUUAUGUGGUUAGGGAUUAAAGGAAUUAGAUUUUUUUAAAUUGUUUUGGUUGGACCACACGGGGCAUCUCCCCCUUUUUCCCCCGUGCUCUGUCUCUUCUCCGUUCAGUCUCUCUAUCCCUCUCGAAUUGUACGGACAAGGGUCAAUACCCUCGAACUUUCACGAAUCGACGCCAAAAUGGUAUGGUUCUUCACCUCCUGAGUUGUUUGGUGCUAGUUUUAGGACGUGAAACCUUCGAAAUCAUGUGAAACCCGAACCCCCAUUUUAUGUCACUAUUCAUGCAAUCGUAAUAUGUUGAUUUUCAGGGAAUUCUAAGCUUAUAGUGAGCUUAGUGAGGUCCCAAGGAAGCUCGGAGUGCUUCGUUUGAAGGUUUUGGACGUCGGGAUCACUGGGUUCGAAUUUGGCCGGUUUUCUUGAAAUUUCUCCGGUGAGAUUUCGUAGUUUUUAGAGCCUUAAAGUAGUAUAACGUGAAACUACAUGCUUAGGGCUUCAUUUUGAUAUAAAAUACGAAGAAAAUGGUUGAGAAACGAUGGAGAACAAGGAGAUUGAAAAAUCUCCAGUUUUCCGGCCACCGGAAAAACCAAUCCGGCAAGCCGAGGUAGGAGACGCGCGUGGGGUGCGCGUGGGUCCGUGCCCCUCCCGGCGCGUGGGGGCGCGUGCAGCCUCAGAAAAUUUUUCUAAAAAUUUCUCGACGUCCAUGACGUCAAGUAGGUCGAUGUGGUAUAUUCAUAUACCCAAAUUGAGCACCGUAUGAGAAGUUAUUUCGAAUUGUCGGUUAUGUGCUUAAAUUAACGUUUUUAUAGUUGUUUCGCAUAUAGGUGACACCUAUCCCGAGGACGAGCGCAUCCAAGGACGUCAUGGGGGUUACUACCCAUCGACUUACCAGUGAGUGGGCAGUUUUGUUUUCAGUAUAUACCUAUAUACUAUUGAUUUUCCCAGAAAUUGAAUUUAUAUGAAAGUAUGUUUUCAAAUGACAUGCAUGCAUAUUAUGAAUUAUAUGAAUUGAUAUUGAUGCAUAUAUAUAUAUAUAUAUAUAUAUAUAUAUAUGUGUGUGAAUUGGUGUUGUGGACGCACAUGUGAGUAUCAGGUGAGUUUUAUUCACCGCACCGCACGCUCACCUUGGAUCCAAGUAGGUGCAUGUCGUACAGACCAUGAGAGGGUUCCGACAUGCUAGUCGUACAGAUCACUAGAGGUGGUUCCGACUAAUAGGUGACCUUAGAUUAUGCGCGCAGGUGAUUGAUGAGAGAAGCACUAGAGCGUAUCAUUACACCAUUCUUGUCGUACAGACUACUUCAGGUAGUUCUGACUUAUGUGCAGAGUAGUGUCGUACAGGUCAUCGUGGUGACUCCGGCUGGGUUGGAUAUUGAGCUAUGGAAUUAACCAUACAGAACCAACUGCAGGGUCUCCGGUUGAUUCAUUAUGUCACCUGUUAUUUUGAUGCAUCCAUGUUUUGUUAUUGACAUUUAUGGCAUGGCAUAUUCCUGGAUUUGUGAUAGAUUGGUGAUUUGUGACGUAUGAGGUUUUAUAUACUAUUAUGUUAUUUUCUGGGAAAGUAUACAGGUUUUACAGUGAGGGGUUAGAAAUGUUUUAAAUGAAAUGUUUUGGAAAACUUUGGCUUUACUGACCCACUCAAUUUUGUUUUUGCGCUCCUCCAGGUUCUAGUUAGCAGUUGGUGGCUCACGAGGUUUUCUUCGGCGUUCUAACAGACUUCCUACCUGUAGGACUCACCUGCGGGUGUUGUAAUUUAAUUAUAGUCCUACCUGACUGCACCUAGUUUUUAUGCUCUAAAUUAUGUACUGCACACUUAAACUCACUCUAGCAUGCUAGUUGGAUAUUAUUGCUAGUAGUUGUUUUAAAUUCCUUCAUAUUUCUCAUAUCCUUUGCUUCCGCAUCGCACUUUUGGUUACGUCACACUCACGUGACGGCCAGCACGCCUUGAUUCUAGGAUCGGGGUGUGUCAUGAACCCUUCAUGAAAGUUGUAAAGCUUGUCACUAUAAGUGAAUAGUGAUUGUAUAUUUUUUUUUUACAUUUUUUACACUUCUACAAUAAUUAUUAUUAAUUUUCCCCUCAAAUAAAAAACAUUAUUUAUGAGGGUUUGAAGGGUUUUAAAAAUCUAAACGAUAAUGUAAGUGUAAUAAUUAUCUACUCAUAAAGGAAUAAUGAUGAAUCACAAGUGUUUAUAUAUUCUUUCACAUUUUUCAUACUUGUAUGUAUGUCUUCUUAGUUCUUGCAUAUAUAAAUAUUAUACUAGUUUAUUUUAAUUUUGGACAACAACAUGUUAAGUAAAUUUUAUCCUAGUAAUGAUAAUAAGGAACUCUCACAAUAAAAAUAAAUAAUGACUAAAACUUUUUUUUUUAAUUUAUAUAGAAUAAUAAUACAAAACUAUAUAUUUAAUAUAGAAUAUAUUGUAUAUAUUAAUAUGGCUAUUAUAUUUUAAAAUAAAUCUUUUAGUAAUUAAACUUUAAAAUUAUCAAAAUAUUUUUUUUCUUAAAAGGUCGAAACGGGUUACUCACGCGUUACCCGCGUGUAUAUCCGUUAUUAACGGAUCAUCCGAUAAUGACUCGAUUAGUUAUUGUGUUGACCCGAAACCCGUUAUUUUCGUAUUGUUUUCGUGUCGUGUCAAAAACUAUUGGGUCUAAGUGAGAACACAGACAGUACACUAUGUAUUUUGAUGUAAGUGAUAGGAAUUUUAUUUUUUAAGUUAUUAACUUUUUAACACACAUAUCACAUCAUUUGUAUAGUGACACAUGAUGUACCACCCCGUGUAUUGGUCACAUUGAAAAAUCUCUCCAAAAAAUGGUCGGUGAAUUUGUUUCAACUAUAUGACAUAGAGGGUCUGUCGUGCUAAACUAAGGCUAACAAAAGCAAGACGCAUCCUAAGAUUAAUAAGGGUGCAAAGAUAAUGGAAAUUAAUAAACACACACUCAUAUUUAAUUAUGCUCGAUAGUUUCGUUUAAUUUAUUGAAUUUGAUAGUUAAAAAUACAAAAGUAAUGUAUGACAAGCUAAAAAAAUAUCUAAAAAUCACAUUUCAAAAAUAAUUUGUGGAGAAUAUACGAGUCUCGUUCUCCUAGACUUAAGGGUCUAUAUGAAAAUUAUGGUCACUUACUAUUCAAUCUUAAUUCAACAAUGAAGGAUAAAGUACAAUAAAAAUGUUAAACGACCACAUACGGUUGGAUUAAGAUCGAACAAUAGGUAACCACAAUUUUCUUAGACCAUGAGGUUUAAGAAAACAGGCCCGGAGAAUAAAUUUGAUGCAACAUCCCUCCAUUUUCCGGCAGUUGCGAAUAUGUUAGACAACAAGACAUAAGGCCCGGAACCACGAGGAUUCAAAUCUAAUAUAUACUUUGCAGCCAGCUCCCCUAUUUCUACGUUUACGUGAACACUGCAAGCUACCACAAGAGAGCCCCGUAUUCUGGAGUCUGCUUCUAAUGGUAUCUCUUGGAUUGUGUUGCAAGCCUUCUCUAACUGACCUGCACAACACAAAAUGCCAACCAAGCAAGCAUAAUGCUCCGAUCUAGGAGCAACGCCGUAUCUACAGACCAUCGAGUCAAAGAACUUCAAGCUCUCAUUCACUUUCCCUGCAUGAGCACAAGCAGAUAACAAUCUAAGAUAUGUUAACCGUCUGGUUCUAAGCCACAGACCGCAAUCCGGUUGAAGAAACCAAGAGCUUUCGCAUAGAGACCAUUCUGUGCAAAAGCAGCAAUAAUGGUGUUCCAUGAACGAGCAACGAGGUCUGGAAGCUCAAUUUGUUUGAAAGCUCACUCGGUGAUGCGAAAUAUAUAAGCACACAAAUUAAACCCUCUUUUUGACAAUUGUAGUAAAGAUGUAAGUAGGGUAUCGUUCUAAACCGGGGAUUAUGAGGGAUUGCUAAAUCACUUGAAAACUAAUUUAAAAACAUAAAAACAAAGUUAAAAAUGUAAACAAAAGAUUUUAAAACAAGAAAGUAAAAGGGGGAUUUGAGUUUGGUGAAGUUGAAAGUAAAAACGAAUAAACUAAAAACUUAAAUAGAUUUUAAACAAAUUUGGGUUGAAUGGAUAAUGGAAGGCUAGCUAAGGGGUUCUUCUCCACACAUGUCUUGCUUGCAUACAAAAUGAUUUCCAAUUGCAUUUCAAUAACUUAUUAAUUCUCAACGCCCCAAAUUAACCGUGAAUUGCACUAAUUAACCCUCAGUUUUUCCACAAGUUAUUGGGUUGGAUGAUUGCAUACGACAACCCAAAACAUUCCCUACAAGUUCCCUACAUGAAUUGCAUAAUAGAGAUACAAGCAAGAAUCAUUAAGUUCUAUGAAAAACAUAAGCAUUGAUGCUUCACUCGUUACUAUGAUUUGCAUGAAACUUAUGCCAAGGAUUUACUUAACACAAUCGUGACUAGCGACUUUUACUACUCAUGAAUAUAAGUUCAUAAUGAUUAGGUGAAAUUCCCUUAUACUCUAGCAUCAUAUUUAUGCAUGCAAACUAAGUAUGCAUCCCUAAUCAACAUACAUAAACAUGUUAUCAAUCAAAUAGAUAAGUAAAUCGAAUUCAUAACUUAUGAAACGCAAUUAAAAGUAAUCAAAUCAUAUUGCAAGCAUUAACAUGGUUUCGAAUCCCCCCUAGCCAAGGGGGGUUUAGUUCCUCAUUAUUACAAAACAAAGAUAAACAAAUUUAAACAUUGAAAAACAAAGGAAAGAAAGCACCUAAACGUUCCAACGAUCCAUGUUGGAUAGCAAGUGCGUCUAAGGACUUUUCUCCUUCUCUUUGCCGCAACAACAAGGUUGGAAUGAUGUUGAAGGGUUGGUUAUUUGGAGGAAUGGAUGGGAAGGGGUUUAGAUAUGUAGGAGAGGCAAGGAAAGGCUUGGAGAAUGGUUAAUUUCUGGAUGAUUUCAAUGAGGUUGCUGCCAUGGUAUUUAUAGGAAGAGGAUGGACAUGUUUAAUGCAAAAAUCUGGUGGAAUGAAGUAGGUAAGGCAUGGCAAGGUGGAGAAUUGUUGGUGAGGGUAGGUUUUGAGUCAUCCACUCACAUGUCAUGGUGAGUUAAGCAUUGCAUCAUCCACUCAAAUGUCAUGGUGAGUUAAGCAUUACAUCAUCACUGAAAAAAAAUCUGGUGGAAGUAAAACAAAGGGAAGGCCACGGCAUUGAUGAAUUUUAUGGGGUAUGCAUGGUUUUGAGUGAAGUUUUGGCCAAUCCUUCUAGAAAUUUAUCCCUUCUUGCAACUUGUAUUUGUUUCACCAGAUUUUUAGCAUGUUCCUAGCCUCUUUUGUCUUCAAAUUCGUCCAUCCAUCUUGCUCAUAUCAUAUGUAAUCCAUUACAAGCUCAAAACUGCUCCAAAAUGCACCAAAAUGCACUUUCUUGCUACCUUAGCCCUUUGGACCUACAAACACACGAAAAUGGCUUAAAGUACUAAAAUAACUAAGAACUAAUAACGUAAAUGCAAGAAAACUAGUUAACUAAGUCGCAUAAAUAUGCGUCUAUCAAAUUCCCCCACACUUAGCUAUUGCUAGUCCUCGAGCAAAAUAAAACAAAUAAAACAUAAGAACAAAACAAAACCUAAACCUUCCAACAAUUACCUUAGGGAUUUUCAAUGCAACAUGACAUGCAAAAGAUCAUCAUAACCACAGAUUUUUUUUUUUUCUACCCUUGAGCACAUACUUAAUCAAAGUCACCACAUACUAGUUCACAUAUAACCAAUUAAAACGAUGUUUUGAAUGUAGUAACAUGCCUUAGAGAAUUUGCUCAAUUCCUUACAAGAUACACUCUUAUUUUCACUCUGAUUUUCUGACUACUUACCCUACACUAGAUGUAUGUGAGAAGAUUGAUGUAAACAUGAAAACGAACACUCACAUAUGUUUAUAGCAAAGAAAGCAAUUUCUGGAGUUAUUAAGCAUGUAUAGAUAUGAUCUCAUGACUGGAAUGCUACUACUUAGAUGCGAGAACCAGGGACACCAUAUGCUCGUACCAAUCCCAAACUCCACAUAUUGAAACACAUAACACUCAAGAUUGAAGUUAAGGGUUGUAACGGGGUUAGGGGUGAUUGGCUAACAAUGAAAGGUAAGGAAACAAACGUUUUUAAAGCAUAAUAAGCAAAGUAAUGAAAUUGAUGCUUAGAAUUCCCUUUGAAUGCAGCAACUAACUUUAAACACAAUGGGGUUAUUCAUUCAACUUUUUAGGGCCGAUUUCAACUACAAACAACACUUGUGAGCCUUUCCUCACUUAUUUCAAACUCUUUUUCUUUUUUUUUUUUUUUUUUUUUUUCUUUUUCUUUUCUAACCCGUGCCUUAUUACUUUCUUUUGGCACACAAAACACAAAAAUCUCAUUCCCCCACACUUGUUUUCUGCAUAAGGACAAUCAAAAGGAAUUCAUUUUAAGUCAUGCUUCAUUAUGCUUUAAAAACAAGGGUAUGGAUAGUCCUAAUCUAGGCUAGGUAAGGGAAAUGUGGUUUAACAAAGAAAACAGGCUAAACAAGGCUCAACGGGGUUAAACUUAAACAAAUAUGCACGGGAUAAGCUUUUUGGCUCUAGUUCACUACACAACUUCAUCUUGAAUAUGUGUUAUGCAAAUCAAUGUCAUGCUUUGAAUGGAACGGGCAUAAGUUCUAGUAUUUGGAACUAAAUGAUGAAACGCCUUCUAAGUAGCAACCAAGCAAAGAAUGAUGAGAUCAUGCAACGACUUUAGAAAACAAAAAUGCACAGAUUAAUAACUCUCCAAAGAACGUAUUAGGCUCAAGUCUCUCAAGGUUGUAGUGUUAGUUUGAGUUCCUUCCUUCAAGCAUGUUACAAAAACUGAUUUUUUUCUUUGUGAUUACAUGUGAAUUCGUAAACUAUAACUAUAACCAAGCAUAAAUCAAGAGCAUAUCAAACUUCCAUCCAUGUUUAUAACUUUCUUUAACAGUCAUGCAAUUAAAAACCAAAUCCUCAUUAUUUGUGUUGGAAGGUACCCUAAGACACAAACAAACACACAAAAACAACUCUUUUUGGCUUUUUCAAAACAAUUUUUUUCAAAUUUUUUUGUCAAAUUUUCGGAUUUUUAUGUCAAAACAUACUAACAUGCUUAAAAACACACUAAAAACACUUAAAACAGCAAGAAACAACAUUGUAAGUGAUAGGUGAAUAAAAUCCCACGAAAAUCAUGCAACAGCAACUUGUUUACCCCCCCCACACUUAAAUCUAACAUUGUCCUCAAUGUUUCAAACAUAAACUCACACAAAAGCAAACAAACAAACAACGAGGAAACAUGAUAAACAUGGCAAAGUAAAAGCAACAGAGAGGAGGGUUAAAGAACGCAAACACCUGGUUUUGGAGUUGGAAAUUCCUAGGUCUUCUUUAUUUCCAUGGGUUGCCUCCAUCACUAAUGAGAACUCUAGGCAUGCCAAACCUAGCAAAGAUAUUAGUUUUCACAAAAUCUGCAACAACCUUUGAAUCGUUAGUCCGGGUGGCUUUGGCUUCCACCCAUUUGGAAACAUAAUCAACAGCUAGCAAGAUAUAAGUGAAACCAAAAGAUGGAGGGAAAGGACCCAUGAAAUCUAUACCCCAAUGUCAGAAAACACUAUAAUGCAAAUAAAAAUAAAAUAAAUAAAUAAUAAGAAACAAAAUAAAGCAAUUGGACUGAAAACUUCCCUAGUUUGCAGUAAAACCAAGCGAUGACCCCCCAAGCUAAAAUUCUGCAAUCAACUUCAAGGGUGGAAAUAACCAAAAGUUCCUGCAAAGAAAAGAAAUAAUUCAGUUUAGUAACACAAGAAAAUAUAAAAAAAAAUUGCAAACGAAAAAUUGAAAAUCACGAUAAAAGACAAUGAAUAGAACUAAUAAGUGAUCAUUGGUCGUGCUUGUUGACUUUCCACAGCUUUCCUCUUGAACAGGGUGACACUUAGCUUUUUACUUGCAAGUGAUGAUUUGAUGAUAUUGUACGGCGAAGCUUUGCUCUUUGGUGAUGUUGCAGUUCCUUAUUUGUUCUCCAAGCAGAUGUGGCAGCUUCUCUAGUUCUUCAGCUUGGACUCCUUCCGCUGGGAUGAUUGUGCAAGCUGCAUUCUUCUCUGCUUGUUUCUUCUGUACGUUGUCUCCACAUGCUGUUGGUAUCAUUUUCGCAUGCCUUAUCUGUUCUUCAGGUAGAUGUGGCAGCUUCUUUGGAAGUACAUCAGCAGUGGAAGACGAGUACUCGAGAGCAAUUUCUCCAUGUCCUGCAGGUUAGAACAAAGACAAGGAAAAGGACAUGGAGAAUGCAUGAUAUGAGAUACUCUUGCUUUCAACCUUUAUGAUAUGAAAUACUUUUGCUCUGGAUGGGUUGUUUGCAGGGGUAUCCCAGGGAAUGAGGAAUACAGUGUGACUCGAGAGGGUUCUUUGGGAAUGCAUUCUCGGAGAUGAAGAAGUGCUGAGAGGGUGUGCCUUUGCUGUGGAAGGCGAAGGUAAAUACUUAUAGGACUUUUCUUCACAACCGGAACUAUUCUCUCACUCAUUGUCGGCAGCCAGUUGAUGGAUGAAUAAUACAAAUUACGCGCUUUCUGACAAAGCUGCCCGUAAUUUCCGCAAAGCUGCCAGUUGCAUGUGACGAGUGACAACAUGUCUGGACAAAUUGAUCUUUUGAAAUCCGGGGUUCGGCUCGUGGUUUCUGAGUAAGCCCAGCCUUUAAGAAAUGAAACGCCUCUUUUGAGAAAAGAAUCCGACUUUUGAGAAAGGAGCCCCGACUCUUCGAUUUGCGAGAGGACGCUUCUUUGAGGAGCGCCUCUCCGAUUUCUUCUUUUUAUAGAGGCGUUAAUUUUGUUUCCACAACACACUUGAGCUCCCUCCUGAAAACACUCCCUUCUUGCACUUCCGAAAUCUUAAUAUGUCCGAUCUCUUCUUUCUCAACACCUUCAAAAAAUGUCUGGCCCUUCCGAUCGUCGUUUUGACUUGAACCGUGGUGAAGAGGCAGCCCCGCCUUCACCAGACAACAUAUGGCGCCCAUCCUUCAUAUCCCCUACCGGUCCCCUUACCGUGGGGGAUUCGGUGAUGAAAAAUGAAAUGACAGCUGCGGUGGUGGCCCGGAACCUUGUCACCCCUAGAGAUAACAGACUGCUCGCUAGACGGUCUGAUGAAUUGGCGGUUAAGGAGUCUCUGGCUCUUAGCGUGCAGUGUGCGGGUUCUGUGUCCAACAUGGCCCAACGCCUAUUUGCUCGAACCCGUCACGUCGAAUCGUUGGUGGCUGAAAUACAGAGUCUCAAAGAGGAGAUUAGAGGACUCAAGCAUGAAAAUAAACAAUUGCACAAGCUUGCACACAAUUAUGCCACAAACAUGAAGAGGAAAAUUGACCAGCUGCAGGAAAAUGAUGGUCAGAUUUUACUUGAUCACCGGAGGUUUGUGGGUUUGUUCCAACCGCAUCUGCCUUCGUCUUCUGGGGCGGCACCGCGUAGUGAAGCUCCAACUGAUCAACCUCCGAUACCUCCUCCUUCCGUGGCCCCGCCGACUGCUGAAGCUCCGCCGACUACUGAAGCACCACUUGACCAAUGAAUGCUAUUAGUUUACACAUCAUUGUAAAAUAUUUGUACUUUUAUGUUUUUUUUAUUUUUUUUUAUUUUUUUUUUUUUUAUUUUUAUUUUUUUUUUUUUUUAUUUUUUAUUUUUUUAUUUUUAUUUUUUUUUUUAUUUUUUUUUUAGGUGUGUUUUGUUUUUUUUUUUUUUUUUUUUAAAUCAAUGUAAAAUAUGUACAUCAAUGUAAAAAAAACUUUGUUUAAUUAUUAUUUUUUUUUUUUUUUUGUGUUUUUUUUUUUUUUUUUUUGUUUUAAAUGUAAAUUAAUGUAAAAAGACUUUGGUUAACCUUCCCCCACACUUAAACUAAAUAACACAAACUCACAUAAAUCAACCAAAUAACACAACUAACUAAACAAAACAAAAUGAAAGCAGUAAAGAUAAGGGUGUAAGAAUGCAAAUCUGAUUGGGUUAGCGAUUCCAAAGUCUCCCUUCGUUGAAUGCUUGGGUUGCCUCCCAAGAAGCGCUUGAUUUAACGUCUUUAGCGGGACGAAUCUUUCCUUUAAAUUCCCCUCGGCUCCAAAGCAUGGAAUUUAUCUUUUAAUGGGAGGUGAUACUUGAAAUGAUUCGGCAAUGGUUUAAAUUCAAGAGUGGGUGCCUGAAUCAUCAAAAUCAGAAACAUGUUAGUAUAAAUUAAAAUUAAAAUUGGAGAAGAUGGCUUACUUUCUUUUUCCGACACAAACUCAAUGACAAACACCACAUUUGUGAACAUUUCAGGGACUUUGAACUUGGCCAGGUUUACUAUGAUGGUUGUGGCUUGUCCCGUGUCAUCAAACUCAACUGCUUUGGGCUUGAUUGUCUCAUGCACAGCCUCUUGGAUGUAUUCUUGAUAUGCUUCAACCACUUCAUUUUCUUGAAUCUCUUUUCUUGGUGUGCAAGGUUCUUUGAACGUUUCAAUACCAUCAGGGACUUGUUUUGGUGCACCAAGAAUUGGGAUAUCACUUUGCACCUUUGGAAGAGCUUCCACAAUGUCUUUUUCACUCUCUUUGAUAUUUGGAAUAAAAAACCUACAAGGAAAAAGGACAUUUGGUGGAAUAAUGUUAGAAUGAAGUGGAUUUAGAACUUCCUCACCUGAGUUGGAUGACAUAGGGAUUUGAGGAGCUUGCAGCAAGAAUUCUUCUAAACUGCCCAGGUCGUCCUCCUCCUCUUCUGCUUGCAGCAGCAAUUCAUCCAUGUUCGGGCUGUGUUUGGAUAGUUCUGGGACAGCUUCAUCCUUCAUGUCACCUUCCAAAGUGAUAGCAUCGUGGAUUUCAAAAUCUUCCUUCGAAUUUUCAACAGUUGAGCUGGAGAGUUCACUUUGCUCUUGAAUUUGUACCAUGAAUUCCAUAAUCUCUCCCAUUUGACUCAUCAAUUUAUCCAACUUCUUGUCUUGAUUUUGUUGGUCCUGCGUCAAAGAGGUUAGUACUUGAAGAAUUUGAUCACUAUCCAUGGACAUACUUGAAUUUGAUUGGAAUUGUUGUGGGGUAUGCGGUGGUGGCUGCAUAGGCAUUAAAUAAAACUCCUCAGAUUGCUGCCAAUAUCCAUCUUGUUGAGCCUCCUUGGCUUGAUUUUGUGAGCCCUGCACCAAAGAAUUUAAUUCAUCAAAAAUUUGAUUGUAAUCUAUUGACGAAUUUGAGUUUGAUUGGGCAUAUUGCAUAGGUUUUGAAUAGAACUCCUCCUCUUGCUGCCAAUAUCCAUCUUGUUGGAAUUGUUGAGGUUCCCCCCACAUAUAAUUUGAAUGAUCUCUCCAAGCCGAAUUGUAAGCGUUGGAAAACAUGUUGUUGCUUGGUUGAUCAUAGCAUUGAUAACCCCAAGCAUCUUCGUUCACAGUGAAUUGAGGAUGUUGAUAUCCUUGCCCAUAGGGCACAUCAAAUGUAAGGACACUUGGCAUUGUGGUCCUUCCGGCAAUCUGUGACAAUUGAGAAGUAAGAUUCGCCAAUUGAGCUUGAAUGUUAGCAAAAUCCAUCUCUUACUUUCCUAGUAUCUGAAAUCAAACAAAGAAAAAUAACUCAAAUAUCAAAAGUAACACAAAACAAGGAAAACAAAACUAAGUCAGAAACUAAAACAAAAACAAACUAAACAAAAAGAAAAGAAACAAGGGAUUAGCAAAGUUGCUAAUCCCCGGCAACGGCGCCAAAAUUUGAUGCGAAAUAUAUAAGCACACAAAUUAAACCCUCUUUUUGACAAUUGUAGUAAAGAUGUAAGUAGGGUAUCAUUCUAAACCGGGGAUUAGGAGGGAUUGCUAAAUCACUUGAAAACUAAUUUAAAAACAUAAAAACAAAGUUAAAAAUGUAAACAAAAGAUUUUAAAACAAGAAAGUAAAAGGGGGAUUUGAGUUUGGUGAAGUUGAAAGUAAAAACGAAUAAACUAAAAACUUAAAUAGAUUUUAAACAAAUUUGGGUUGAAUGGAUAAUGGAAGGCUAGCUAAGGGGUUCUUCUCCACACAUGUCUUGCUUGCAUACAAAAUGAUUUCCAAUUGCAUUUCAAUAACUUAUUAAUUCUCAACGCCCCAAAUUAACCGUGAAUUGCACUAAUUAACCCUCAGUUUUUCCACAAGUUAUUGGGUUGGAUGAUUGCAUACGACAACCCAAAACAUUCCCUACAAGUUCCCUACAUGAAUUGCAUAAUAGAGAUACAAGCAAGAAUCAUUAAGUUCUAUGAAAAACAUAAGCAUUGAUGAGGCACUCGUUACUAUGAUUUGCAUGAAACUUAUGCCAAGGAUUUACUUAACACAAUCGUGACUAGCGACUUUUACUACUCAUGAAUAUAAGUUCAUAACGAUUAGGUGAAAUUCCCUUAUACUCUAGCAUCAUAUUUAUGCAUGCAAACUAAGUAUGCAUCCCUAAAUCAACAUACAUAAACAUGUUAUCAAUCAAAUAGAUAAGUAAAUCGAAUUCAUAACUUAUGAAACGCAAUUAAAAGUAAUCAAAUCAUAUUGCAAGCAUUAACAUGGUUUCGAAUCCCCCCUAGCCAAGGGGGGUUUAGUUCCUCAUUAUUACAAAACAAAGAUAAACAAAUUUAAACAUUGAAAAACAAAGGAAAGAAAGCACCUAAACGUUCCAACGAUCCAUGUUGGAUAGCAAGUGCGUCUAAGGACUUUUCUCCUUCUCUUUGCCGCAACAACAAGGUUGGAAUGAUGUUGAAGGGUUGGUUAUUUGGAGGAAUGGAUGGGAAGGGGUUUAGAUAUAUAGGAGAGGCAAGGAAAGGCUUGGAGAAUGGUUAAUUUCUGGAUGAUUUCAAUGAGGUUGCUGCCAUGGUAUUUAUAGGAAGAGGAUGGACAUGUUUAAUGCAAAAAUCUGGUGGAAUGAAGUAGGUAAGGCAUGGCAAGGUGGAGAAUUGUUGGUGAGGGUAGGUUUUGAGUCAUCCACUCACAUGUCAUGGUGAGUUAAGCAUUGCAUCAUCCACUCAAAUGUCAUGGUGAGUUAAGCAGAGUUAAGCAUUGCAUCAUCCACUCAAAUGUCAUGGUGAGUUAAGCAUUACAUCAUCACUAAAAAAAAAUCUGGUGGAAGUAAAACAAAGGGAAGGCCACGGCAUUGAUGAAUUUUAUGGGGUAUGCAUGGUUUUGAGUGAAGUUUUGGCCAAUCCUUCUAGAAAUUUAUCCCUUCUUGCAACUUGUAUUUGUUUCACCAGAUUUUUAGCAUGUUCCUAGCCUCUUUUGUCUUCAAAUUCGUCCAUCCAUCUUGCUCAUAUCAUAUGUAAUCCAUUACAAGCUCAAAACUGCUCCAAAAUGCACCAAAAUGCACUUUCUUGCUACCUUAGCCCUUUGGACCUACAAACACACGAAAAUGGCUUAAAGUACUAAAAUAACUAAGAACUAAUAACGUAAAUGCAAGAAAACUAGUUAACUAAGUCGCAUAAAUAUGCGUCUAUCACUCGGCAUCAAUGAUCGCACCACAUUUGCUGUACAUGGUAAUCAAAGCGUUAUAUAGGGAGAGGUUUGAUUCAAAUCCAUGUUUAAUAAUGAGCAGAAGAGUUUGUCUUCCAUUUUUAAGAGAUGCAAGACUAGAACAGGCAGUAAGAACGGAAACAAGGGUCCACUUAUCUGGAUGUAGACCAAUCUCAAGCUUUUGUGAGUGUAACUGGAGUGCUUCCUCUCCACCGCCAUUUUGUGCAUAGCCUGUAGAUGAAAAGGCAUGUCAGGGGACAAGUGAUUAGGACAAUGCUUUAGAAAUCGACACAAACACAACAAACUAGUUAAGCUUUCGAUAAACAUUGAAGGUGAAAAGGAAAGCCUGCUAAAUUAGGACAAUGGUUUAGAAACUCGAAGAACAUUUCCUGAGCAGUGAGCACAUCAGACAUGGAAGAUGUUGACCUAAUUGAAGUACUAUGAGAAGUGCAAACAAAUCAAUGUCAUAUUAGGUAAGGAUUGGAGCUGUAACGUUGUCACUUACAUCACGAGUGCAAGUAGAAUACCCUAGUAAGAAAUUUCAAGGUUCCUCCAGAUUGAAGAGUGAAUUGCACUUGGCAUACCUGUUAUCCUUGCAUUCCAAGAGACAUGAUCCUUGCACUGAAUUUGAUCAAAUAAAGGUCUGGCAUCUUCCAUGUUUCCCUCCUUAAGAAUAGACCGUGAGCAUAGCUGUCAUUGCGACUGCAUUUUUCUCAGGCAUCUGCCCGUACAAUUCCCUUGCUUCAUCAAACUUGCCGUUCUCCACAUACCCACUAAUCAGCACUGUCCAAGAAACGGCACUCUUGCGAGGCAUGCGAGAAAUUUUUCAUUGUGACCGGAAAACGGAUAAUACACCACGUGUUUUCAUAUAAGUGGUGGAAAAUUGUAUUUUUUAAAUUAUUAACUUUUUAAUACACAUAUUUCACCAUUUGUAUGGUGACACGUGAUGUACAACCCCGUGUUCCGGUCACAUUAAAAAUUUUCUCGAGGCAUGCAAUCAAACAGGAGAAUUUUUUAGUUGUGACGGGAACACGGAUGGUACACCACGUGUUUUUAUAUAAGUGGUGAGAAAUUUUAUUUUUUAAGUUAUUAACUUUUUAACACACAUAUUCCACCAUUUAUAUAGCAACACGCAAUGUAUCAUCCUUUGUGACGGUCACACUAAAAAAUAAGGAAAACUAAUGAAAAGGGCUUGAAAACUUUGAGUUUUAACGAUAAAGACAAAAUAAAAGGUAAAGUGAAUAGUACCAAGAUUGACUUUUUAGUGUAAAAAUGUGGUUUUUCGUUAAAGUGAACAGUACCGCGGGCUUUUCGUUAAAACUCCCUAUAAGAAAUAACAUUGCCCCUCGGCAUGUCUUCAAAUAUCCUACUAGCUUCCUCCAGCCGAUCAUAUUUAACCCCAAAAUCAUAGCAUUCCAAGAAGCAAUAUUUCUUUCCAACAUCUGUUGGAAGUACUUGAAGGCCUCGUCGACCAGCUCAUUGCUCUACAAUUUUCUCAUAGGGAUAUGUAUGAUCAAGUAAGGACUCAAUAAGAACCCAUGAAGGACAAACCGAAAGCUUUCAUGUAAUGUUUUAAAUCCUUAUCUUUUCAUAUUGGUAAUAGACAAGUUAACGAGACAUUCAAUAUAAUAUCAUUUGGUAAAUGCUUUUCACAUAUGACAUAUUACUGAUAUAUAAAACGCAAUAUGAAGUAAAUGGGAAACUUAACUUUUGGCGGAAAGUGUUAGAAUCUAAAGGUGUUCGCCUAAAGUAGGUUUAAGACAGAGUAUGAAACAGAUAGGGUAAGGAUUAAAGAUUAGGAAAUACCAAAGAGUGAACAUUUUCGCUAUCUUGGAUAUAUAUUGCAAAAGAAUAGAAAAUUGGAUGAAAAUCUCAACCACAAAAUACAAGCUAGAUGGAUGAAGUGGAAGAGUGCAUUGGAUAUGCUGUGCGGCCGUCGUAUAACGUUAAAAUUUAAGAGAAAAUUUUAUAAGAUGUCAAUAAGGCCAAUAAUGCUUUAUGACAUAAAAUGUUGGCCGAUCAAGCAUCAAUACAUGCAAACAUUGAGUAGUAGAGGUGAAAAUGAUGCAUUGGAUGAGGGGCACACGAGAAAAUACAAGAUUAAAAACGAGAAUAUCCAAGAUAUCCAAGAUAAAGUACGAGGCUACAAUUGAAAAUAAGAUGAGAGAAAAUCGAUUAUUAUCGUUUAGACAUGUAAAACGAAGACCUACAGAAACUCUGGUUAGAAAUUGCAAUUAUGAGACAGGUCAAAGGAAAAGAGUAGAAAAACAAAUAGGAAGAUUUGGACAGAGACUUUAAGAACAGACAUAGAAUAAUUAGAGUUAAUGAAAAACUAGCACAAAACUGAACGCAAUGGCAUUCUAAAUUCAUUCCCACUUAGAGCAUCUCCAAUGGAGUUCCUAUAUAGAGACAAUCAUCGUAUAAAAUGAGUAUAAAACACAUAUAGGGACAAAAUGAAUUUCUAAUGGGUCGGAAAGUGAGUCCUUAAAGUAUAGGGACAACCACCGUAUAAAAUAAGUAUAAAACAAAUACAAGGAUAAAAUGAAUUUUCAAUGGGUCGGAAAGUCAGUCCCUAAAGUAUAGAGACUCACCAGAUACUUAGUGCAUGAACCCACAUAUAGAGAUUGUGUAAGUAUUGAUAUGGUGGACCCCUUAGACAAUUAAAGUGGUAAAGCUGUCCCACCAAAUUAAAUGCAGUUGUGCAUAGGGGUGGAAAAAAAUACAGAAAAUCUCAAACCAUACCAAAAUCGAACCGAAAAUCCCAAAAUUUUUUUAUACCAAAACCAAACUGAUCCCGAAUUGUUCAGUAUGGGAUCAGUCUCACACUUUAAAAUAUUUCGGUGUUAUAAUCCCAAACCGAACUUUAAAGUUUAAACCCUAUAUAUAUAUAUAUAUAUACACACGUUGGAAUAUGUAUAUGGCCUAUUAUAUUAUUAAAUAACUCAAAGCACAUGGGUGCUAUAUUGCUAUCUACAUAAUUCAACAUUCACUCUCUUUCUCUCUCUCUCUCUUUGUCACAGCCCGUCCCGAAAUAUUUAUUUUCGACGACGUGAGAUUACUUAUUUACCCUUGGACGUUUUGUGUGGUUAUGUGGAUGAAGUUUUAUUUGGACCAAUUCAAAGCUUUUCCUAAGUUUUUGGAACACUUAGGACUUAAAGAGUUUGUUUUGUGUAUUGGAAGACCAAGUAGGACCAACACACGCACACACUCAACCUUUCCCUCGUGCACUCUCUCCUCUCCCUUUCGAUUUUUCUGCAACGUCCGUACAAAUGUACAAAAAAAUCUUGAACCCUCUCAUUCAGACGCGGAUCGAUGUCAAGAAGGUAAGAUUUGAACUCCUUGCAAGCUUCUGAGUUCGUAAAUGCUAUUUUUAGAACUUGAAAGCUGCAAAAACCCCAAGAACUCUAACCUCAGAUUUCAUGCACUGUUCAUGCACUAAUUAAUGUGAGAUUUUUAGGAGUUUUUAAGGACAUAAGGAGCUUUGGAUCAUCCUCACGAAGCUCAGAGAAGAAAAACCAAAUCAUUUGGAUGUCGGGAAAUCAAGUUCGACGAGUUUUAAGUUUCGUCGGAUUAUCGAGCUUUCUCCAGCAAGUUUUCAUGGAUUUCAAGCCUUGAAAUUGGUAAGGAUGUGUUCUUCUAAUUAUAAGCUUUAAAUUGAGACCAAUUUCAUGAGUUUUGAUUAAGAAAUGGCUGAGAUAUAAGGAUUUUAAGAUUUUCCAGUUUCCGACGACGGCUACGGUUGUCGGAGUUCGAAGGUAGAAGAUGACGGAAUAUUCCGUCAACUGUGAUGGAAUAUUCCUAACGGUAACUAACGGCAUUGGUUGAUUUUAACGGAAUAUUCUUAACGGCCAUUAGGCCUCAAUUAAGGUUUGGCCACGCGUAGGGCCGUGCCUCCGCCGGCGUGUGGAGGCGCGUGGGUGGUCGAAAUUUUUUUCUAAAAAUAUGAGGAUGUUCGUGAGGUUGUGUAGAUCACAUUGGUAUAUUCAAAUAUCCUAUUUGAGCAUUGUAUGAGAAGUUAUUAGCUAGUAUUGGUUAUGUGCUUUAAAUUAACGUUUCUAUAGUCGUUUCGCAUAUAGGGGAGACUUAUCCCGAGGACGAGCACAGUCAAGGGCGACUCGGGGGCUACAACCCUUCGACAUACCAGUGGGUGGGCUUUUGGUUUUAAGUAAAUAUGUAUAUGCUUGGUAUUUUUUCCCAGAAAAUGCAAUUAAAUGAGUUAUGACUUAAAUUGCCAUGCCAAAUAUUUUACAUUUAGAAUAUGCAUAUGAUGUUUGCUUAUAUAUAUAAUUGUGGUGCUGAGGACGCUCAAGUAAGUCUCAGGUGAGUUUAUGAAUUGUGAAUGUGAAUAACAAUUGUGAUUAAUUGAGUAACAUUGAGCUCAUAAACCUUCACCCCGGUGUUAGUGAUUUAGCGAGAGAUAGGGCAUAGGCAUGUUUAUAAUGUCACAUCCCGCACCAUAUGCUCACUUUGGAUCCAAUUUAGGUGCACAGUCUUGUCGUGCAGACCAUUAUAGGUCGUUCCGACUCGUAGAUGACUAGCGAUUUAUCGCACAGUUAUAAUGAGAAUGUAGUAAUGAGCAUAAUUAUAUUACACCCAGUCUUGUCGUACAGACCAUUACUGUGGUUCCGACUUAUGUGCAGUGUAGUGCCGUAUGGGUCACUUGUAAUGACUCCAGCUAGGUUAACUAAUGAGCUAUGAAUUCAUCCAUACAGACUUCUGCAGGGGAUCCGGCCAAUAUGUUAUUUUCAAUCAAUUUAUUUUCACCUGAGUUAUUUAUUCUGUUUUAUAUUUUGGCAUGGCAUAUUUAUGUUUAUGAUUAUGUGAAGCAUAAAUUGAUAUAUAUAUAUAUGUAUGUAUGUAUAGUUAUAUUCCAAUUCUUGGGAAAAUUAUACAUGUUUUACUACGAGAGGUUAGAGCAUUUAAUAAAUGAAAUGGUUUUGAAAAUCUUUAUUUUUGCCCACUCACACUUUCUAUUUUGCGCCCCUCCAGGUUUUAGGUAAGCUUAUCCGUUGGUGGCUUGCGAGGAUUGAACGAAGGUUCUGACAAAAUAUCACAAUGUAAGACAUCUUUGGGUGUCGUUUAAGUAGUACUUGUUUUCUGGACUGAACUUAGGCUACUUAUGCUCUGAUUGUGAAUUCACUCGUAUUCUAGCACUCCUCUUAGCUAGUACUCUUAUGAAUUGGUUUUUAUUUAUUCGUAUUCUCUAUUAUCAUUUGUUGAUGCACAAAACCAGGAGGUCUUGGAACAACGUAAAUCCGACCAUGAAUCUGCAAGAAAGUAAAGAACACAAGAUGUAUCGUGGUUCACCCCAAUGUUUGGGCUACGUCCACACUGAUGUUCAUUACAUUUCUCUGUAUGAAUGUAUGGAUUACAAGUUUAUCUGGGAGCUUUGUGGCUUGUAUGUUUUAGGGGUAUCCCCUGAUCUGAGAUCUGAGUCCCUUUUGUAAGGGGAGAGGAAUCCUCUUUUAUAGAAUAAGGGGCUCCUCCUUUUACAUAAUAAUGGGCUAGGUAAUGAGGCCCAAAUGUUGAGGCUCAAUGUGUCAAAGUCUGAGGCCCAAUAUAUGUGGUACCAACAGUAGUCCCCCAAGUCUUCAAUCAAGAGAGUCUUUUGGCUGGAAACUUAAAAUUCAAUCCAUGUGUGGGCCGAAGUAACUAGAUGUCGUCUAGAACUGAAUACUCGAUAUGAGGCGGUGCUUAAUGUGAAAUGAUGCUCAACUAGAAGUAGCACAUGUUGCGAGGCUGCUCGGCUUGUGGCUUAUGUUGCCAUGGUUGGCUCGGCUUGUGGCGUUGAAGGUGAGGGAGUCCCUUUUAUAGAAUAAAGGCUCGCUCCUCAAUAAAUAAAUGAUGGGCUAGAUUUGAUGCUCGCGGCGAGGCGGUUGUUCAGCAGGCGGCGAUGCUCUCUAAUGAUGGUGAGGGAGUCCCUUUUAUAAAAUAAGGGUUCGCUCCUCAAUACAUCAAUGAUGGGCUAAAGUUGAUGCUCGCGGCGAGGUUGUUGCUCAUCUGGCGACGAUAUUCUCUAAUGGAGGUGAGAGAGUCCCUUUUAUAGAAUAAGGGUUGGCUCCUCAAUACAUAAAUAAUGGGUGCUCUCUAAUGAAAGUAAGGGAGUCCCUUUUAUAGAAUAAGGGUUGGCUCCUCAAUACAUAAUUAAUGGGUACUCUCUAAUGAAAGUGAGAGAGUCUUUUUUAUAGAAUAAGGGCUCGCUCCUCAAUACAUAUAUGAUGGGCUAAGUCCCCCAAGUAUUUUUCAUGAGGCCCAGUUGCGGAAGCCCAAUAUAUGGUACAUAGUGUAGUCCCCCAAGUCUUCAAUCAAUAGAGGUUGUUGGCUGGAGACUUCAAAUUCAAUCCAUGUAUGGGCCGAAGUGGCGGUUGUUCGGAGGCGGUCUUUGUAUACCAUGCACUGAAGCUUUGUAAGUGUAGCUUUGAAAGUGAAGCUUUGAAGCUGGAGCUUUUGUAAAUGCAGCUUUGAAGUCGGAGCUUCGUAAAUGAAGUUUUCGAAGCUAGAGCUCUGUAAAUGAAGCUGAUUGACAUGAGUGAUGCUCAUGAAUGUUGACAUGAGUGAUGCUCAUGAAUGUUGACAUGAAUGAUGUUCAUGAAUGUUUAUGUAUGAUUGACAUGAGUGAUGCUCAUGAAUGUUCCUAUAUGAUUGACAUGAGUGAUGCUCAUGUAUAAUUUUGGAGUACUUGACGUACUUUUAAUCACCUGGUUGGUGAUAAUAGCAGCAGGUUGCUGAAUAAUUUUGGAGUACUGGGCGUACUUUUGAUCACCUGGUUAGUGAUAAUAGCGGCAGGGUGCCGAAUAAAUUUGGAGUACUGGACGUAUUCUUGAUCACCUAGUUGGUGAUAAUUUUGGAGUACUGGGCGUACUUUUGAUCACCUGGUUGGUGAUAAUAGCGGCAGGGUGCCGAAUAAUUUUGGAGUACUGGACGUACUUUUGAUUACCUGGUUGGUGAUAAUAGCGGCAAGGUGCCGAAUAAAUUUGGAGUACUGGACGUACUCUUGAUUAUCUGGUUAGUGAUAAUAACGGCAGGGUGCCGAAUAAAUUUGAAGUACUGGACAUACUCUUUUGGGCAUAUGGGCCUUGGCCCUGCACAUAACAUUCCAACCCAUUAUUUUGGGCUUACCGUUUUUCUUUUUUUUAUUACCCUCUGAUGGGGUUAUACAGAUGUCUCCGAAAGAUAAGAAAAACAAAUCACAUCAUUAAAAUAAAUCCAACCCUCUGCUCAAUGGGUCACGCCCAUAAUUCCCUUUUCUGCAUGUCAUCACCAUCGCAUUUAUGUCUAUUUCUUUUUAUCUUUUUUUGCUUUAUGCUUUGCUUUUGCUUUUGUUUCUGUUUCUUCUUUUCUCUUUUCUGUUCUGCUUUGCUUUUGCUUUUGUUUCUGUUUAUUCUUUUCUGUUUUCUUUUUUUCUUUUUCUUUUUUUUUUAAAUAUUCUCUCAACAACAUCAUAGUACAACCCACGUUUAGCACAUCCUCCUUUUUCUUUUUCUAACAUCAUGAUUGAAGGAUCGAUUUCUAACAUCAUGAUUGUGUUCAACUUCGCUGGUUGUCUGGUUCGAAGGAUCGCUUUUUGUAAGCUUCCCAAUUGUUGAAUGAGACUCCGAUCAGAUCACUGGUGAGUGCUUAACGGAAAGAGUUGAGCAAUUGCCAGGAGAUUGAUGGAAGAACCCAUCUGAGGUCAGUUGUGUUAAUCUCCGUUGGCUGGCUGGUUUGAAGGAUCGCUUUCUGCCGCCUGUCUUUCCUUUUCAGCUUUUGCUACAUCUUGAAUGCUACCAUUCUCCGCUGAGCAAAUACCUCCAAGCUCUCACAUCUUCAGAAUCCGCAGUGCAUGAGUUUUGAAACAGGAAACAUCAAACCAGUAUACCGGCAGCAGAUUUUGUGGAAUCACCAUCGACACGAAUCAUGGAGCUUCCAUCAGAGUAGAACUGAUGAACAACAUCAGGUUGCUUUUGAAGAAUCUGAUAGUACUGGGUCACAAAGUAAGAACCUACCUGAACAGCACGAACAACUCCCGGAUUAGAACUUACCAUUGCCUCAUCUCUCAGCAGAAAAGCAUGCAGCGACGGAGAAAGACUUUUUCUUGUACUUUGCAAAACCCUAAAUCGCAGUCGUCUCCGUCAACACUCUGAUCGAACGUAUAUCCACACACAGAGAAAAGCAACUACAAAUCCGAAACCCUAAACCCAAAGGUUUUAGGGCACCUCGGGAUUCAUCGCCGUCUUCUCUUGCCGAGGACCGGAAGUAAACGAAAGCUCAAAAAUGGCUUUGUAUCUCCCAAAGGGCUCUGCUUCUGCUGCUUACUUCCGGCUUUUAUAGCCACCAGCAUAAAGUAAGGGAAUGAGCUCCGGGAGAUGAGCAUCGUCCCGUCCAGGUCGACGACGAUUGACUCGUUAGACGUCGUUUCGCCCACAUUGCAGGCCGCGAUCAACGAGGAGAUCCGCCGUUGCUUCUACGACGACAUGGUCUAUCUCUCCCUCUCUUACUAGAAAGCAACACAUUUGUUCCGUUUGGUUAAUUUUUAGAGUGAAGAGUGGCGUUUAGUCGCAAGUGAAGAAGGAUGAGGUGACGUGGAGUUGGUUGCCAGAGAUGGCACCAACAUCACUGCUAAAAUUCAAAGUCUGCAAGGGAAGGAUGAGUUGCGAGAGAGUGGCCGAGGAAAAGGAGACGAAGGAGAGGUGGCGGUCGCGAUUGCUAGCAUCCACCAGGUGGUUGUUGUCGGAGUCAGCGUGAGAAGUAAACAAAUGGGAGCUCUUUUCGGAUUUUCUAGAGAGAGAGAGUGGCUGAUGAGAGAGAGAGAGAGAGAAAUCUGCAAAGGUUUUUCUUGAACAGCCCAAGGAUGGGGGUUCUGGGUUAUUCGGUUGUGCAGAUUCACGAUGGUGAGAUGAAAAAUUAAGAGAGAAUCGACAUAGCUUUUCGUGUCGAUUCCCACAGACGGCGCCAAAUAUUGAUGCACAAAACCGGGAAGUCUUGGAACAACGUAAAUCCGACCAUGAAUCUACAAGAAAGUAAAGAACACAAGAUGUAUCGUGGUUCACCCCAAUGUUUAGGCUACGUCCACACUGAUGUUCAUUGUAUUUCUCUGUAUGAAUGUAUGGAUUACAAGUGUGAGGGGGAGUCCCCCAGAGAAAGAGAAAGUUUCUCUGUGAGCUUUGUGGCUUGUAUGUUUUUGGGGUAUCCCCUGAUCUGAGAUCUGAGUCCCUUUUGUGAGGGGGGAGGAGUCCCCUUUUAUAGAAUAACGGGCUCCUCAUUUUACAUAAUAAUGGGCUGGGUAAUGGGGCCAAUGUGUCAAAUUAUGAGGCCCAAUAUAUGUGGUACCAACAUCAUUAUUGCUUUCGCAUUGUGCACAUGGUUACGUCACCCUUACGUGUCGGCCAUCAUGCCCUGAUUCGGGUCGGGGUGUGUCACUCUCUCUCUCGAAUUAUCUCUAUCUGCAACCCACAAAGGCAGAAGCCACCUUCCUUCAACUAAAUCCAAACCAUAGCCGACACAUCCCUACUCACUCUCUCUCAUUUCUCAUCUUUGUCCCUUCACUCAGUCUCAGGUCACUCAUGGAAUUCGAAGCUCAGCAUCCACCACCCUCAAUGUCUCACUUCAACAAACUCUCUCCACUCCGGCCACCACCACACCUCACGGCUUCAUCCAGACUUUCGAUUCUCUAUGUGGGUUUCGAAUAAGGUUAGGGUUUCGAAUUGGGGGCUAGGGUCUCGAAUUGGGGCUCGGCUUUCGAAUAAGGUUAGGGUUUCAAAUUGGGGGCUCGAAUUGUGAUGAACAUAUUUUAGUGGAUGUUUUUGCAAAGAAAAUUUAUGUGAAAUUAUGUGGUUUAUGGCUUAAUUUCAUUUACUUGGAUGUUUGGAUGGUCUAUAUUUUUAUUCUCAAAGAAGUUAGCAUCUUGGUUGGCUACAAUGUUUUAUGAUGAUUUGUUGUGCGAUUGUUGCAAGUUUCAUGCUUUAGUUUCUUUUGAGAUGAUUGAAUUAUGCAGAUGCAAUUAGUUUCUGCAGAUUGAAUUGGAUUGGGAAUUUGGGUGUCUUAAGUUCUGCAGAUGCAUAUCAUAUACAAUUGUAGCAGUCUGCCAACAAUUUUGUGUGAAUUUAUUCGAGAUUCCUGAUUUGUCCCGAAAUCUCGAAAUUAUUUUGGGAUUCCCGAAAAUUUGGUUUGGAAUUGGUCUUGAAAUUGGGAUUCCCAAAAACUUCGGUUUGGGAAUCGGGACAAGAAUUUCGGUUUGGUAUCCAAUACCGAACCAAACCUAGCUAUGCAGCAUGAACUCCAUAAGGAUUUUUGCAUGAAGAAUGGGAAAUUUUGGACCUGGGGAAUUCCCUAAGAAUAUCAUUUUUAGUCAAAUACUUAUAUAGGUUAAAGUAUAUAAUUUAUGGUUUAGAAAAUAUUUUAAAUGUCUAGAGUAGAAGAUUAAAUUACUAUUAAUCGAAGCUGAAACAUAAAAUUUUAUUUACUUAAAUCAAAUUAUUUAAACCAAGUAUUAAGUUAAUGUUUUGUUCAUUAGGUAUACAAUUAAUGUACUUUUAAUUAAUAGUAAGAUAUGUCGUCUUUCCAUGUCAACCAAUUAUUCCUUAUAUUUUCACCAUUACACUAUAUGAACUCUAGUUGUUUUUUUUAUUUUUUAUUACAUGCCCAACUACGUAUCUAAUCAAUUUGCAAGGCAUAAUAUGAAGCAAUUCUAAUUACGUUUUUGUGAAGAAAAAAAUUUGGUAUCAGAAUUUGAAUUUUAUUUUACUAAAAUGUUCAUAAAAAUAUUUUAUGUGAAUGUAAUGUUAAAUUAAUUCCAAAAAGUUUAACAUGAACAAAAAAUAUGCACCUAAUCAAAUUAUUACAUAAAAUUAUAAAAACCUCAAAUUUAGGAAUUCUACUAUAAAGACUCUUACAUUGAAGGCAAUAUUCCAUUAAGAACAUAAAAAUUUCAUUCAAGUUCUUAAAUAAGUACUCAAAAGUGGUGGUGGAAGUCCUUAUUCAAGGACUCCCAUUGGAGAUGCUCUUAGUGAUUCAAGACCGCUUCUUACUCCAUCGACAUGCGCAGGAAACUGUUCCGGGGACUGAUGUUACGGAGUUUGUCAAGCUUCCACCUUCGUUUGAAAACGGUAGAGAGAUGGGCUUCCAAAAGGUCCACUUUUGUUCGAAACUUGGAAACUACAGCUAAAACUGAAGGCACCGCCGCUCGAACUGUUUUCUAUAUUAUGGGGUCACACAAUUGAUCAACUUUCUAGUAAGAAUCAAGGCGCACACAUCCGUUUCAUUCAAAUAUUGCGAUGAUCCGGACAGUGCCGAGAUCGGAACAUUCAUUCAUCGUCAAUCAUCCAACGCAAAUACCAUAAAAAGCAACAUGGAGAAACAACAAACUAAACUAGAUUAGACGAAAUAUUGUUCAAUAGUGAGGCUGCAGACAACCAAAUGAACAAAAAAACGCAAAUUAAACACAUCUAGGUCCUUCAUAUUCUACGAAACAAACCAACCAAAAGCAGCAGCCGCAGAUCUUAAAAGGAGUUUUGCCUAUAACCAUAAUAUCUGACCACAUCUUGUCCCCAACCCUAACCUCCUAUAUCAUCCUAUCACAAAAAAACACCACCUUCUGUCCGCAAAAGCAUUAUACAUAUCAGUCUUCAAUCCCGUCUGCAGCCACCCCACAAUUAACCCCGCUCCAUUGCAAGGCAGGCGGGUUGCUUAGGCACGCUCAC
RNAcentral lists this long non-coding RNA (121603 nucleotides) under Malus domestica (apple). RNAcentral describes it as "long non-coding RNA (MDOM_LNC000628)". The record is from RNAcentral. Lineage: Eukaryota; Viridiplantae; Streptophyta; Magnoliopsida; Rosales; Rosaceae.